RNAcentral lists this long non-coding RNA (89306 nucleotides) under Eucalyptus grandis. RNAcentral describes it as "long non-coding RNA (EGRA_LNC000025)". The record is from RNAcentral. Lineage: Eukaryota; Viridiplantae; Streptophyta; Magnoliopsida; Myrtales; Myrtaceae.
AGUGAUCUCCACCUCGCCGAUGGUGAAGUACUUGCUCGUGUUCUUGCACACCGAGCCUCCCUCGGGCGAUGCGGUGAUCUUCACCUCGUUGCUGAUCUUCUCGAAGCUGGUGCCCAGCAUGUCGCCCUCGAUGAUCGAGUAGCAGUAGGUGAAGUUCUCCUUAUCCAGGGCCUCGACUUUUUGCUUCAUUGUCUUGUACUGACUGCCUAUCAAAGUAAGAAAAAAUAAUAUUCACGUUUAGAACUCGCCAGUUUCAACAUCACGAGCAACGAUCUCGAUGGUGUCGAUCGGGCCUUUUAGGUUGUUCCAACUGCAAUCUGAUACGAUUGACUUAGUAGACAUGGCCUGAUUUCCCUCGAUUGGAGUCAAGUCACGUGAUCACUUGUGUAAAUCAAUGGUUAGAAACAUCUUUAAUUGAUCAAGUUACAUAUCUAUCCUUUUUAAUGUUCAUUAUGAUGUUCCAUAAGGUUGAAACAGCCUUGAUCCAGAGCGAUCCUAACACGGACGGACUAACCUUCGCCGAAAGUGAUCAACUUGACGGUCCCGGGACCUCCGUCGCCCUCGAGGACUUCGACGCUCUUGAUAGCUUGCGGGAGCACCUUCAGGAUGAGGUUAUCGGCGUCGAGGACAGCGGCCUUGAACAUCUUGGCCGGAGGGAUUGGGGUCGUGAUCUCGCAGUCGUAACUGACGACACCCAUGAUUUGGAUCCGAAUGGAGUUGCCGAAAUAGAGAAGAGAGUGAUCAGGAAAGGCUGACUAGCAGUGAUGAAGUUGGUCUCUAGGACUUGGGAGUGAGGAGAAGAGGAUGAACCGAAGCUGACAUAUAUAGAGAGAUCGAGUGUGAAGGGUUCUGGUCAUUGGAUAUUUCCUUCAAGUGUGUUUGUUUGGUACAAAAUAAAAAAUUCAAUAACUAUUUGUAUCAUAUGGUAUAUUUAUUUGAUGAUAAAUUUUUGCAUUAUUGACAGUAAUUUAUAUUUAAAUAUUUUCGUGGAAGAUGAAAAUAUUUUUAUUUAUUCUUUUUGUAAGUUAUACGGAAAAAAUAUUUUUUUACAAAACAAAUGAAGCUUAAUAAAAAAAAUCUUAAUCAGUCUGUGGGUUGUUCACUCAUGACAUGGACCUUGAUCAUAAAAUAAAAUGUCUAUAUGAUAAUGGAAUAUUAGUCAGAGAAGGCACCAUCCUAGAAUGAUACCAAACGUUCUUCCAUUUCCCUUUCAUGUAUAGACUUGACUUUUGAUCCAGGAGCAUUUGCUCAGCAAAUUCUCUUGGCUGAGCUUCACUGAUUUCUUACAUAGUGUUACUAUCAUAGAAAAUAUCAAGCCCUUAGCUGCAUAUGGUCACGAUCCACCCAGAUCUCAUCCUACUUUGCUUCAAUCCGUUCGCAAAAGUAGCAAUCUUUAAGGUUGGUAGAGGCCUCGGGAAGAAUUAUCAUCGAUUUCAUACGUACAAAUAAUAUUCGCUUAAGCCUGUGCAGUAGAAAAACUCGAAAAAUUGAGGCACAAUUUUUCCUGCUGGGUGAUCUCGGUGCUUCAUGUUUCUGUUGAGCUUCCAUCUAAGAAAAAGUACAGAGUGAUCUCAAUGUUGCACUAAUCCAAUUUAGCAGAAAAAGAUGGGAAAGGUAGUUUGGUAAUUACAAGGCUUUGUUACUUUUAGUCAACAAAGGCUGCUCUGAAAAUCAAGAUGGACGUCUAUAGAUUUUGAAUUUUUCUACUUGCUUUCAUGUGUCUAGUCCUUUUAAAUAAUAUUAUUGCGAACCAUUUUCUGCUAAUUGUCUGGUGGAAGUGUGGUGGAUCAAGCGAGAUUGGCUCACGCGUCACUUGCUCAUUAAACAUUUUUUAAUUUUCCUUUUCAUCUAACGGUAUAGCAACGUAGAUUUUUAGAAACGCUUUCUUCGUAUCUAAUUUUCUUCUUUUGUCUAGUUCAUCUUGUGGUAGUCACGGACCAUGUGAACGUAUAGUAGAAUGUCCAUGGGCGUUAGAUCAGAUUAAUUAAUGAAUUUCGUCGCAUUGAGACAAAAUUGAUUAAACUUGUCAAUCAUCUCACUGCGACGGAAGAGUCGGAAACUAUUAAUGGAUAACAACAGCAUAUGUUUUCAGAGGAAAGUAUUGGAGAGGGGCAUGGAUGCAUUGCUGAAGUUAUUUAAUGAGCAUGUCAUAUGUACUAAAUUAAUCUAAAUAGCUAAAUUUGAUGGAAUUCAUAUGAAACCUAAAUGAAACUCAUUGAAAUUAAAAGUCCAAAUUUUGCUUUAUAUAAAUACGACGCUAGUUCAUUCUCGAGUCUUUAUCAAAAUUGCGUUGUAUGUCAUUGAAUGUGAACCUCCCUUCCCUAUGAUCAACUCAGAUUUCUCGUACUUCAUCGACUUCCUUGUUUCGCUGUUGAAGCACCAGAAUCACAGCAAUUGAAGUCACCAGAAGGAGCUCACAUCAAUAAGGACCUUUUCCCUAUGGUCGGUCGAUUUACUGUUCAUCCCACAAGGAGAUAACCCCGUCACGUUUUCACACAAGCCCGGAUUUGCGAUAAAAGCGCUUUUCGGUGCUUGUUGGAAGAGGCGACCACUAGGAACUGCACCUGUCAGCUCAUUGUACGAUUAGUCUACGGAGCUUAAACAAGUUAUGUGUCCAUUUCUUUCAAUGUUCAGUAUAAUGUUCCAUAAGGUUAAAACCACCUUGAUCGAGAGCGAUCCUAAGUUCCUAAUAUGGAUGGACUAACCUUUGCCGAAAGUGAUCAACUUGAUGGUCCCGGGACCUCCAUCGCCCUCAAGGACUUCAACGCUCUUGAUGGCUUGUGGGAGCACCUUGGGGGUGAGGUUAUCGGCGUUGAGGACAGCGGCCUUGAACAUCUUGGCCGGAGGGAUCUGGACGUGAUGCAGAGUCGUAAGUGAUGACACCCAUGAUUGGAUCCGAACUGAGCUGCUGAAACUGAGAAGGGGGUGAUGAUCAGGAAAGACUGAGUAGCAGUGAUGAAGUUGGUCUCUAGGACUUGGGAAUGAAGAGAACAGGCUGAACCGAAACUGAUAUAUAAAGAGAGAGAGACUAAGUGUGAACGGCUUUGAUCAGUGAAUAUUUUGCGAAACAAACAAAGCUUAAGAAAUAAAAAAUUAUUCCGUGGAUUAUUCAGAUUAUGACAUGCCCCUUUUUCCUAAUAUAAAAAUGUCUAUAUGAUAAUAGAACAAACCGUUGGAUGAGAAUAUUGGGGAGAACUGGGCAACAAUUUACUAAUAACGAAACAUAAUUUAGCAUCAAUUUCUCCUCUAAAACUAAACCAAUCGAAAUCAACUCAACCCCAACGACCACCAGCAAUUUGUAAUACCAAAAUGACAAUAAGACAGAGCCAACAACGACACUAAGGUUUUAACAUGGAAACCAAUACGGAAAAAAUCACAUACCCUCCUCACUAACAGUAAUAGGAUACACAAAACAUUAUUUUCUAAUCACACAUUAGAGACUCGACAUCAAUAAUAUAAUCAUAUUUUCUCAUUCCAAAGAUAGAUUAACAUAAACGGAGCAAGAAAACCCUAAUUGGUUGGAGAAUCUGGAGGGGGUUAUUAUCGAAUGAAAUCAAUCAAUUCGUAGUCCUUGGUUUUACGAAACAACAUUCAAAUUUGAGCAAAUUCCGUCGGCAUCUUGCGUUCGAAUCGGGACCGAAAAGAUUGUGCCCUUUCUUUAGGAACGCAGAGAAAGAAGAGCCCAGGACACAGACAACAAUUACCCACUCACUAAGUCCCGAAAAGCAUAGACGAGCGAAAUGCUUCACGAAUUAACCUAAGAGCAACAGAAACACGCCGAGAUAGAAAAGAAGCCGACGCCCCAAAUUGCAAACUUCUUCGACCCCCCCCCCCCCCCCCCCCAAAAAAAAAAUUUCCAAAAUGAAACCUGAAAAGUGGUGAUUAAGCCCGGAGGCGGGAGGGGGGGGGAAGGGAGCCCCUUGAUGUCCAAAUGGGCGUCCCCGGUGGCGAGGAGCCCCGAGGGGGGGGGGGGGGUGGAAACCUAGGGUUAGGACGGGUUUGGCCUCAUGCCAAUUGAUCUGGACCGUGCCUCCCUUCAUAUCUUCGCCGGCCGCUCCGCCGCUUCCUUCCUUCCUUCCUUCCCUCUCUCUUUGAAAUCGAAGCCUUCUUCCUUCAUUUCUCAUGGAACGAAAUCGAUCAAUUCGUGGAAUUCGUGAUAUUCGUGCGCUCUCCCCAUUCUGCGGAGAGAUUCCCGACAAAUCGACCAGUGCUGAGGUUCAUAAAGACCAGAUCCGGGUAAACUCCGAACGCACUCGUGAGAUCUGCAGUGAACAGAUCACCUUCUAGACGGACUCUCGUUAGCCCCGGACAAUCCCUCAAGCAAUCGGGCAGCAGCCCGGUGAAGUUGUUCCCAUAAACCGCGAGAUACCGAAGAGCGAAGCCGCCGCACAAAUCCGGCGGCAGUUCUCCGGUGAAGCUGUUGUUGGAAAAGCUAACAUAGCCCAGACGAUAUGGAUUCGCAGAAAUCACACGGUAUGCCACCCGAGAAAUCGUUCGUGAACAAAAGAGAUGAACUGUAGGUUUGUCGAUCGUCGUUUCAGUACGGCGAGUGUAGAGCCAAAAAAAAGGGGAAGAAAGAUGACACAAUUGGCUAUGACAUUGAGUGACAGUUUAUUGCUGGCCUCCCCCACGUAAGUAUGUCACGAGGCCCACCCUUCAUGGCUCAAGUUCAUGAAAACAAACUAAUAAAAAAAAGACCCAAAACGUCUGCACUACCAUCCUCGCGGAAAUCCAACCAAAAAAAGGAAAAGAUUAAAAAGGCAACCAUCCCAUACAAAAGCAUUCGCCACACGCUACUAAAAAUUAACCACACAGAGACUCACUAGUCUCAGGGUUCGCCUGGAGGCAAGCCUCGAUGGCCCCGAACACAGUGAAUGCCUUCUCUCUCACGGCCUUUAUCUUCUCCUCGGUGAUGUUUAUGUUGCCCCUGGCGAAGUAUUUGCUGGCGUUUUUGCACACGGAGCCUCCCUCCGGUGAUGCGGUGAUCUUCACCUCGUAGCUGGUGUUCUCCAAGGUGUUGGCCAGCAUGUCGCUCUCGAUGAUCGAGUUGAAGUAGGAGAAAUUCCCAUUGUCCAGGACCUCAACCUUGUGCUUCACUGUCUUGUUGCAAUGACCUAUAAAAGACGCAAAACGUGGCAAAUCACAUCUGAGAAGCCACCGGUUUCAAAAAUCGCGAGCACUGCUUUGCAACAUGAUUGACUCACGACAUCACGGUGUCAAUGGUCAGGAACAUUUGAAUUAACCAAGUAAACUUACUAACCUUCGCUGGAAGUGGUCUCCUCGAUGAGCUCGGCACUCUCGAGGACUGGCAAGAGGACCCCGGAGAUGAGGUUUUCAGCCCUGACCAAGACCUCGAACACCUUGGCCGGGGGGAUGGAGGGCUUGAUCUCGGUCUUGUAGCUGAAGUGUCCCAUGAUUCUCUGCUCGAAAAGAAUUUGCUGAAAGCUGAGAGGGAAGUCUUGAUCUAGGAUUUCGAAGCUAAGACCCCAUGUGUAUAUAUAUAUGCGCGGGAGAGAAAACUUUGCGGACCUGCUUUGGGUCCAUUUCAGAGGAAAACCAAGCAAUCGCGUGCUUUGGGUUGAAAUUCUUCUACCUACAUGAUCGAGUCACUGUCGAGUCUCGACUUUUGGAAUGUGUAAGAAAAAGCAAAACAAUGGUUGAAAUUCUUCUACGCACACGAUCGACUCACUGCGAAGUACUCGACUUUUGGAAUGUAUGGGAAAAAGCAAAACGAUACAGAGGCUAGAGUUUUUUUUUUUUUUUUUUUUGGUCUGUUCCAUAGGAAAACCAAGCAUUCGCGUACUUUUGGUUGAAAUUCUUCUACGCACAAGAUUGGAACGUGUGGGAAAAAGCAAAACAAUGGUUGAAGUUCUUCUACGCACAAGUAACUGUCAAGUACUUAACUUUUGGAAUGUGCGGGAAAAAGCAAAAAGAUAGAGGCUAGAGUUUUUUUUUUUUUUGGGUCCGCUUCAGAGGAAAACCAAGCAUUCACGUACUUUUGGUUGAAAUUCUUCUACGCACACGAUUGCAAUGUGUGGGAAAAAGCAAAACAAUGAUUGAAAUUCUUCUAAGCACAAGUAAUUGUCAAGUACUCAACGUUUGGAAUGUGUGGGAAAUACCAAAAUGAUACAGAGGCUAGAGUUUUUUUUUUUUUUUGGUCGGUCAUAUUUUAAUUCUUAAAUUUUUACUUUGCUUCAUUGUAGAGCGUGAAAGUCGAAACCCACACUUGAAACUAAAUCGUCAUCUGAAAAUGUGGGAAUUUGAACCCCCACAUUCCCUUUCUAUAUUGAAAAUGUGGUCACAAAGACAAAUCCUAGUGUUUACAGGCUAGAGUUGGAAAUAUGUUAUUAAACACAUUCCUUUUAUAGUCUCCCUUCAAAAAUCCCGUAAAAUAAAUAUGCAUGGUCUAAAAUACUCUUAUCUUGUAAUUUGAAAGUCAAAACUCAACAAAAAUCAAAUCAAAUCGAGUACUCAACUUUUGGAAGAAACAAAGUAGGUUACGUCUAGUACUGAAAGGGAAGUCUCGAUCUAGGAUUUAAAAGAUAAGACGCAUAUGUAUAUAUAUGUUUUCGGGUCCUUCUAAGGGGAAUACCAAUUAUCGUUGUUGAGUAGCUCUGCGGGGUCCUUUUGAGGCCAAGAUUGGGUCGGCUUUUCUCUUAAAAAGGCAGAGAACAUGCCAUCCCAAGUCAUAGCGCACUCAUUACGACUGGAUUUCCAACCCAUCACUCCACUUCUGGAUGGAGGGAAUCAAGACUUUUGGAAGAAUGUGUGCACUCGACUUUUGGAUGGAAGAAAUGAAGAAUUUUGGAAGAAUGUGUGAUGGGGAGCGUGUGCAAUUGCCCACACGUGAUGGGAACGUGAGGCAUGGAACUUGUUGCCAAACAAGUCAAUCAAAGAUGCACCAAUUUGAGAACAAGUAAUAAAAGAUAAAAGAAAAUCAAAAUCACAUGAGACGCAAAACUUACGUGAAAAACUCAAAACGAGAAAAAUCAUAGGAAGAGAGAAGAGUCUCAUUAUUUUCAAUAAAGAGCACGAGAAUAUAAUCCAAAAAACUCUAAAACCACUUGAUGAGCCACGAGAUUUGAACAUCUAGCAAGAAGAUAGGAAAAAACAAAACAGGAAACUAUACAGACGCUAGAGUUGGAGAUGUGUUAUAAACACGUUCCUUUUAUAGUCUCCCUUUAAAAAUCCCUUGAAAUAAAAAUGUAUGGUCUAAAAUAUUCUUAUAUCUUAAUUUGAAAGUCAAAACUCAACAGAAAUCAAGUCGAAUCGAGGACUCAACUUUUGGAAGAAACAAAGUAGGUUACGUCUAGUUCAACUUUCUCAAGUAGCUUGGGGGAAAUGUAAAGUAAUGUAAGCCUAAAGGGUUUUGGCAAAAUGUAAAGAUUGUUUGAUAAAAUAUGUUUUGAGAAGUAGCUUUGACAUAAAUGUUGGUUGAUAUAAAAUAUAUUUAAAAAAACUCAUUUGGAUGAUUAAUUUAAACUGUUUUAAUUAAUUAGGGGUUGGAUUUUUUUUAUUUUUUUUAUUUUUUGGUCUGAGGGGUUGGAUACUUUGGGUACUAUUGUGUGGUGUUCUCGAGUGCCCGAGAGUACCUGUAAGUUUUUGUCCAUAGUUAAAGUCUAGAGAGAGAAAUAGAGAGUGCAUCUGCCUUUUAAGGCUUCUGAUGAUUGGAGAUUUUCUCUAAUCAAAUAAUUCAAUUUAAUAAUUUAAAUAGAGAGAGAGAGAGAGUUUGUGCAUAUCUUUAAUAGGCGUCAUAAUUAGAGAGAGAGCAGAGCAGCGCAGAGCAGAGCAGAGCAGAGAUUUUCUCUAAUUAAAUAAUUCAAUUUAAUAAUUUAAACAGAGAGAGAGUAUGUGCAUAUCUCUAAGAGGCAUGCCAUAAUGAGAGAGAGAGAGAGAGAGAGCAAUAUGGACUAAGCAUCCAAUCUCUUCUACUUCUACUAAUGAAGAAAUAAUUUGACCUCGUCACUUCACAACACAUUCCGGGCUGAAUAAUGGAGCUUUGGGGACAUGGUGGUGAAUAACAAGUGAUAUAGAAGAGAUGAUACGCUAUUAAAUUAUUGUCUCAAGUUUAAGUCCGUGUACAAGAUUCGACUUGAUUUGAAUAUGUAGAAAACCGAAUCUAUUAGGAAAAAAAAAUACCAAUAUCACAUUUGGUAUUUGAAUUAUAAUUUAUCUUGAAAAGAAUAUUCACGUUAUAUAUACUGAGACGAGUUUUUUGUGCAUUCCCCCAAAAGUCAAACCCCCACAGUAACCCCCUUUUUCUCUAACUCCCGCACCCUAUUUCCAUAUAUAUGGAUCUUCACUUCCAAAUCCGAUCGAGAUGCUGAUAAAUACUAAAUAGUGUUCGAAUGGGGGGGGGGGUGGGGGGUGGGGGGGUGGAGACAUUGCUUGCUGAUUCAUGUUGUGAAAUGCGUGCUCUCUUCUUCUUUUCGCUAAGAAGCUGACGAGUAACAACAGAGAAAGGAAUAUGUCCCCGUAUCGAUAAACUCUCGGUAGAUAGGAAGAUACAAUUAAGACGCAAUCAAAACGACAAGGAUGAAAGCGAGGUGAGAGAUAAAAUUAAGGCGAAAAGAUAAAACAGACAAAGGCGCGAAAUACUGCAGCAUCUUAGCGUAAAGAAGAAAGAAGAGAGAAGUUGGCACCCAAUUGAGGUAUGUUGUCCGUGAGGAGAUGAGUGUUUCAAGACUUGAGGUAAUUUUCCAUGAGAUUGAACACUGUGAGCUUGGGUGCAAUUUAGGGGUGAGAAACAUUCAAACAUUUAGUCGAUUGUAACUCUUUGAUUCUCCAAUUGUUAGUGGAUUAUUUUCUCUUCCCCAACUGACACUUAGACCGAAUUACGUAAAUCUUAUUAGUUUCCGCGUUAUAUCACAGCAACAACAACUGGUUUGAAAAGUGGCGUCAAAGUGUUUAUGCUAGAAAUCUUGGGGUGGAACAAAUUGUGCUAAAGUGAUUUGAAAAAAUUAUGCCAUGAUUUUUACAAGAUGUUUGACAAGUAUUUUUAAUUACAACAUUCAGAAUUUCUACCACCUCAACUGUUGUCUCACCCACUUUGAAGGAGUCGCAUGUAUUACUGAACACAAAUUAUAACACUUCAUGCCAAAAUAUAGUUACAGUUCAGUCACGAUUAUAAUUUUUCUUAAAGAGAUGGGAGAAUGUAAACAUAAACCAUGAUGGGAGACAGAAAGAUUGAGCCAACAUGCAACAUCAACUCAAUUGAAAGCAUCAGGGUUUUGCAAGAGAUGGGCGUCAAUGGCCAUGAACAUUCCCAUGGCCUUCUCUUUGCCGGCCUUGAUCUGCUUCUCCGUGAUCUCGGCCCCGUCCUUGGCAUAGUACUUGCUCGUGCUCUUGCACAUGCAUCCUUGGCUAGCUGCAAGGCACGGAAAACCACAAUCAACUCCUAAGCGUUGGUCUCAUUUAAACUGUCGGUGAAUGUCUUGAGACCCAUGUUGAUGCGGUGCGAUUAAAAUGUGCGAAGUGGGUGAAAUUGAAAGAUGCGCGAGGACUAGCCUUCAUAGAAAGCGACAUACUUGAUGAUUGAAAUGCCCUCUAAAUGAUUCUCAAUCGCCUGUUUAGUAAUCUAAAUCGCCAUCACAAUAGAUAAAUCAUAUAAUAGAGAAAGAGUACUAAAGACAUGGAUCUCAAGCCCAAAUGAUACUUAUUAGCAAGCGAGUGAUCGUUUGAAUUUUGAUGCUCUUGAGGGUGGGAAGUCACUAAAUUAUUAACUUUUUUCCAACACCGGUUGGGUUCCAUGGGAUUGUUUCCACUAUAGAGAUAAAAAGUUAGCAUGCAAGUUGUCGCGACCUAUCCCUCGGGGGGAGGGAAUAGGUUUAGAGAUAUUGCCUAAAAGAUGGACUUAAGGCUCAAGAUUGGGUGAGAGCUCUCCCAAACCUAUACUUCGCGUGACAUUAGAGUGUUUUUAAGAAUUUUUCAAUGAGUCACCACCACUAGCCUAUUGGGGUUAGCUAAAAACCAAGUAAGGCAUGUGAGUAGAUCUCGCUUCCUACACAACUAGAGAAUCUAGGGUCGAUAACUUGAUUACAUUAAUUAAUCAAUUAAUGCUCUUUCGAUACCUAAUCUUAUUUAUUUUAAAAGAAAAUAUUUUUGUCAAGUAGUGGAUUAAUUUUAUACUUAUCCACUAACAUGUGAAGUGAUCAUGCAAAUACACAAUCAUUAAAGUAACGGUCAAUAACCAAGAAAGUAUUAAAUAAAUUACAAGGAAAAGCAAUAAUCUAACAUAAAUAAUAAUAAUAAUAAUAAUAAUAAUAAUAAUAAUAAUAAUAAUAAUAAUAAUAAUAAUAAGAAAAAUUGACAUUCCUAACUAGGUUAAAGGGAAAUCACAAUCAAUAUAUUGAAAGUGCACCAUCAUUUGAUAAUUUGUCUCAAGAAGGGAAAUAUUAGAACCCUAUUGCAAGGCCUUAAGAGUUUGUUCAAUUUUGAGCCCUAUUUUGGUCGAUGAUUUUCCCACACUUUAAGAGAAAACUGUUCAAAAACAAAUAAAAAAAUUCGAAAUUUUUUUAAAUAUAUAUUUUUUUGCAAUUUUUUUAUUCCGAAAUAGCAACUCGGGCCGGGCCCUCGGCCCGAUUCAAAAGUGGGUCGGGUAAAGAUUCAUGGGUUUGGGCAAUGAACACUAAAAGCCAAAUUGAAGAAGUGGGUUCAAUGACUUAAAUGCAUUCGAAAAAGGGCCAAGAUCAAGCCCAAAUUUAUCAAAGGAAAACACUUAAUCCCCUUUACACUAAGAUCACUUUAAAACAACUUCCAGCACAUCCUAAAUAAGCCCAGCUCCGAAAUUAGCCCACUUACUUGACCUAUCCACAAACUCCUUCUUAGGCACCAAAAUAACCCCUGAACAGCAGCUUCUCUUUCUGCGACUCCUCCUUCCCGAAGUCAUUUUUACCUUUUCAUAGUUUACUUUUUUUUUUUUUGCUUGUUUUCUUUUUUAUUCUUUAUCCUUUUUUUUUUUUUUUACUUCAUCCCUUCCCCUUCCCUGCACCUAUCUUCUUCCUCGACGACUCCCUCCGAAAUGGGUUCCCUUGCCGAACCAUAACCAAAAUAAAACCACGUCCGACGAGCCCUCACCAAUGUUUGGGAUCGCCGCCAAACCACCAUCGGGCGUCGGUCGUUCAGUCCGACCGAUGCCGGCCACGGCCGUUGGCCGAGACACGGCUCGGCCCCCACCGAGGUUAGCCGAGGGACGAAACUCGGCCUGAACGACCGGGUACCAUUCAACAUAGCCCUGAUACCGACAUCCUCCAAUACCUAACGGUGCCAUCACCGGUCACCGUCCCUUUCCCGGCACCAUCCACGACCAACCCAUAGAAAGAACAAAGAAAAUAUAUGCAGACCUAGCCUAGACAUAAUGUCGAGCACCUGUGUGCGUCGACUGAAAAGCUAACGAAAACUCAACUGGGAGAUGAAUCAACAGUCAAGGCAGAAGCAACAACCAAGCAAAGUCUAAGACAACAAAAUCGCAGCUCACCGGGAUCGGAGACUCGUGCGGGCCAGAGAACCGCGAGCUCCGGUCUGGUGAACUAGAAAAAUCUGAAUAAAAGGAGGUGCUCGGGUGACGGGGCCCUACUCGGCUCGAUAACGGCGGCCUGCAAGCAGGUUCGAAAUGGCACGAACCGUGGCCGACCACCCUAGUGUCAUCAAGACGAGAUCAUCGGGUUAAAGGGGACUGAACUCGAAAGGAGACUUACCGGAAGAAUGGAUGCCGGGAGGCGAGGUCACGGGCGCGGCCGAGCUUCUUUCCCGCUCUCUCCUAUCAAUUUCUCGCUUUGCUCUCACUCACGAUGCUCUGUCCCUCCGACUUUCUCCUGGUUCGGUCUCUCUCCAGCUCUCUCCCCUUCAAGCUCUCUCCCUCUGUCUUGCGGUGCUUCUGUUCUCUCCUCCCCCCCCCCCCCCCCCCCCCCCCAAAACCCAUUUUUUGCCCCUGCCUCCGGCUGUUCCCCCUGCUCCGCUCUGCUGUUCUGCUUUUCUUCUUUUUUACAGGCGCGCGAGGAAGGACUGCAGGAGGAGGACGACCAGCUGGCGGGCCGCGAGGAAGGCGGAGCUGGGCCUCCGUGGGGGAAAGAAAAGGAAGAGAUGGACCGCGCCCAGGCCCGCGCGGGGGAAGAAGAAAGAGAGGCGGGCCGGGCUAAGGUCGGAUCCGGCCCGACCCGGCCUCUCUUGUUCGUUUUUUAAUUAAUAAUUUGUUAAAUAAUAAUAAUUUUAAUUUUUUUAAAUUUUUUUAAAUUAAUUUUUUUUUACCAAUUCCUAACUUUUAAUGCUUUUAAGUCUUAAGUAAAAUUGGCAAAAUUUAGGUGUCAACACAAAUAAUAUAAAAGCACAGUAUAAAUUUGAUUCUCCUAAUCAAUGAGUAUAAAUGAGAAUAUGGGGGUGAAAAAAAUGUUACAAGAACUAAAACGUGGACUUUUCGAGAAGCUCCAAUAACAGAAAUGUCGCAUAUUCGGCAAGAUGCAAGUACGUCCAUCCAUCGAGAUGUAGUUUUUGGAGAAAUUCACAAACAGAUAUUGAAUGAAUAAAAACGUUUAGAAAAAUGUCAUAAAUAGCUUUUUUAGCUCAGUUAAAUAGAGCUUACUUUAGUAAGCGAUAGGUCUUGACUUUGAAUCUCAACGAGAUCCUUUGUACUAUGACUCGUAAUUUUUUUUUUUUUUCACAUCCAAUAUACUUCGUAACAAUUUUUUUGAUAAACAAAACUUCGACCGAGCCAAAAAAAUUAGUCACUUAAUAUAUGAUAGAGCCAACAUAUACAUACUAUAUGUGUGUGUGUGUGUGUGUGUUUUCUUAGUACAAAUGGUAAUACGAGCACCCAAUUAGUAGGGGGGAGGUUGAGUUCGACUCUCAACGAGACAAUUUGUCAUUCAAAAUUUUUCAUAACGAUUUUUUUUAUAAACAAAAAAUUCAAUUGAGCCAAAAAAUUUGUCACUUAAUAUAUCAUAAAGCCAACAUAUACAUGUAAUUCAUUUUUCUUGGUACAAAUGGGGAUACGAGCACCCAUUUAUUAAGCAGGAGGUUUUGAGUUUGACUCUCAAAUAAGUUUUCUUUUUUGUAAAUUCAAAAUUCUUCAUUACAAUUUUUUUAUUAAAAAAAAGAUCGACCGAACCAAAAAAAUUGUUAGUUAAUACAUCAUAGAGCCAACAUAUACAUACAAUAUAUUUUGUUUCAUUUUCUUGGUACAAAUGGGAUACAAGCACCCGUUUAGGGCGCGUUUGGUAACGCUUUUAUUCCCGGGAACAAUUUUUUAUCAUAACUGAUUCUUUUUUAUUCUGUUUCCGAAAGCAAUUUCUAAGCAUUUUAAGCCGUUUGAUAAUUGUUCAAAAUUUCAAUUCUCAAAAUAGAAUUGCGUUUGGUACAAUGUUUAAAAUUUUUAUUCCAAAUCAUUUUCUUUUAAUUUUUAAAUAAUUUUAUUACUUUUUCCCUUUUUUUCUUUUCUCUCUCAUAUUCUUCUUCUUCAAGUGGCCGGUCGCCGAGUCGAGGGCCGGCAAUCUCACUGGAGCGUUGCCAACCCUCGGUGAGGCCUGUCCUUGUCAGCCGAGCCUCGCCAGCAACUAGGCAAGGCUUGCCCAGCCUCGCCAGUGGCUAGGCAGGCCUUGACGGGGCUGGGCAAGCCCCACCGGUGGCUAGACGGGCCUCACCUGUGGCUGAGCAGGCCUCGCUAGGGUUGGACGAGGCUCCUCUCACUAGUGGUUGGGCUUGCCUCCGGCGAGCUCGCUAGACCUCACCCUGGCUUGGCGAGCCUCCAACAAGCUCGCCAAAUCGGUUGUCGGCGACCAGUGAUGGUGGGUGGCGGACGGCAACCGCAACGAUGGAUGAAGAAGAAGAAAAGGGAAGAAGAAGAAGAGAAAAUAUGGGCUUGAUUCUUGGAUUUGUUCUCUGAAACAAAAAACAACUUUUUAUUUAUUUUUUAUUCCGUUCCAAAACCACUUCCGGGAACAAAAAAAUAAAAAUUUGUUCCCAGGAACAAAAAUUUUACCAAACACGGUUCCGUUCCAAAACUACUCUCAAGAACAAAAGAAUAAAAUUUGGCACUGUUUGGCCGAUUACCAGACAGGCCCUUAGCAAGCCAAAGUUUUGAGUCCGACUCUUAACGAGAGCAUUUGUCUUGUGACUUAUAAUCUUUCUUUCUUCUACAUUCAAAUUUUUUCGCAACAACUUUCUUUGUAAACAUUCAAACUUCUGUCUUCUUGAUGCUGUUAAAAUCAGGGAUACGGAACUCUAGUGCGAAUGGAACUCACUGCGGUGAUGCUAACGAAUCCCACUGGAAUAUGCGGAGGACGGAAAAUCUUAGAGCUGGGGAAAAUGAAUGGGUUUGGGAUUAGAUCCGGCUUGGUUAUUGCCCCGGAGCUGACUCACCCAAGCCAUUAGAAAAGAGAACUCUAGAAAAAGAAUAAUGACCAAUGUUCUUUAUUGUUCAAGCAGAGACAUUUUCUAUCGGCUAAACCUUAUGCUUCUCACAUUCAAUGCUUGUGUUCCAUCUGAAGUUAUUUCUUACCACAUAAUUGUCGACAACCUAAUUUGACCAAUAAAUGCAGUACAUCUAUAUAGUAUCUGGAGAGGAGCUGUUUCUGCUAGCUAAGGAUUACAUCAAGUAUCUUUUUGGUGGAUGUCUUAGUGCUAGGUUAACCCGUGCGAUGCCCCAGUGAGGAAGAUUUUACAAGGAGCUAACAGAGAAGAAAGAGGUUGAUCAGUAUUGGUUAGUGUUGAAAAUUGAGAUCCAUUUUCUAAAACUAGCUAAUUUCUUCUAUUGUAAUCUAGAAGCUCCUAAGUAAAGGUUUUGGUAGUAGAAGUUGUGGUCUAAAAAUGUCCAAGUUAGAGAUGUUUGGAUGAAUGGCCGUGGACAGUUGUAAAGCAAAAAAAUCUCUGACAAAAGCAGAGAUCUUUCCUUGAAGAAUACUGUGGCUGACUUUAUGAGUAAAGCAAGAACUAGUUUGUGUAAGGUGGUGGAAACAUUAGAUAAACUCCACCCACGUGAACAUCCCAUCUUACAAUUAUGUAACGCCACAUUUCUAUCAACUAAAUAAACGAUAUUCUUGUCUCAUAAAUCUUUUUCUAUUUUCCUCAAAGUAUUCAUCCUUGUCCAUUCCCCUACAUCAACUAUACCAUAAACAUAUACAUUUACACAUACAAACAAAAAGAUAUCAUUGAUAUCAAAGUCAUGCUUCGGCACAAUCUCACCAUUUCCAACGGUUAGAGAAGGCGAUAAUUAAUAUCCCGACCUAGUGGGACGGUCCUGAGAAGUAAAGGCGCAGGGACAGAAUAUAGACAAGAUUUGUCUUCCAGCUAUGAUGAUGGCCUCUGAACAAUUCAUCUUCGUCUUCCCCAGUCAUUUUAGAUGGAAUGGCGAUAUCAUUCCACGGUUCUAGUUUUGCAGUGAUCCAAAGCUUGAUCUUGCUAGACGAUGAGAAAGCUGUCUUGUGUAGUUGUUACACCAUCUGUCAUGGAAUUUUCGUGCAAAAUUUCACAAGAACAAGGUCAGAUGAAUGAAGGAUUGAAGUCUAUGUCAUUCUGUUUUGUUGCAGUAUGAAUGACUGAGUUCAAGUUGAUUCAAAGCGUUAGAGCAAUUGGGACUUGAUAGGCUGCUUCAUCGGGUGAGGACUUCUUCGUUCCAACUUUUUCUCUCCCUUUUGAUUCGUUUUCAUUUCUGCUAUUGAUUUUGUCAUUUUGAGCUUAGGUUGCUACCUAAUAGGCAGAAUUUUUGUAACAUUUGAUAUGAUAUGCAGAUACACAUUACUUGUGUAUAUCUCGAAAAUUCCCACUUUUAGACACUGCUUUUGGCUGGCUUCUAAAAAAUGCCCUUCUAUUAAUCUUCCGAGCGUUAAAAACUACAAAUAAAAACUAAAAAAGUCAGAUUGUGAGAGCAACUUCUGUUUGCUCUUUCUUUUGUUUUGCAUUGCAUAUUGGUCCUUCACCUAUUUUGUAUGCUGACAGCUAAUUAUAAACACCAAGUUGCUUCAAAGGUCAUAUUUGAAACGAGCAUAUACUGAAAUGUAGGGGCAAAAGAAAUUAUGCAGGUUCUCGAAACUCUGGUGGUUGACCGUGGGGACAUCACCCGACCCUGGUAUGUUGAGCUUUUUGAUGGCGAUGAUUUGGCCGCUGGCCAGUUCGGCCUUGUAAAUGCUCCCAAACCAGCCCUUUCCGAUGCAGUACUUUUCACUGCAGCCAUUGGUAGCCUUGGCGAUGUCAUUGAAUGUGAACUUUCCUUCCCUUCCCCAUAUGAUUGACUUGGAUUGCUCUUGCUUCACAAGACUCUUGAUCUCUUCUUUGAAUUCCUUGUUUCACCACCGAACUGCCAGAAUCAUAGCAAUUGAAGUCACUAGAAGUAGUAAACAGCAGACUCCCAGGGUCACACCAAAAAGAACCUUUUCCCUAGGUCGGUCAAUUUACCGCUCGUCCCACAAGGAGAUAAUCUGGUCGCGUUUCCACACAAACCUGGACUCGCGAUUAAAAAACUUCCCUGUGCUUGUUGGGAGAGGCGACCACUACGAACCGCACUGAUUGGCUCGUUGUACGAUAAGUCUAUUGAGCUUCAACUCCUCAUGCUGGUGAGAGGAGCUGGGAUCGUACCCGACAAUUUGUUACGCAAAAGAUUGAGAUUUUCCAAUUCAACAAGCUUUGCUAAAUUGGAAGGAAUUGAUCCUGCUAGAGAUAUGUGGCUCAGGUCCAGGAGAUUCUGUAACGUGAACAAGUUCCCCAGCUCUGGCAAUAUGACAUCCAACAGAUUGUUGUUGUUCAAGUUCAAGCUCAGUAAAUUCUUGCAAUUCGUUAGCUCUUCUGGUAUGCUACCGCUCAAUGCCUUCUCCCCGACAAAUCAAGAUAUUCUAGCUUCGAUAAGUUUCUUAACGAGAUGGGAAUGUCUCUGGCCAAAUGGUUGUAGCUCAAGUUCAGCCUAAUCAAUGCCCCCAGAGUUACCAAAUCAUAGGGAAUUUUCCUAGUCAAUUCAUUGCCAUAUGGAGUCAGAUCGCACAAUUGAGACAAUUUCCCAAGCUCCGGCGAGAUGCGGCUGGGGAUUUUGUUACCAUCUAUUUGCAAAUUCGUGACAUUCGUGCACUCUCCCCAUUCUGCAGAGAGAUUCCUGACAAAUAGAUUGUUGCUAAGGGCCUGAGGCUUAUAAAGUCCAGAUUCAGAUAAACCCCAAACACACUCAUGACAUCUGCAGUGAACCGAUUGCUGUCCAGACGGACUCUCGUUAGCCCUGGACAAUUCCUAAGCAGUCGGGCAGCGGCUCGGUGAAGUUAUUGUUAAAGCUCAUAAAACAACAAUCAAAACAGAAAACAUAUAUGUUGUUUGAGGGAGAGAAAGGAUAAAAAAACAGAGCAUAACACUUCAUACGUUUUGUGCAAAAGAAAAAACUGUCAAGUACCACAACUAAAUACAAAGCAAAAACUGCUCACAUACGUGCUAUUAACUUCCUAGAAAAUAGCAAAAACACUAAAUGCAUAACUAAAUGAACUUGGCUAUUAAAAAAAUAACAAAGGAAAAUAGAGGAAAAAACACGACCGAAAACAGCAGCACUGAGACAAUUCCAACAAACUCCUCCUUGGAUCACUUGUUGCUGCAAAUUCCUAUUUUCUCUCUUAACAGCUCAAAUUUUCCAGCCUGAAGUGGUUUUGUGAACGUAUUUGCAAGCUGAUCUUCAGAUCUGCAAUAGAUCAACUUAACUUCACCACUUUGUUACACCUCACGCAGAAAGAAAAAUUUGACUUUAAAAUGCUUGGUUUUGCCAUGGAAAACUGGAUUCUGUGAUAUUGCUAGAGCAACCUGAUUGUCCACAUUGACUUCGAUACAAUCACUGGAAUUCAACCACAAAUCCUUCAUUAUCUUCUUUAGCCACAAAGCUUGAUUUGCAGCUGUAGUAGCUGCUAUAAACUCAGCCUCUGCAGUAGACUGAGCUACAAUCUCUUGCUUUUUAGAACAUCAGGAGAAACAAGCAAAACCAAAACUGAAACAAUAUCCAGACGUACUCUUCAUGUCAUCUAUUGAACCGGCCCAGUCACUAUUAGAAAAUUCUUGCAAAUUAAACUUCUGACAUUUCUUAAACUUCACACCAAAGAACAAUGUUCAUUUGAGAUAUCUCAAGACCUUUUUUACUGCAAUCAAAUGUAACUGACUAGGACUAUUCAUAAACCUGGAUAAAAUACUUACAACAAAUAGAAUAUUUGGUCUGGUUGCUGUAAGAUACAUGAGACACCCAAUCAGACUUCUAUACAUAGAAGUAUCUACUGCAUCUGUUCCAUCAUUCUUGUGCAGCUUCUCUUUAGCAACCAUAGGAGUGCUUACACUUCAACAAUCUUCCAUCUGAAACUUCUUUAGAAUUUCCUUCAUCUAUUUUUUCUGACAGAUGAAGAUCUCAUUUGAAGCUUGUUUGACUUCCAAACCCAAAAAAUAAGUCAUUUUUUCCAAGUCCGAUAUCUCAAAAACUGCAAAUAGAUCUCGCUUCACCUUCUCUAUCAAUUCCAUAUCAUUCCCUAUCACUAAUAGAUUAUCUACAUAAAGUGACAGAAUUAUAACAUUGUGAUUCACCUUCUUGACAUAAAGAGUGAACUCACUUAAGCUUUUUACAAAGCCAAAAUCCUAUAAAUAUCGAUCUAUAUUCCCAUACCAAGCUCUUGGAGCCUGCUUCAGUCCAUAUAGAGGUUUCCUUAACCUAUAUACACUCUCUUCUUGCCCGUUGAUACUGAAGCCUUCAGGUUGUUCAACAAAAUCUCCUCCUCAAGCUCUCCAUUCAGGAAUGCAGACUUGACAUCUAACUGAAAUAUAGGCCACCCCUUCUCUGUUGCAAUAGCUAACAGUGACCUUAUUGUAUCAAGUCGUGCAAUAGGAGCAAAUGUUUCAGAAUAGUCUACUCCCCAUAUUUGUGCAUAGCCUUUUACCACCAGUCUAGCUUUGUGUUUAUUGACAGAACCAUCAGGAUUAAGUUUUAUUAUAAACACCCACUUAACCCCAAUCACAUUCUUAUCAGAUGGUCUAUCAACAAGCUCUCAUGUGUGGUUUUUCUGGAUCAUUGCAAUCUCCUCCUACAUUGCUGUAAUCCACCUCUAAUCCUCCUUAGCUUCCACAAAGUUAGAUGGUUCGAGCAUUGCCACAUUGCUUUUUUCAUAGAUUUCAGCAAGUGACCUUGUGCCUCUCAUGUGACACCCCGAACCCUUCGCAGGUCGUCACCAGCGCCGGUGUUACAUCUUUUACCAUCUCUAUCUCUUGGCUAAAUUAAGCCUUGCCAGAUUACAGGCAUUUUUUUUUCUUUUUCUUUUAAAGCGGUCCCAUGCGCGACUCAUAACGGAAGCAAAAUUCACAUCGUCAUCUAUCUCCCUUCUAACCCAUGAUACAAAUACACACCAGCUAAACAUCAUGAUUUUAUAAACGAACAUCGACACAUUAUUUACAUAUAUUUUCAAGAUGGGAUUACUCUCGGGUCGGUACAUAACAAGGAAAAGCUAGGACUCAGCCAUGUCCAGCCUAAAACCUCAAAAAGAAACCUCGACCCUUAACAUCAUGUGAACAAAGAACCCUCCCAUCGAAAGCGUCGGUUUUCUACAUCAAAAAGUGAUCUAGCUCCUACUCCUCGCGUACAGGUCUCACACCCAACCCGGUGUGUCAGGUGGUGGCGGCAGCAGCAUCCCUCGCAUCGCUCCAUCCCGUCGAACGUGCACAGAUAGGAACUCUUGUAUGAUAGGGCCCCCAGCCAGGCCGAUAUCAUACAUAACUAAGCAUCGCACUCGGAUAAACGUCAAUCCGGGCACAGAGGGACAAUCUAUCUCCGUACACUCCACCUCAACAUCAGACGGUAGACCGUAAAAUACCCCACGCAAAACAGCAGGUAGCGGCAUAGUGCUAAUCUGAAAUGUUAUCCCCAAAAGGGGUGAGUACAACCACUCAGCAGAUAGGGAAAUCUAAUGACAACUCAGUGCACCAUGCAUACCAUCAUACAAUGCAGGCAUUGCUUACCUUUUUUAUGUCAAGCGUAUUCAUGCAUCAUCAUAGCAUAUAUAUAUCAUCAUCAUGGCGUCUCAUAUAUCAUUAUCAUCACAUCAUCAUUAACCAUGCAUCACCAUGCAUAUCACAUCAUAUCAUCAUUAGCCAUGCAUCACCAUGCAUAUCACAUCAUCAUUAGCCAUGCAUGACCAUGCAUAUCACAUCAUAUCAUCAUUAGCCAUGCAUCACCAUGCAUAUCACAUCAUAUCAUCAUUAACCAUGCAUCACCAUGCAUAUCACAUCAUAUCAUCAUUAGCCAUGCAUCACCAUGCAUAUCACAUCAUCAUUAGCCAUGCAUCACCAUGCAUAUCACAUCAUAUCAUCAUUAACCAUGCAUCACCAUGCAUAUCAUAUCAUCAUUAGCCAUGCAUCACCAUGCAUAUCACAUCAUCAUUAGCCAUGCAUCACCAUGCAUAUCACAUCAUAGAUCAAUUUCCACUUUUAUUUAUCAAUUGAUCCCCACAUUAUCUUUUCUCAAAUCAUCAAAUUCACCAUCAUCACCAUCCCUUCGGGCAGAAACCUCCGACAGGGAUCCCAGUAACCCAGCCAUCUCAUGGCCACUGGGCUUCCGGCCCCCCACAUUCCGGGCAUCUCGCAUCUCAACUAGCAUCACGAGGCAUUCCCUUCGGACAGAAACCUCCGACAGGGCUUCCGGCCUUUACCCUUCUAACCGGGGAUCUCGCACCCUAAUCCUGGCAUCGCGAGUCACUCCCUUCGGGCAGAAACCUUCGACAGGGCUUCCGGCCCCCCACAUUCCGGGCAUCCUGAAACUCCCAGGGAAUCUCUGGAAUUAUGCCACUCGGCCACCAGAUAUCAUCCUCCGCCACAACCUCUUACUCACAUACCAUUUUCCACUUUUUAUCAUCCUUUUCAUCUUGUUAUUUCAUGGCAUAUGAUUUACAUACAUGCAUCACAAUUCAUGAUCAUUCAUACAUCAAUGCCAUAUAACAAUACAUCAUAAUUCAUGAUCAUACAUGUAUCAAUGUCAUGUAGCAAUGCAUCAUAAUUCCAUAGGACUCAUGGCCAAUAAAAUAAUCCACCUUUUAUUUUAUUAUUAUUUAUUAUUAUAUUAUUAUAUUAUUAUAUUAUUAUAUUAUUAUAUUAUUAUAUUAUUUAUUUUCAUAAAUAAAUAUUAUAUUUAAUAUUUAUGAUUUUCCAAAAAUCAUAAUCUUCAAUCAAUCAUUAAACAAACAAUUAGAAUCAAAUUUCACAUAAAAUCCAUGGCUAAUUUGCAUUUUACAUAAUUUCCCAAAUUUCCACAAAAUACACACAACAUUCGGAUCAUGGCCAGAUUGCACAGUUUUCGAAUUAAUUCAAUUAAAAUACUCAUAUGACCUCCGAAAAUUCCCAAAUUUUACAGGAUGAUAGCCAACACAUUUUCGUGCAUUUUUCAUGAAUAACUCUAAGCAAAAUUCUUUAUAUAUUAAUUUAUAUAACUCCACGAAGCUUCUGGAACCUCUACCGUUUCGUCCAGAACGUACAUCACCGAAAAACUUAGGUUCGACCCAUCAAAUCUCUUUCGUUUCUCCUGAAAUUCGAGUAUGUUAUAUAUCAAUGUGUCCUUUACAAGUUUCAUGAAGAGAUCUAGGUUAAAUAACCAAAGCAUGAUCCUCUUUUAAGUCCUUGAAGUCUCGGGUGUCUCGGUUCACUUCAACAGAACCAUCCGUCUCAAAGAUCUAGCUGGUUAACUAGGCUAUACUCAUUUUUUCUCCUAAAAUUUGAGUAUGUUAUAGUUUAUGAUGUUAUCUACAACAUUCAUGAAGACAACAAAGUGAGAUCUCCAACAGAAAUCAACAUGCAACCAAGAAAUCAACAAAAGGUCAGUAGGAAAUUCGCAGAUCUAAAGCCUCCGUGAAAUAGAACUUUUGACCCCUCAUAUCACCAUAGUUUUCCAUGAAAUUCGAGUAUGUCAUACCUCAAGAUGUUAUCUUCAACUUUCAUGAAGACACUGAAGCCAAAAUCACACUUCAAAUACACAUGCAAGCUCGAAUAAGAUACUGUCUACCACCAACCGAACGGAAACAGCCACAUAACAUGAACACAUUCAACCCUUACUUCGGUAUUUCGCCCAAAUCACCCCUAAACCCGAACAUGCAACCAUCAAAACAACAUGCAAGAGAAGUUAAGGACCCCCCACUUGCCUCCAAAAUGAACGAACAGCAAGCACAAGGCGGCGUAGGAUGGUCGGACAAGGUGGCGACGGCGAGACACGACGGCGGCAACUCUCGGCUCCACCUCCUCUCUCUCGGUCUCUCCCCUUUCUCGAACACUCUCUCUCUCUCUCUCUCUCACCUUUCUCGGCCAAAAUGAGCUAGAGGAACCGGCCACUCUCUUUCCUAAUCCCCUUUUUAUAUCCCCUCAAUUGCAAUGAUUAACUCACCUCAACCAUGGCCAAUGCAUGAGGGCUUGUCUUGCCACUUGUAAUUCUUGUUUUUAAAUUUGAAUUUCAAUGGGCUUGGGCUUAGGCCCAACCGGCCAUUUCUCCUUCUUGGGCUGGUCGAACUCCCCUCUUGGGCCCAAUGGGCCGACUAGCUUGGCCCACCAAGCUCUAGGCUAAUGGGUCCAAGGCCCAUUUCGAAAAUAACCCUAUUUUCUCUUCUUUUUUUUUUUGAAUUCCUAUUUAUAAAUAUUUCUAAAUUCAAAUUUCAUCUUGGCCAAAGUCUUGGGAUAUUUCAAUUAUUGAAAUUUAAAUCAUAUGGCCAAGCAUUUAAAUUUAAAUUUCCACAACACAAGCAAAAUUCAUCAAAUUAAAAGACAAAUUGGCUAAAGCAUAAGCCAUAAAAUUCUAUCACCUAAUUAAAGACAUUUAACACACCUUAAGGCUUGGCUUUGAAUUUCCGGGAUGCCACAUCUCACUAGUAAAUCAUCCAUACUGUCUUCUAAUCCAUCUAUAACUUCAUCAACCUCUACAUCUGUUGCAGGUUGUUUUUCGAACUGCUGUUGUUUUGCACUCUUUCCUUCCAUCCAAUUCCACUCAUCUUCCCCUAGAAAAAUAACAUCUCUACUCACAAUCACCUUCCUUGUCAUGGGAUGGAAAAUCCUAUAAGCCUUUGAUUGAAGAUUAUACCCAAUAAAGAUUCCAAGCUCUACUUUCUUAUUCAGCUUGUCCCUCUUGACCUCAGGAACAUGAGUGUAACACAAACACCCAAAAACCUUCAAAUUCUUCAUAGAAGGUCUAACACCAUGCCAGACUUCAAAAGGUGUUGACUUCUCUAAGGCCUUUGUGGGCAAUCUAUUCAAUAGAAACACUGCAGUAUUAGCUGCCUCAACCCAGAACUUCUUAGGUAACUUCUUCUCCUGCAUCAUACAUCUAGCCAUCUCCAUAAGGCUUAUGUUUUUCCUCUCACUCACCCCAUUCUGUUGAAGUGAAUAGGGAGCAGUGAACUGCUGUACAAUUCUUGCUUGCUCACAAUUCAACUUAAACUUGUGAGCUGUAUACUCAGAACCAUUAUCAGACCUGAGCAUUUUAAUUUUCUUCCCACUCUGAUUCUCAACUAAGGCUUUGAACUUCACAAACACAUCAGCAACUUCAGACUUGGCUCGCAGAAAAUAAAUCCAACUCAUCCUAGUCAUAUCAUCAGUGAAAGUAAUGAAAUACCUACUACCAUUGAGAGAAGACUCGGACAUAGGUCCACAUAAAUCUGUGUGGACUAAUUGUAGCUUCUCACAUGCUCUCCAGCCUCCUCCUUUGAAAGGAAAUUUGGCUUGCUUGCUAAGAAGACAAGUUAUGCACCGUGGAAAUUCCUCCUCCAAACUUGGCAAGUCAUCUGCCAAGUUAUUCCUCUGCAUAAACGACAUGCUCUUCUUGUGAACAUGCCCAAGUCUUUUAUGCCAUAGCUUUGCAUUUUCUUCUUUGCACUUUAAAGCCAUUUGUUGCAUCUCUUGUGGCUUGAACAUGAAACUCUUGUCCUUCAUUGGGAUUCUUAGCACUUCUUUGCUAUAUGCAUUAUUAAUAAGAUGUUCCUUCUCUUCGAACUUCACUUUAUAGCCCUUCUCAACUAAUUGACCAACACUUAACAAAUUCUAGUCAAUAUUUGGCACAAAAAGAACAUCACUGAUCAGCUUCACCUCCCGAUUUCCUUCAAUAACCACUGUACCCUUCCCUUACACUUCGAUAUACUGUCCAUUUCCAAUUCUAACUCUGGACCUGACUGACCUGUCUAGACUCCUAAACAACUUCGAAUUGCCAGUCAUAUGAUUGGUACAGCCACUAUCCACCAGCCAUGCAUCAUUCCCAACAGAAGAUCCAGGAAAUGAAGCUACAAACAAGUGCUCUUCCUCAAUUUCAUUCACUGCAACCUGUGCUUCUCCUGCUUGCUAGUAAUUUUUCUGUUUGUAGAUGGUUUCCAUGUGACCCAACUUGUGACAUCUUCUACACCUAGCAUCAGGCUUUCUCCAACAUCUAAAAAACUGAUGAUUAGUUCCACCACAAUAUUGACAAGGUUUUUUGUUCUUCUUCCAUUUGCUAGACUCACCAGAAUUUCCUUCUUUUGCUAUAAACUUGGAAUCACCAGCAUUUCCUCUCAACUGAAUCCAUUUCUUCCAUUUGCCUCCAUCAUUGGACUUCACUCUAGCUUGCAGUGCACCCUCUACAUGCUCUUCUCUUUUCAUCAGUCUUCUGUGCUCCUGUGCCUGCAGAGCAUUUAAUAAUUCUGCAAGCUUUAUAUCAGCUAAGUCUCUUGUAUUUUCCAAAGACGCUAUGGUGGCUUUGAACUUCUCUAGAAGAGACACCAGGAUCUUCUAAACAAGCCUUUCAUCCUUCAAGUUAGUUUCUAAAACUUUGAUUUUUUCAGCUAUCUCAACCAGCCUAUCAAAGUACUCCUUCACUGACUCUGAAUCCUUCAUCUAUUGUCUCUCAAACUCCCUCAAGAGAUUCAGCACCUUCAUGCCUCUUAUCUUCUCAUCUCCCUCGUAUUCAUCCUUCAAGAAGUUCCAUAUUGCCUUUGCAGAAUCACAUCUCAUGAUCCUUGUGAAGACAGUGGGUGAAACAGCAGCAUACAUGCAAGACUUUGCCUUAGCCUUCUUUGGGAUUCUCUCUUUAUGGUACUUUAUCUGAUUUAAGGUCGGAUUAACUGGAAGUGGAGCAACCUCAUAAUCAUUCUCCACAGCCUCCCAUAGAUUGUGACCCUCCAAGAAUGCUGUCAUCUUGACAGCCCAAGCUUGAUAAUUUUCCCCAGUAAAGACUGGAGCAACCAUUGUAGAGAAUCAACUCGAUCUUGCCUCCAUCAGCUUUUUCUUUGCAAAUUGGAAGCAAUCUUCACUCACUUACCCUCACUUCACAGUCCCUUAAGAUCCUACAAACGCUCUAAUACCAAUGUUAAAGCUCAUAAAACAACAAUCAAAACAGAAAACAUCUUUGUUGUUUGAGGGAGAUAAAGGAUAAAAAAAAAAAAAAAAACAAAGCAUAGCACUUCAUAUGUCUUGUGCAAAAGAAAAACUGUCAAGUACCACAACUAAAUACAAAGCAAAAACUGCUCACAUACGUGCAACACAUAACUGCACACAAACGUACUAUUAACUUCCUAAAAAAUAGCAAAAACACCAAAUGCAUAACUAAAUGAACUUGGCUGUUUUUUUUUUUUAAAAAAAAAAAAGAGGAAAACAGAGGAAAAAACACGACCGGAAACAGCAGCACUGAGACAAUUCCAAUAGUUAUUCCCAUCGACCGCGAGAUAUCAAAGAGCAAAGCCGUUGCAUAUAUCUGGCGGCAGCUCUCUGGUGAAGCUGUUGUUCGAAAAGCUAAUGUUGCCCAGAGAAUGGCUGUACUUGCCGAAAUCACGUGGUAUGCCUCCCGAGAAAUUGUUCAUGAACAAAGAGAUGGACUGUAAGUGAUACUACGUCAUGGCUUUUUCCUUCCCAACCCUGAUCUCCUCUUCUUCAACUUGAAGUGCCUCCUUGGUGGUAUACUUGCUCGUCAUCUUGCAAACCGACCUUCAUCACUGACAGCCUCUCAAACUUGAUCUCGUAAUCAAUCGACUCGAUUUUGUCGUCCAAUGUGUCACCUUCGAUUAUCGGCUACCUACACACGAAGUUCUCCUUGUCAAGCUCAUCGAUCCGGUGCUUCACAUUCUUGAAAUGACUAGCUGCAUUUGUGACCAAACAAGACUUACAUUAUGAAACUCCCGGCUUGAUGAGUGUUUGUUGAGUGUACGUACCUUCGGCGAUAUUAACUUGCUCAAUGCUCCCGGCUCCUCCGUCGCCUUGCACGAGCUCCACGCUCUUUAUGAACUGAGGCAGGAGCUUUGGGAUCAGGGAAUUCAACCCGACGAUCAAGGCCUUGAACAUGUGAGCUGGUGCAAUCGGGCAUGUGAGCUCUUGUGUGAUGCUGGUUGCACCCAUGGCUAUUGGCAAUGAGAAAGAAAUAACCCCAGAGAAGUUGGUGCUUCUGAGUCCUGCCAAUGCCUCCUAUUUAUGGUUAGAAUUAUGUGAAUAGGUAGGCUUGGUUUGGCAAGAGUCACGUAUGAGGAAAAUAAAAGAGUCAAGGAUUCGCGGCCUAAAGAAAUGUAAAAGAGGAAUUAAGUUGGUCUCUUUUGUUCUCUUGGUCAUGAAAAUGAUUUCGGUCCCUUUUCAGAUUCAAGUUGUUGAAAUAUCAAAGUAUAUGUUCCAAAAGAUGAACACAAGAGAGCGCAUUCUCAUGCUCACAUGGGCGGCCGUCACUUAGAAUUGAUUGUUGUGGAGUUUGAUAUGACGAUUCAGCGAUAUCGUAAUCAAAUGUCCUUGUUUAGACAAGCGAGUGUUCAUUGAAUUUCAUUCAAUAUGUAGCAAACAAUAACACUUAAUAAAUUAGUGAUAUCACAAUAAUAUGUCGCACAAUAUAAACAUCACAUAAAAUAUUUCUUCACACUCGAUGCCUUAAUGUUGUGGUAAAUCCAUUUCAAUUCAUCCAAUAAGGCCUUUCGUAAUCAUUUCCAUAAAAUUUAAAAGAAAAAGGUUAAGGUUGAUAAAGCUUCACUGACACCGGCGGUUUGACUGGGUCAAAAUAGGGUCGGCAACGGGGUGUCCCAAGAUCAGCUCAUCAUCUGAGUGGGAGGGGAUGUGGAGGCUGCUGCUUUUCCGUUAUAAUUUUCUUCUCUUUUUCUUUUCUUUUUUUCUUUUUCUAUUAUUGUUGAAUCGUUUGAUCUCUAAUCCAUUGUCCCCAUCAAGAAUCAAGAUAGGAUUAGCUUAAAUAGAAUUCAAAUAGCCGAAGUGUUGCAAUAAGAUAAGUCUAAACCCUAAACACAUUCAACAAUUUUUGUAUAGCUUUAUUGAUAUUUAAUAAAAAUGUACUUUUCCUUAAAAAUUUUACUUAUUGCGGGUUAUGAAAAAUUGUGCCACAUUGAUAUGUUUAGAUGAUCGAUCUGGGUCAAACGGGAUCGAUUGUCCAUAUUCGAAAUAUCAGGCCGCAGUUUACCAUGAAUUCAUUUGUCACUCAUGAAUUCUCUCCAUGUAGCGCAGUUUACCAAAUUCCAUAAAACCACUACACCAGAUUCCUGCCACACCUUUCAUUCUCUCAUUCUCAGCAAAGACGAGAACAACAACAAUCACCAGCCCAACAUGCUUUAACUUCAAACACCGAGUGACUCAAACGCUUCUUGUCGCCUAUUUAGUUUAGCCCAACCGGACAUAUUUAAUACGUUACAUGAACAAUAAAAGAUAGCGAUGAGAUCGGCGCAACAUGCAUCAGGGUUUGCCACGACAGAAGCCUCGAUGGCCUUAACCAUCGCGUCCGCCUUCUCUUUCCCGGCCUUGAUCUCCUCCUCGGUGAUAUUCACCUCGCCAAUGGUUAAGUACUUGCUUGUGCUCUUCAACAUCGAGCCUCCGUCGGGCGACGCGGUGAUCUUCACCUCGUAACUGAUCUUCUCAAAGUCGGUGCCCAGCGGGUCACCCUCGAUGAUUGAGUAGCAGUAGGUGAAGUUCUCCUUGUCCAAGGCCUAGACCUUGUGCUUUGCCGUCUUGUACCGACUGCCUAUCAAAGUAACAAAGUAACAUUCACAUUUAGAACUCGCCGGUUUCAACAUUGUGAGCACUGAUCUUGAUGGUGUAGAUCCAGCCAUUUAGGAAUUAACCCCCAACCCCAAUCCAAUACUAUUGACUUAGACAUGGCCUGAUUUUGCCCGAUCGAAAUCGCGUCACAUGAUCACUUGCGUAAAUUUAAACAGUUAGAAACAUAUUAAUUAAUCAAGUCAUAUAUCUAUCCUUUUCAAUGUUCAUUAUAGUGUUCUAGGUUGAACCCGCCUUGAUUCGGAGCGAUCCUAAGUUCCUAAUACGGAAGGACUAACUUUCGCAGAAAGUCAUACCUCCAUCGCCCUCGAGGACUUCAAUGCUCUUGACGUCUUGUGGGAGGACCUUGUUGAUGAGGUUAUCGGCGUCAAGGAGAGUGGCUCAAACAUCUCGGCUGGAGGGAUUGGGGACGUGGUCUCGAAGUCAUUAGUGAUGACACCCAUGACUGGAUCCGAACAGAGUUGCUGAAACUGAGAAGAGGGUGAUGAUCAGGAAAAGACUUGGGCGUGAUGAAGUUGGUCUCUAGGACUUGGGAGUGAAGAAAGGAGGCUAAACUGAAGAUGACAUAUAUAGAGAGAGACUGAGUGUGAAGGGUUAUGAUUACUGAAUAUUUCCUUCUUACUUAAGAGGGUUUCGUAGAAAAUAAAUAAUUUGAAAAAUAUUUUCUUAAAAAUAAUCACUAAAUUUGGAUACUGUUUCCAAGCAAAAGUUAAUUGGUGAGUGUGCUACAUAUUCUAAAUUGAUCUAAAUCCAUAUAGAACUCACUAGAAUUAAAAGUCAAGAUUCUCCUUAAUAUAAAUACGAUGAAAAAAUGCUACCUCAUUUCCGAGUGUUCGUCAAAAUUGGUUUGUAUGUACUAUGUUAAUCUAAAUCGCUAAAUUUGAUGGAUUCACAUGGGAUCCAUACGAAACUCACUAGAAUUAAAAGUUCAAAUUCCACUUAAUAUAAAUACGGUGCUCUUUCCUCAAAAUUGUGUUGUCUAUACUAAAUUGAUUUAAAUCACUAAAUCCGAUGGGUUCUUGUGAUACCCAUAUGGAACUCACUAGAAUUAAAAAUCCAAAUUCAGCUUAAUAUAAAUAUGACCAUAGCUCAUUUCCGAGUCUUCAUCAAAAGUGUGUUUGAUGUCCUACAUUGAUAUAAAUCACCAAAUCUGAUGGGUUUGCAUGGGAUCCAUAUAGAACUUACUAGAAUUAAAACUCCAAAUUCCCCUUGAUAUAAAUACGACACUACCUCAUCUCCGAGUCUUCAUCAAAAUUCUGCUAAAGGUACUAACUUAAUCUAAAUCGCUAAAUUUGAUGGGUUCACGUGGGAUCCAUACGAAACUCACUGAAAUUAAAAGUUCAGAUUCCAUUAAUAUAAAUAUGAUGCUCUCUCAUUGAAAUUGCAUUGUAUGUACUAAAUUGAUUUAAAUUGCUUAAUCUGAUGGGUUCAUGUGGGACUUAUAUGGAACUCACUAGAAUUAAAAGUCUAGAUUCUGCUUAAUAUAAAUCAACCUUGGCUCAUUUCCGAGUCUUCAUCAAAAGUGUAUUGUGGGUUCACGUGGGAUCUAUAUAGAACUCGUUGAAAUUAAAAGUCCAGAUUCCUAUUAAUAUAAAUAUGACACCACCUCAUUUCCGAGUUUUCAUCAAAAUUAUAAGUUAAUCUACGGGUUUGUUUUGUUAUUAUGACUUUUGAGAUUCCCUUUCAUGUAUUAGUUUGGUAAUGAAUAGAAAUUUCUUUUUGACCCAAAAAAAAAAUUAAUCUAAAUCGCUAAAUUCUAUGAGUUUACAUGGGACCCAUAUGAAACUAUGGAACUCACUAAAAUUAUAAGUCUAGAAUCCACUAGAUAUAAAUAUGACGCUAGCUCAUUUCCAAAUCUCCGUCAAAUGCUUUUUUCUCAUCACUUUGAAGCUUCCGAUCGCACCCCACUUUGUUGCACGUGAAUCGGGAAUGUUUUACGACGCCAAAGUCUUUGUUAAAUCUCAAAAAGAUUGAGUCAACGUGGAACAACAACUCAAUUGUAAGCAUCGGGGUUUUGCAAGAGAUGGGCUCCAAUGGCUUUCAACAUUCCCAUGGCCUUCUAUUUGCUAGCUUUGUUCUCGACCCCGUCCUUGGCGAAGUACUUGCUCGUGCUCGUGCUCGUGCUCUUGCACGUGCACCCUCUCUGUCUGGACUUGAUCUCGUUCGAGAUCUUCUCUAGCGCGUCGCCCUCGACGAUGGUGUAAGCGUGCGCGAGCUUUCCUUGUCCAGCUUGUGGACUGGUGCUUCACCGAGUUGAACCGUCUAGCCGUGACACACAGAAAACUGCAGUCAGCUCCCACGUUAGUCUUAUCAAAGAAUGUCAGGCCAAUGUCUUGACAUCACAUGUUGAUGCGACGUGACCAAAAUGAAUGAAAUUAGAAGACGCGCAAGUACUCGCCUCCACCGAAAACGAUGCGAUGGUGACGGGACAGCCAUCACCUUCAAGGGUGACAAAAUCCAGACUGGCUUGUGGGAGGAGCUUGGGGAUGAGAUUUUUAUCAAGAUCAAAGGCCUUGAACAUUCGUGCAGGUGGGAUGGAAUGCGUCUUCGCCUAAGAUUUCCGAGUCCCAGGGCAAGAUAUGUGAGAUUAUGUUGAAAUGCCCUUUAAAUGAUUCUCAAUCUCCUCGUUUAGCAAUCUAAAUCAGCAUCACAAUGUUCUUAAAUAAUACAACAAAAAAACAGGACAAAACGCAUGGAUCUCAAGCCCAAAUUAUACUUAUUAGCAUGCGAGAGAUCUUUGAAUGCAAACACCCUUGAGGGUGGGAAUUCACUAAAUUAUAACUUAAAUAUUCUAACGGCACCAACGGCUUGGACAAGCAAGCUUGAGUGCAUGCGGACAAUUCUUGCGCAAUGAAAUGCAUGGUAAGUCGCGAAUCGAGACUCGUCCACGUACACGCUAUUGCGACCAUGACCAUGAAGACCACUUCCUUGACCAGUUGGCUAGUCGGAGGAGGAAGAUGUGGGUCGAGCAUAUCCUAUAGUGGCACAUUUGAGUCUUUCAAUAAUGUCGACAUUUGUGUCAUUUGUAGGGAAGAGAGAAGAUUCCUGGAUGCUUCCCCAUCAUUCUCUAGCAUUGGUACUUUUACUGUUGACUCUGUUUCAUGAAAGAAGAAUGAAUCUAUGUUUUUAUUACAACCUCAAGUUGCCUACAAAUUCCAAAUUUUUGAGAUACUGUUAAUACAAACCACUUUUCAAAAUCUGUACUUGCUCUUCCUAAAAAGUCUUAUUAGAAGUAUUGGACGAAUCCAAAUUCAAUAUGUCAAUUAAAGCUAUUUGAUCAACCCGAGACCAUAGGUACAGGGGGAAUGUAUUGAUUAGAUUUGAUUACGUAGCUUACCAGAAACCAUGUAGUCAUAAGAUCUAGCCACAGGGAUCCAAUUCGAUGAAUCCAAAUUCAAGAGCCUCACCGUCCCAAAAACCAAAAGCCGAGGCUCGAAGUCCGACUCGAGCAAGAUGUUGUUCAACAUCAUGUCCUGAUGGACAAUAGGCAGUGAGCAAUCGUGAUGCAAGUAGGUGAUCGCGGGAGCCACGCAUUGAACAAUCUUCACUCUCUUGACACAAGUCCGAUUCAACUGCUCCUCUUCUUCCAUGCAAGACCUUUGCCAAAGUUCAGAAAAACAUUGGAUGAUGUCCCUGCGGUUAACCACCACUUUUUUUACCGUGACGAUGUGGCCGCUGGCCUAUUCGGCCUUGUAAACGCUUCUAAAUCCGCGUUUUCCGACGCAAUACUCUUCACUGAAGCCGUUGGUGGCCUUGGCAAUAUCGUUGAAUGCAAACUUCGUUCCCCUUUUCCAUAUGAUUUCACGUACUUCAUAAGAUUUCUUAUCUCUUCAUCGAGAUGCUUGUUUCACCGCCAAAGCACCGAAAUCAGAGCAAUAAGAGUCACGAGAAGUAGUAAGCAGCAAACGCAACAAUCACAUUAAUCAGAACCUUUCUCCGAUGGUCAGUCGAUUUACUGCUCGACCCGCAUGGAGACAUUCCGUCGCGUUUCCUCAUAAGCCCGGAUUUGCAAUAAAAGCACUUCCUAGUUAUUGUCGAAAGAGGCGACCACCAAGAACUGCGCCUGUCAGCUUGUUGUAUAAGAAGCCCAUGAAGCUUAAACUGCUCAUGCUGGUGAGAGCAGCUGGGAUCGUACCCGACAAAUCGUUAUGCGAAACAUUGAGAUUUUCCAAUUUAGUGAGCUUUGUUAAAUUGGAAGGAAUUGAUCCUACUAGUGAAUUGUGGCUCAGGUCUAGUGGUUCUGUAGCGUGAACGAGUUCCCCAGCUCUGGCGACAUGACACCCAACAUAUUGUUGUUGCUCAAGUUCAAGCUCAGUAAAUUCUCGCAAUUUGCUAACUCUUUUGGUACAAUAUAUAGAGAAGGGAUGUACUUGCCGUAUUGUGGUUUAUGAAAGAUUGUGCCACAUUGAUAACUUUAGAUGUUAAUCCAAAUUCAAAAUAUCAGGCCAAAGUUUGGUAUUUUAUUGGCCAUUUGGCAUUUCAUUUAUAACUCAUGAAUUCUCUCCUCGUAAAAAAAAUUACUAAAUUAGAGAAUUUCAUUCUACAAGCCUUGUAUAGUUUAUCAAAUUACACAAAACCACUGCACCAGAUUCCUAUCACACCUUUUAUUCUCUUAUUCUCGGCAAUGACAAGAACAACAACACUCACCAGCCCAACAUGCUUAGCUCCAAACAGAGUGACUUAAACUCUUCUUGUCUCCUUUUCAGUAUAGCAUAACCACACAUAUUUAACACAUUACGUAAACAAUACAAGAUAGCGAAGAGAUCGGCUCAGUAGGCAUCAGGGUUUUCCAAGAGAUAAGCCUCGAUGGCCUCGUACAUCGCGGACGCCUUCUCUUUCCGGGUGUUGAUCUCCUCCUCGGUGAUGUCCACCUCGCCAAUGGUGAAGUAACUGUUCGUGCACUUCAACAUCGAGCCUCCCAAAGGCAACGCGUUGAUCUUCACCUCAAAGGUGAUCUUCUCGAAGGUGGUGCCCAGCAUUUCGCCAUCGAUGAUUGAGUAGCAGUAGGUGAAGUUCUCCUUGUCCAGGGCCUCGACCUUGUGCUUUGCUGUCUUGUAUGGAUUGCCUAUCACUGUAACAAAAAGUCAUAUUCACAUUUAGAACUCGCAGGUUUCAAUAUCACGAGCACCAAUCUUCAUGGUGUCCAUCAGGCCAUUUAGGAAUUGACCCAAUUGUUCCGACCGCAAUCCAAUACAAUUGACUUAGACAUAGCCUGACUUUGCCUGAUCAAAAUUGAGUCACAUAUUCACUUGUGUAAAGUUAAACGGUUAGAAACAUCUUAAGUAACCGAGUCAUAUUUUUAUCUUUUUCCAUAUUCAUUAUAGUGUUUCAUAAGGUUGAACCUGCCUUGAUUCAGAGCAAUCCUAAGUUCCUAAUACGGAUGGACUAACCUUCAGCAAAAGUAAUCAACUUGAUGGUCCCGGGACCUCCAUCGCCCUCGAGGACUUCAACGCUCUUGACGGCUUGCGGGAGGACGAUGGGGAGGAGGUUACCGGCAUCGAGGACAACAGCCUUGAACAUCCUGGCCAGGGGAAUGACGGACGGGACAUCAAAGUGAAAAGUGAUGACACCCAUGACCGGAUCCUAACGGAGUUGCUGAAACUGAGAAGGGGGUGAUGAUCUGGAAAGACUUGAGUAGUAGUGACGAAGUUGGUCUCUGCGACUUGGGAGUGAAGAGAAGAGGCUGAAUUGAAGUUGACAUAUAUAGAGAGAGAGGGAGACUGAGUGUGAAGGGUUCUGAUCACUGCAUAUUUUCUUCUUACUAAGAUGCAUUAUAUUUUGCAGAAAAUAGAUAAUUUAGAAAAUGUUUUCCUAAAAAUAAUCACUAAAUUUAGAUAGUGUUCCGAGCAUAAGUUAUUUGGUGAGUGUGCUGCAUGUUCUAAAUUGAUCUAAAUUGCUAAAUUUAAUGGGCUCACUAGAAUUAAAAGUCUAGAUUCCCCUUAAUAUAAAUACGACACUACCUCAUUUUCAAGUCUUCGUCAAAAUUGUAUUGUAUAUAAAUAUGACCCUAGCUCAUCUCCGAGUCUUUAUCAAACGUGUGUUGUAUGUCCUAAAUUGAUCUAAAUUGCUAAAUCUAACAGGUUCACAUGGGAUCCAUGUGGAACUCACUCGAAUUAAAAGUCUAGAUUCUCCUUGAUAUAAAUACGAUGCUAUGUCAUUUCUAAGUUUUCGUCAAAAUUGUGUUGUAUAUAAAUAUGACCCUAGCUCAUUUCUGAGUCUUUAUCAAACGUGUGUUGUAUAUCCUAUAUUGAUCUAAAUCCCUAAAUCUAACAGGUUUACGUGGGAUCCAUGUGGAACUCACUCGAAUUAAAAGUCAAGAUUCUCCUUGAUAUAAAUACGAUGCUAUGUCAUUUUGAAGUUUUCGUCAAAAUUGUGUUGUAUACACUAAGUUAAUCUAAAUCGCUAAAUUUGACGGGUUCAUGUGGGAUCCAUAGGAAACUCACUAAAUUAAAAGUUCAAGUCAACUUAAUAUAAAUACAGUUUUCUUUCAUCAUAAUUACGCCGUAUGUACUAAAUUAACCCAAAUUGCUAAAUCUAACAGGUUCACAUGGGAUCCAUGUGGAACUCACUCGAAUUAAAAGUCAAGAUUCUCCUUGAUAUAAAUACGAUGCUAUGUCAUUUCUAAGUUUUCGUCAAAAUUGUGUUGUAUAUAAAUAUGACCCUAGCUCAUCUCCGAGUCUUUAUCAAACGUGUGUUGUAUGUCCUAAAUUGAUCUAAAUCGCUAAAUCUAACAGGUUCACAUGGGAUCCAUGUGGAACUCACUCAAAUUAAAAGUCUAGAUUCUCCUUGAUAUAUAUAUGAUGCUAUGUCAUUUCUAAGUUUUCAUCAAAAUUGUGUUGUAUAUACUAAGUUAAUCUAAAUCGCUAAAUUUGAUGGGUUCAUGUGGGAUCCAUAGGAAACUUACUAAAAUUAAAAGUUCAAAUCAGCUUAAUAUAAAUCUAGUGCUCUUUCAUCAAAAUUACGUCGUAUAAACUAAAUUAACCCAAAUCGCUAAAUCUGAUGGGUUCAUGUGGGACCUAUAUAAAACUCGCUGGAAUUAAAAGUCUAGAUUCUACUAAAUAAAAAUGAGGCCCUAACUCAUUUCCGAGUCUUUGUCAAAAGUGUGUUGUAUGUCCUAAAUUGAUCUAAAUUGCCAAAUCUGAUGAGUUCACAUAGGAUCCAUAUUGAAAUCACUAGAAUUAAAAGUCCAAAUUCCACUUAAUAUAAAUAUGACGCUAGCUCAUUUCUGUUUCUUCAUCAAAAUUGUGGUAUAUGUACUAAGUUAAUCUAAAUCGCUAUAUUUGAUAGGUUCAUGUGGAACCCAAAUGAACCUCACUAAAAUAAAACGCCCAAAAUCGAUUAAACGUAUAUACUACUUUAACUCAUUUCUAGGUCUCCAUCAAGCGCCUUUUUCUCAUCUCUUUGAAGCUUCCGAUCGCGUGCCAUUCCGUCACAUGUGAAUCGCGAAUGAUUUUCCACGCCAGAGUCUUUGUUAAAUCUCAAGACUUAAAAAUACGAAUGUGAAGUAACAAUUGCGUGUCAAAUGCAGAAAAUUCAUAUGUGAAAAAGUUGACCGUCCCUUCUUGAGUCAACUGUUCUCUUCCUCGAUAUGCUUUUCUGAUAUGGCCUCAAAGACAGAUGGGCAAAGCGGCGCAUUCAUAUCUAUAAUCUCGCGGCAGUUUCAACUCUGUUAAAAGAAUGCCGAGGUCUUUACAAGAUGUUUGACAAGCGUCUUUGAUGACAGCAUGCAGCAUAUCUACCGCUUCAAAACAUAGUUACGGUUCAGUCUCGAUUGUUAUUUUUCUUCAAAUUAUGGUGGGAGAUAGAAAGAUCCAGCCAACAUGUAACAACAACUCACUCGUAAGCAUCAGCGUUUUUGCAAGAGAUGGGCUUCUAUGGCUUUCAACAUUCCCAUGGCCUUCUCUUUGCUGGCCUUGUUCUCGACCCGGUCCAUGGCGAAGUACUUGCUCAUGCUCUUGGCCAUACACCCUCUCUGUCUAGAAAAGCAUAGAACUUGAUCUCGUUCGGGAUCUUCUCUGCGCGUUGCCCUGGACGAUGGCGUACGCAUGCGCGAGCUUUCCUUGUCCAGCUUCUCGACUGGUGCUCCACCGAGUUGAACUGUCUAGCUACGAGACACAGACAACUGCAGUCAGCUCCCACGUUAGCCUUAACAAAGAAUGUCGGCAAAUGUCCUCUUUGACAUCACGUGUUAAUGCGACGCAACCAAAAUAAAUGAAAAUAGAAGACAGCGCAAGCACUGGCCUUCGCCAAAGAUGGCGCCGGUGUUAGGGAAAUCCCUUAUGAUGUUUUGAAGAUGACAAAAUAAAUCAAAGGCUACUAACAUGUUUGAUGGUUGAGUAAUAGACCAUGCAGAUGAUAGAACAUGUAAAGGAUUUUAUCAAAGUCAGAAGACGGCCAGAAGACUGAACGUAACAUAUGUCCAGAGUAUAUUUUGAAGAUUUCCAGACUUCUGUGUCAAAGUCUGAAGACUGUCAGACUCAAGACUCAUAUUGUAAAGUCUACAGACCCAGAUUGUAAAGUCUCAAGACUCAUAUCGUAAAGUCUAAAGACUCAGACUUUACAUCCAGAUUACGAUGAAUCGUAACUCAAGCCCAAUCAUAUAACGGCUAGUGAUCUGGUUUGGAUUCCACAUCAAGAUUGAUUUGAUUGAAGACAAGAACUUUACAUACGAAGAAGCUUUACUUAUGGAAACCAAGAUUUCGUUUGUAUGGGCGAUCGGAAUCCAUUUGGGAUUCUACCUUUGUCACUCAACGGCUACUAAAUCUUCUAGAUACAGAGCUGUCCAAUGGGUAUAUUGGAAGACGAUUCUCCGGGAUAUUGUCCAACGGGUAGUUUGGAAAUGGAGGAGUAUUUAAGGAGAUGAAGGACCGAUGAGCAAGUAAGAGACGGAGCGUAGAAUUUAUAAUUCCAAAGUCUAAGCGACUUUAGAUCAUAUACUUGUCUCUUGAGAGCUUAAAUGUUUGUAAUCGUGAGAGAAAUACCAAGAGAGUGACUUAGUGAGAUAGUGUGAUCUACUAAGUGUAUGCACUCGAAGUUGUAAUCUCUUGUUGAUUGCAUAUUGGAAUCCAGCCAAGAAGGCUGUUAUCGUGGGAGAGUGGACGUAGGCUUGGAUUAAGCCGAACCACUAUAAAUCUUGUGUUCUUAUUUUCUUCCUUAACUCCUUUAUUUUGUUCAUACUAGCACUCUCAGCCGGGACCCCCAUCACCUUCAGGGAUGACAAAAUCCUUAAAGGCUUGUGGGAGGAGCUUGGGGAUGAGAUCGUCGUCAAGAACAAACGCCUUGAACGUUCUUGCAGGUGAGAUGGAAUCGUCUUCACCUAAGAGUUCCAAGUCCCACGGCAAGAGAUCUGGGAGAUUAUGUUGAAAAUGCCCUCUAAAUGAUUCUCAAUCGCCUCGUUUAGUAAUCUAACUCAACAUCACAUUGGUCUAAAUCAUAUAAUAAAGAAAGAGGACAAAAGGCAUGGAUCUCAAGCCCAAAUGAUACUUGUUAGCAUGCGAGAGAUCUUUGAAUGUAGACAACCUUGAGGGAGUCACUAAAUUAUUGUUAAAAUAUUCUAAUAGAACCCAAUGGCUUAGACAAACAAGCUUGAGUGCGUGCGGAUAAUUCCUGCUUGAUGAAAUGCAUGGUAGGUCGCGAAUCGAGACUCGUCCCCAUGCACAUCCACUUCCUCGGCUAGUUGACCGGUCGGAGGAGGAAGCCGUGGGUCGAGCACGUCCUUCAGUAGAACAUUUGAGUCUUUCAAUAAUGUCGACAUUUGUGUCAUUUGUAGGGAAGAAAGAACAUUCAAUGGAUGCUCCCCAUCAUUCUCUAGUGUUGCUGACUCUGUUUCUUGAAAGAACAACUAGUCAGGAUUUUGCUCACAUCGUCAAGUUGUCCACAAAUUCCAAAUUUCUGUUGUACUUUUACAACAAAGCACUUUUCAUAAUCUAUACUUACUCUUCCUAAAAGUAUUGUUAGAAUUAUUGAAUGAAUCCAAAUUUGAUUUGUCCAUUAACCACAGAGUUACUACUAAUUUUAUUUUUCAAGAAGAAGAAUGAAUCAAAAUCACGAUCAUAAUGUCAAGUUGUACCCAAAUUCCAAAUUUGAAACCGACUCUCUAAAACAAAUCACUUCUCAAAACCUAUAUUUGCAAGAAUCCUAAAAGUCCCGUUAGAAUUAUUUGAAUGCAAAUUAUCAAUCCGAGACCAUUUGUACCCGCGAAAUGUUCUAUUAGAUUCAAUCAUCUAACUUACCAGGAGCCAUGUAGCCAUAAGAUCCAGCCACAAAUAAGGCUGGAAACUCGCAUGAACCGGAAAGCAGCAACCUAGUCCGGUGAGCCUGAAAUAGGGCAUGGGCACAAAAAAGCGCGGUCGGCCGAGAGUCCCUACCCAGCUCGCGGCGUUGGACGGCGGACGAGCUCAAUAGAUCGGGCUACGUCCGUCCGCCUCGCUCGUCUCCUAGUCGGGAUCCUCGGGAAGCGGACCCCAAAUGGGGAAAAACCAAGACGGCCCGAACAGGGACCUACCAUGGCCUCGAAGUGGACAAGGAGCGGCGGCGGAUCAUCAGUUUUGGUUCGGAAGUGGAGGUCAACAGCGGCUCUCUCAGUCGCGUUCUCUCUCUCUCAACUCACGGUCUCUCUUUCACGGCCCUCUCUCCUCCGGAUCCGAAUCCCUCUCGCGUCGUACUUGACCCCCUUCGAUUUCUCCCUCCUCCCCAACCUCCGACCUUCUAUUUAUAGGCUAAGAAGGCCGGUCGGCGGAGGUGCUUCGGCCGCCAGUCCUUCAUGCGCCGACCGGCCCCCCUUCGCUGAACCAGCAUCACAUCACCCGUCGCCUCCACCGCCGCCUGCUCUGCUUUGCGCCUACUCUACUCCUUCUGCUACGGCCGCCCUCGCUGGCCUGACGAAGAAGCGGGGAAUGAGGAAGGAGGGGCCGGGCCAGGGUGAGAAGCACAAGCAGAGUGGGCCCUAGGCCCACUCGGGGAAGAAAGGUGAAAAGAGGGGGGCUAAGGCGAAGGCCCAGCCGCCGUGGGCCCUUUUUUUUAUAAAUACUAUUAAAUAGGGUUAAAUAAGAGAAAAUAAAACUUAAAAUGCAAAUAAUAUUAAUGCUUAUAUGAUGUGAAAAUCGUUUUUAUUAGGGUUAAAUUGAUUCCAAAUUUUUUUAUAUAAUUUUAAUUAUAGAUGUUUAGUCAAAAUUUAAGUAUCAAUAAAUGUAAAUCUCAAACUGUAAGAGUUAAAAUAAAAAAUAAAAGAAUUAAAGAAGAGACAAGUGCAGUUGCAGCUUUAUCCCAUCUUGUAACAAAAAUUGUUUACGAAAGUCAAAAAUUUAACGAACAUCACGUGCUCUAACUUUAAUUGAAUUAUUGUAAGCCCACGAAUCCCUCGUUGAAGUCAUCCUUUGAUGUUACAUAUAUAAAUGAAUCGAAAUUUGUCUAUAUGUUAUACGUAGUGACACGUGUAAUGCAGUGUGGCUUUUUUGAUAGGACAAAUAUCCCCACAUCACCAAUUACCUCUGAUUAGGGCAAGUUCUUUCAAGUAAGGACCCUGUCUUUUUUCUUCUUCUUUUUUGAUAAUAUCCCUAUUAUUGUUCAUGACAUGUUUCUUUUCCAAAUUAAUUGGAAUAUAUAAUUUUAAUGGAUCAGAUCGCUACUUUAAAUGGGAGUAUGAGUCUUUCAAAUGCCUAUGAUAUAUUAUUAUCAAUAGUCACACACGAAUAACAUGCCAGUUGAUGCUACGGUGUGACACAUAAUAAAUAAAGAUGAAAAGCUAGAUUUUAGUAAAACAAAUUCAAAAAUGAGUUUGAGUGUUGAGAUUAUUUAUUGACAUGGACAUCAACCUAUAGCAUCUCCUUUUACUAAUGAACAGGGCUUGGAUUAAAUAAUCAACCUAGUGAUAUUCUAAAAUAGCUCCUUUUUGCCUUGCUCUUCUAGCUUUGGACAUCACUUUAUUUAUUUUUUAAUUUUCUUGGAAUCUUAUUUGGUGAAAUCUAUACAUGUUCAUCGAAAGUGCACGAUCUAAAAGAUUUCAUCAGUGUCAUAGCCACAACCAAGAAGUAUGUAUGAUAUAUAUAUAUUAGAAUACCAAACUACAUUCUAGGCAACCGUGCAUUUAAGUACCACAAGAGUUGUAUUUAGAUCCCACAUCAACUAAAAGAACACUAACAUUCGGACCAAUAUCUAAUCACUUGUGGAUUGCCGACUAUGAAACCAUAAAGGAGUAACUAUAUAUAUUAAUCCUAGCUAGGAUUCCCUACAUUUCUACAUGGGUAGGCAUUUAAAUGAUCAAUGAGAGAGAGAGAGAGAGAGAGAGAGAGAGAGAGAGAGAGAGAGAGAGAGAGAGAGAGAGAGAGAGAGAGAGAGAGAGAGAGAGAGAGAGAGAGAGAGAGAGAGAGAGAUUAUAUAUAAAUCAUAAUUCAAAGUGACGAUCUACUCUCUUAAUAAUGAUGAUGACGAUGAUAAUUAUAUAAAAUUGAGAGGAUAAAAAAAAAAAAUUGGCCUGGUAGAGCCUGUAAAGAACUACACAAUACAUCGGGAUGAUCAUUAGAUGAAAGUGCAUGCUUACAACAUUGAAAAUCAUUUUGUAGGGUAUAGAUCUACCAAAUUGUUCAAACAUUGUUUUAAUGGUUUCCCUUGGAUGAAAGAUUCUUCGUCUAACACAUGAUUUACUUAAUUUAAUUAGUCCAAGAGAGAGAUACACCACCCACGUGCCCCAUAAGCAACGAGGAAUUUGUCUAAUAUGUUAUGAUGUACAAGACCAUACAAUCUCAUUCGCUCUUUUGAUAAAUAUAAAUUAACAUGCAAUCAAUGAAUUAAGAUCUAAUGUUAUUAAGAUUUUUUACGUGUGCACACGUGGUUUUGGUCUAAUAGAUCAAACCAACAUACAACGUCAACUCAGACGGACACAUUUUUGGUCAUUCACUCUUCUUGAUAAAAAUCCCCUUGAAGGCCAAAUGUCUGAUAACCCUCGAUACUUGACAUCUUAAAGUUUACUUAGCAAAGGUUCAAUAAGUCAGGUUUUGGAAGGGUCAUUUGGAGUAUUACAGGUCGGAACGGGUAAAACGAGGAUCUCUAUAAAGUUAACCACCUUGCUAGAGUUGCAUUUGAUGAAUGAAUUUUUCCCCAACUGAAAUUCUUUUAGAGCAUAAGUUAACAAGACAAUCGCAAAAUUGUCGUCAAAUAAAGCGCCCGGGCCAAAAGCGGAUUGAUCACGAUGAUUUUUGCAUUGAAGUGGUGAAAAAGCUUGGUCGAGAGCUAAUUGGGAGAAAGAGAGAGCUCAAACUUUAGGAUAAGCAAUUUUGUGGCUAAUCAUAGAAACUACAAAAGGUUUUGGCCUCCACUUCUGAACCAGGUCUGCUCUCACGUGCACGCGGACCCUGGUCUGUGUCUCGGCCUCUCAAGUCCCUCUCUCCUGUUCUUCAAUCUCCACUUUCCGUCACCCAUUAAUCCCAUCUUCCUCGUUGACAUGAAGUCAUUAACAUUCGAUUUGAUCCCCAGAAAGAGAAAUCAACACUUAUCCCAUGAAUCAAAAGCAAAUACUAUGGAAUCGGUGUCCCAUGAGGUUGAUCUUAUAUGAUAACGUCUUUGUAUCGGCUACAUACAUUAUGUGCAAAUAAAGUGUAAUUAUACUAUCAUAUUUUUUGUUAAUUCACCUCUUUGAUCCGAUAUUAUUUGUUGACAUUGCCCUUAAAGAAUCAAGACAUGACAUCCUCGUUAGUUGAUUGAUAUAUGACAAGGGUCGACAAAAAAGACAGCAUCUAAGUUAACAAUUUGAGAAGAUUAAUGUUUGUGAUGGAGGGUAUUGACUUAUUACGUGGCAAAAUCUUUCCGACAUCAUACAAUUAGCUGUCAAGCAAGCUUUUUUGCCUUUUGCUUUUCAAAAAACAAACAAUCACAAGUUUUUAAAGAUCAAAUGCCCAUUUAGUUGAUGGAAAACUGUUUAUGGAAAAGCUUUCCAUAUUCCAAUAUUUAGAUGAUAGAAAAUUAUUCAAUCUACCGAAAGUGUUUUAUGUGGAUUGAAGAUAAUAAAUUUAUAUUUGGAAAAAAAAAAACUUCUGUUUAUGGUAAGAAAUAAUAGAUAAUAAUUUUUUUGAUAAUUCUUAUAGAUUAAAUUAGCCUAAAUUAGACUUUAUUAACGCAUAUUAGCAGAUUCACUUGCUAUCAAACACCAUAAAAUUAAUUUUUCUCCAACAUGUUUUGGCACGAGCGAACACUAGAAAAUUAUUUACUUUCUCUGGAAUUAAAUUUUUUGAAAAUACUUUUGAGCGAUAAAUUUUCGCUAAAAUAAGCGCACCCAAGCGACAUAUUUGUUAACCUUGUUCUCCUUCUCUCCUUCUCUCUCUCUGCUACAGCUGCUCUUUCUUCUUCUUUUUUUUUUUUUUGGUCGAAAAAGGAUUACUAUGAAAUUACUUAGCCACGGUUUGAGACAAAACAUCAAAAGCAUUGGUGCAUAAUAAGUCUAGUAGAGCGGGCGGGGGAUGAAACAACUAAUUAGAGGGAAUGUAACUAAAUCGACAGGCCUUUGCGAGCCAAUCGGCGGGACCGAUUUGCUGUUCUAUUGCAGUGGGCCAGGGAGAUGUCACAGAAUUCCUGUAGUUUCGCUUGGGCCUGGUCCAGGAGCGGUUGAAGCUACCAGUUCACUUCCGUCGAAGCCGUAACCCCCUGCACGAGUGGAAGACAAUCUGACUAUACUUGCAGGGAGAGUUCCGCACGGUUAGAGAGUAGAUCUAGGGUUUCAAGCAGAGCCAAAGCUUCCGCAUGUGCUGUCGAAGCCGCAUCCACCAAUUUCGCGAAGCCAUCCACAAGACAUCCUCGGUAGUCCCUGCAGAUACAUGCUACUGCUGCUCUGUUUUGCGUUUCUCCUCCGGCAUCUGCUUCCAUGGCGUUGAGCUCGGCAAAUGAAGCAUCUAUAUUAAAUUUCAGCGUAUGAGGGGGCGGAGGUUGCCAACGAUCUGGUAUGGCUUUUAUCUUCCUUUCAUCUACUUGUUGUUGGCUCACAGAUUUGAGGUUAUCGCAGAGAGCUUGCGCCUGAAUUAAAACUUGCUGCGGGUGCAGGGGACAACUCUCGAAGAGGUACUGAUUUCAACCCUUCCAAAUACUCCAGAGGAAAGCCACGACUUGGUCAAACUUCUUAGUAUGGGUAGGGUUGGUUUUGAGAUUGUCUAACCAGUCAUCGAGGCGUGUUAACCCAUAUCUGGAUAUUUUGAUCUAUAGGGGCGCGGAACUCCAAAUCUGAUUUGUCCAUGGACAGAGUAGAAGAAUAUGUUCAGUGGUUUCAGCUUCUUUGCUGUAGAUAGAGCAUAUAGGAUCCGGUUACUAGCUUUCUUCUAUAUAAGUUUUCCCUUGUAGGAAGAGCAUUAUGACAUGCUUGCCAGAGAAAGAAUCUGAUUUUUGGAAGGGUUUUAGCUUGCCAAAUGUGUUUCCAGAGAUCUGGAUUUAUAUGAUGCGAUGAGGUUGCUGUUGGGUUUGUGCUUGUUGGGUUAUCUCUGACUGUGAAGUAGCCACUUUUCACUAAAUAGAUACCAGAGUUAUUAUGCAUCCAGACUAGCUUGUCUUUUGAAUCUGGCCUUCCAAUAGGAGUAGCAAGAAUUUCCUUCAUGAUUUUGUCAUCAAACAUCGACUCCACCCUAUGAACAUUCCAUUUGCUAGUCCCUUGUUCAAUUAGUUCUGCCACAUGUUCUGGUUCAUUUCUUGUUGCUGAGCCUCCAAUCAAACCACUUUUUAUCAAUUUAUCUGCUCUUAUCGAUAGUUUUUUCCCAUUCCCAACUAAGUACAUAGUGUGUGGACUUAUAGAAUCCCUACGCCGAGUUAUACUUUGCCAACCCCAUGAAGGUCGGGAGCCUUUUCUAGCUUUCCAGAAGUCUCCAUGCGGAUAGUAUAGGCCUUUCAUCACUCUGCUCAAUAAGAACUAGGAAUUUUGUGAGAUGCGCCAAGCUUGUUUCCCCAACAUAGCUGUAUUGAAUGCUAUUAAGUCUUUAAAGCCUAGGCCCCCCUCCUUCGUUCUAAGUUUCAAUGCUUCCCAAUUCUUCCAGUGUAUUCCAGCAUUUCUACUAUUCGUUUUCCACCAAAAGUUAGCAAUCCUCCUCUCAAUAGCUUUGCAUAUGGAAAUAGGGAUCUUGAAUAUGGACAUGGCAUAUUGAGGGAUAGCAUGUACAACUGAUUUUAUUAAAAUUUCCUUCCCUACUUUUGAUAACAGAUGUUUCUUCCAGCUUUCUAACUUUCUGUUUACCCUCGCAAGGAUCCAUGCGAACAUAUCUUUCUUUGAGCAGCCCAAAUCCGUCAGAAUCCCUAAAUAUUUCCCUGUUUUUUCAAUUUCUGGAACUCUCAAUUCAUUGGCCAUGUUCCUCCUCAAAGUAAUAGGACAACAUUUACUAAAAUAUAUACCAGAUUUGUUGAGAUUAAUAGCCUGACCAGAAGCAUAACAAUAUUCAUGUAGGAUAGCCACCAGGUUUUGGCAUUCUAGGAUUGUACCAUGAAGGAAGAAAAUUGAAUCAUCUGCAAAUAGCAAAUGCGAUAGAGUGGGGCAGCUAUUAUUUAGCUUAAUUCCUCUAAUAGUGCCAUCUUCUACUAUUUUUCCCAUCAUGUAGGAUAGAACAUUGGCAACUAAUAUGAAGAGAUAUGGGGACAGAGAGUCACCUUGUCGAAUUCCACGUGUUGGCUUGAAAAAAGGUAGAGACUCCCCAUUAAAAUUCACACUGAAAGUUACUGUUCAGACACGCUGCAUCACCCAAUGUACCCACUGUUCGCAGAAUCCCAUUUUAGUUAGGCAUGCACUAAGGAAAUCCUAUUCAAUCCUGUCAUACGCCUUCUGCAUAUCUAGCUUUAAGACUGCUUGGAACUUCUUUUUUCUCUCCCGAGUGCGUAAUCUGUCAAGAACUUCCUGUACCAGCAAUAUAUUAUCUUGUAUUAGCCUUUCCCCCACAAAAGCACUCUGCUCUUCUGCAAUUAGAGUUGGUAGCAGGGGUUUUAAUCUGCUAGUCAGCACUUUUGAAAUAAUUUUAUAAAUGAAAUUACAAAGGCUAAUGGGGCGAAACUGUUCCAGCUUUUGUGGAUUUGAAACUUUGGGAAUAAGAGUAAUGAGCAUUCUGUUCAUAGUCGGAUUGAGAUAGCCUGUAUUGAAAAAUCCCUGUAUCUCUGUAUAGAUAUCCUGACAGAUGUCUGGCCAAUGUUUCCUAAAAAAAAAAGGCCAUGCAUACCAUCUGGUCCUAGGGCUUUUCGUGGGCUCCUAAUUGUUGUAUGCCUUGCGUGAUCUCUUCCAUAGAAACAGGUUCUACUAGACGUUGGUUCAUUCUCACAUCCACCGAAGCUGGAAUUUGUUGUAGAAAGGGUUGAAAGUCACAAGGCCCUAUUGACUCGUAAAGCCUUUGAAAUAUGUGCUUGUCAUCUCUUUCAAUCGUUGUUCAUCACGCACCCACACAUCUUCUGGAUUUUCAACAAAGUAACAUGAUUUGUGGUUCUUCUUUGAAUGGUUGUAGCGUGAAAGAAUUUUGUAUUUUUAUCUCCCCAUGCUAACCAAUUAAUUUUGAAUCACAUUCCCCAAUACAUUUCUUCUUGUCGCCACAACUAUUCAAUUUCUUUUGUCAGUGCCUGUGCUGCCUUGCUUUCUUGAGAUACCCAUUGUUGGAGAAAUCCUCGUGAAGUGUUUUGAAGUUGACAAAACGUUUCCAUCAGUCUAGUCUGAAGGUCAGCAGACUCUGUUAGUUAAAGUCUGAAGACUUCCGGACAGCCAGACUCAAGACUCAAAGUCUAUCCUCAUUGACUGUCUCUAAUCCGUUGAAGAAAGGUUAUCCAGAACUGGAUGUUUUGUUCAGGAUUUAUCCUUAUCAUCUGGAGAAGAUCUCGUGGCUGGAGAAGACGUAUCAGAAUCCUUUGAUUGAUCAAGAUUGAUUCAAUGACUGAAGAUUCGAUGAUUGUCUAAAUAUUAUUGGAAGGUUCUACUUAUGGAAACCAAGAUCCUGAUUGUAUGGGCGAACAGGAUUGAUGGGCUAUCAACACAUUCCUUUAAUAGCUCGAACAAUCUUCCUAGAUGAUUCCGUCCAACGGGUAGAUUGGAGGAAUUCCUUUAGUAAGUGCCAACGGGUAUGAUGGCAUAAAGGAGUAUAUAAGGAAGACGUUCUUAGCUGUUCGAGGUGUGCGCGAUAGAAGAAUUCCAAAGUCUGAAGCUCCAAAUUGUUUAGACAAAUCCUUUGAGCGAAUACUUGUAUACAAAAGAGAGUCUAUAUUUGUGAGAGACCUUGAGGAGGUGUGGUAAAACAUCUACACUGUGGAAUCAAGGCAAAGCUGUGCUGUAACUUCUCUUUUGAUCAUAGUGAAAUCCAGCCGGUGGGCUGUCAGUGUGGAAGAGUGGACGUAGGCUUGGAAUAAGCCGAACCACUAUAAAUCUUGUGUUCAAUUUUCUUUUCCUUACUCUCUCUACCUCAAUCGUAUUUCAUUUCGUUAAUUAAGAGAGAAUUUACCUUCCAUCAUAUGUUAAGAAUCGCUUCCGUAUAUCGAUAAAGUAUUUAGGCACCUAUUCACCCCCCCUCUAGGUACUCAUACUAGCAAUAUCAAUUGGUAUCAGAGCUCGUGUACUCACUUUGUUUGAAGUGUUUUACUUCAGAGUUAAAGAUCCAUGGCUAGUAUGCUAGCACCAGGGCUGAUGGAAGGGCAAAGCAAUACCAGACCACCCUACUUUGAUGGAAAGGAUUACAACAUCUGGAAGAACAAGAUGAAAGCUUUCCUACGAUCAAAGGAUCCUCUGGAAUGGGACGUUGUAGAAAAAGGAAUUACUCCUACCACUGCAUCAGUCUCUGAAAGAGGAAAAGAAACUGAAGAAAUCAGCGGAAUGUCUCAGGAAGAAAUAAUCAAGAGACAGACUCUCGAUGCGAAAGCAAUUUACUCCUUAUAUUGUGCUUUAUCACCAACUGAAUAUAAUAGAAUAUCUUCUUAUGGUACAGCAAAAGAAGUUUGGGACAGAUUGCAUAUCACCUAUGAAGGAACAGAUCGAGUGAAGGAAACAAGAAUCAACAUUCUUCUCGGUCAAUACGAAGCCUUCAGAAUGAAACCAGGAGAAUCAAUAUCUGACAUGUUUAGUCGUUUUACAGAUAUUGUGAAUGGUCUUGAAAAUCAAGGUCAACCAACUUCUGACCCCAUGAAGGUAAACAAGCUACUGCAUGGACUCUCCAGGGAUUGGAAUCACAUAAAGACUUCGAUAAGAGAGACGCAGAGAAUCAUGCCACUAUCUGUCGAUGAGCUGAUUGGAACUCUUCAGUCCUAUGAAGUGGAAAGGAUCAAUGAAGAUGAAGAUCCAAAAGGUAAGAAAUCCAUAGCAUUAAAAUCAAAUGAUGAUUCUGAUGUUACAGAUUCUGAAGAUGAUAUGGACGAUGAGGAGCUUGCUCUCAUGAUAAGAAGAUUCAGAAAACUGAAUAGAAAAGGAAGAAGGUUCAACUCAAAGAAACAAAGCUUUCAAAGACAGCAGACCAAGUCUGUUGAUGAUGAGGAACCAAAUAAAGAUGUAGUCUGCUUCGAAUGCAAGAAAAAGGGACACAUCAGACCCAACUGUCCUCUUCUGAAGAAGAAGAGAGGAAAAUCUGAAAAAUUUCGAAAAGCUCUCAAAGCUGAAACCUGGAGUGAUACUGAGUGUGAAGAAAGUGAUAAUGAAUAUGCCAAUCUAUGUCUGAUGGCACAAUCAGACUCAGACUCUGGAUCAGACUCAGACAGUGAAUUUAAGGCAAGUGAUUUUAAAAUUCCUGUUAAAGUUUCUAAAUAUAUUAAUGAACUAUGCCUUAGUCUUAAGACUUCUCUCAAAAGAAUUUCCGAACUGAAAAAAGAAAACUCAGCUCUAAAUCAAAAGGAAAAUGUUUUAGCAGAAAGAGUUAAAAGUCUAGACCUGUCUAUUUCCAAUCUUAAAGAAAAUGAAGAUAAUCUUUUAAAAGAAAAUGCUUUUUUAAAAACAGACUUAUCAAAUAUAUCAAAGAAAUUUUCUAUAGGGUCUGAAAAACUUGAGAAAAUUCUUUCAGCACAAAGACCUUACUUCAAUAAGUCUGGUCUAGGUAUGACAGAAGAAACAAUUCCCUUGAUUGAUUUUCCUAAAGUAAAAGAAAGAAUUAAGAAAAGACUCUCGAGUGAGGUUUACAAAAAUCACUUCAAGAAAGUUUUUGUAAAACCUGUAGGUAGAAAUGCUCUCAGAUGUUCUAAGUGCAACAGCCCGGAUCACUUUGAAAAAAAGUGUCCUAUGGUAUGGAAACCUGUUAAGAAAGUAUGGGCUAAUACUGUUUAUCUUACUAACACCAAAGGACCCAAGAAAAUUUGGGUACCAAAGAAAGCUUGAGACUUUAUUUUAAAUGCAGGUCUCCGUCAAGAAACAGGUAAAGUGGUAUCUUGACAGUGGAUGUUCAAGACACAUGACAGGAGACUCAAAUUGCUUUAUAAAGCUUGCUCAAGUAAAUGGUGGAAAAGUUUCAUUUGGAGGAAACAACAAAGGAAGUAUUGUGGGUUUUGGAACCGUGAAAAUCGAAUCUCUCACAAUAAGUAAUGUUUCCUUAGUGGAAGGACUCAAUUACAAUCUUCUCAGCAUUCGUCAAUUGUGUGAUACUGGUUUCAAGAUCUUCUUUCAAGAAGGAACAUGUUCUGGAAUCAGUAAAGACUCUACUCAGUCUUUCAUGGGUCGAAGACAUGGUAAUAUCUAUCUUCUAGAUGUGAAACCAAAUGAAUCGCAAUGCCUUAUCUCAAUUCAAGACGAAGCAAGCUUAUGGCAUAAAAAGCUUGGUCAUGUCAACAUGAAGCAAUUAGCCAAAAUCUCUUCAAAACAGCUUGUUCGAGGUCUACCCAGAUUACCAUACCAAAAGACUGAUUCAUGUACUCCAUGUAUUCUGGGAAAGCAGGUAAGAAAUUCUUUUAAGCCAAUUAAUUAUGUCUCUACUAAUCAUGUACUACAGUUGCUGCAUAUGGAUCUCUUCGGACCAACCAGAACUCAAAGUAUUGGGGGUAAGAAGUAUUGCCUAGUAAUUGUUGAUGAUUACUCCCGUUUUACUUGGGUAUAUUUCCUUGCAAGUAAGUCCGAAACCUUUUAGUAUUUUGAAAAAUUUGCUAAAGUGAUUCAAAAUGAAAAAAGGAUGUGUUAUCUCUAGUAUAAGAACAGAUCAUGGAGGUGAAUUUGAAAAUCAAGAUUUUACAAAAUUCUGUGAUGAAUCUGACUGUAAGCAUAUGUUUUCCUCUCCAUAUACUCCUCAGCAAAAUGGAGUUGUGGAAAGAAAGAAUAGAUCUCUUCAAGAAAUGGCUAGAACUCUUUUAAUUGAAAGUAAAAUUUCUUCUCGAUUUUGGGCCGAAGCUGUUUCAACAGCUUGCUAUAUCAUCAAUAGAGUCUUCUUAAGAUCUAUUCUUCAUAAAACCACUUAUGAGUUAUUCAAAGAAAAGAAGCCUAUUGUUUCAUACUUUCAUGUAUUCGGUUGCAAAUGUUUUAUUUUGAAAAAUGCAAAAGAUCGAGUUGGUAAGUUUGAAGAAAGAUCAGAUGAAGGUAUCUUUCUUGGAUAUUCUACAUCAAGCAAAGCCUACAGAGUCUAUAACAAGAAGAGCCAGACUGUGGAGGAGUCAAUGAAUGUCAAAUUUCAAGACUCAACACAAGAUGAAUCAACUCAGACUCAUCAAGAAGAGUCUGAACCUGCUCCAGACCCUCCAAAGUCUACAACUCAAGAAGCAUCUAAGACUCUGGAAAACCAGCUUCAAGAUGUUCGUGAAGAUCCAAACAAAGAAAGAAAUCAUCAACCAGACAAAUCAACGAGUAACUGGAAGCAUAAGUCCAGUCAUCCCAAAGAUCUUAUAAUCGGCGAAAUUAAUGAAGGAAUUCGCACCAGAUCCAAAAGGCGAGAAGAGUCUAGUGCUGUGGCACUCGUUUCUGAAAUUGAACCAAAGAGCAUAGAAGAAGCUUUAUCUGAUGAAAGCUGGAUAGAAGCUAUGCAAGAAGAGCUCAGACAGUUCAGCAUAAAUGAUGUCUGGGAAUUGACAUCUAAACCAAAAGGUAAAACUGUUAUUGGAGCUAAAUGGGUGUUCAGAAACAAGAUGAAUGAGAAAGGAAAAGUCGUACGAAAUAAAGCAAGACUCGUGGCCAAGGGAUAUACGCAAGAAGAAGGAAUAGACUAUGAUGAGACUUACGCUCCAGUGGCAAGGUUAGAAGCUAUUCGACUAUUACUUGCGUUUGCCUGUUAUAAGAAUUUCAGGUUAUUCCAAAUGGACGUCAAAAGCGCCUUCCUAAAUGGAUUUAUCCAUGAGGAAGUUUAUGUGGAACAACCACCAGGGUUUGAAGACCCAAAGAAGCCAGACUCAGUCUUCAGACUGAAAAAGGCUUUGUAUGGUUUAAAGCAAGCACCCCGAGCUUGGUACGACAGAUUGAGUAAGUUUUUAAUUCAAAAUGGUUUUGUCAAAGGUAAAGUGGAUACAACCUUAUUUAUCAAAAAGGAAAACAAAAGUUUCUUACUUGUUCAAAUAUAUGUGGAUGACAUUAUUUUCGGAUCCUCUAAUGAGAAUCUGUGCAAGAAAUUUUCUAAGUCUAUGCAGGAUGAAUUUGAAAUGAGUAUGAUGGGAGAAUUAACAUUCUUUCUUGGUCUUCAAGUAAAACAAUUGGAGGUAGGAACUUUUAUUUAUCAAGAAAAAUAUGCUAAUGAUCUUGUCAAAAGGUUUGGACUGGAAAAUUGCAAAAAGGUCGACAUUCCAAUGUCAAGUUCUUUAAAGAUAGACAAAGAUGAAGAAGGGAAGAAAGUUGAUCAAAAGCUGUACAGGAGCAUUAUUGGAUCACUUCUUUAUCUUACUGCCUCUAGACCUGAUAUUUUGUUGAGUGUUUGCAUCUGUGCUAGGUUUCAAUUAGAUCCUAGAGAAUCUCAUCUCAGUGCUGCAAAACGCAUCAUUAAAUACGUCGCUUCAUCAUCAAGCAUUGGUCUUUGGUAUCCUAAGAAGGGAGACUUUAAUCUUCUGGGAUAUUCAGACGCAGAUCUGGCCGGUUGCAGAGUUGAUAGAAAGAGCACUUCAGGAACUUGCCAGUUGCUUGGAAGCAGGACAGUGUCUUGGUUUUCAAGGAAACAAAGCACUGUGUCUCUUUCAACAACAGAAGCAGAGUAUGUAGCUCUUGGAAGCUGUUGUUCGCAAAUUCUAUGGAUAAAACAACAGCUGAGAGACUUUGAAAUUGAAGACUCAUGCACGGAGAUUAAUUGUGACAACACCAGUGCUAUCAACCUCACCAAAAAUCCAAUUCUCCACUCAAGAGCAAAGCAUAUAGAGAUUCGACAUCACUUUAUAAGAGACCAUGUUCAAAAUGGAGAUGUUUCAAUUCAAUUUGUUGACUCAAAGAAUCAACUGGCGGAUAUAUUCACAAAGCCUUUGGAGAAAAUUCAAUUUGAGUCUAUACGCUCCAGACUCAACAUUUUGAGGUAUGAGGAUAUCAAAGUCUAAACACUUUCAGACUCAGGCUAGCAAGACUUUAUCUACUGUCUUGGCUCGACCUUCAGACUGUAAGUCUUUCUCUCUCCAAUAUUAUCUUGAAAAGGUACGAUCAUCAGACUGUGUUUAAAGUAUUGCAUCGAUUCAUUUUCAAAAAGGUAGUUAUUUUUGAAAUGGCUAUUUUUGCGGAAAAAGACAGUUAUUUUGAAAAGGCAUAUUUUUAUUUCCUUUGUGACGGUUCGUUUACUCUUCUUUUUAACCGAUUGUGCACUGUCGAUUUCUCUUCAUUUUUCUAUUCACUUUUCUCUCAAAAACCCUAGAAAGCAUCGAUCCUCAAUUCCCGUUUGUCUUCUUCGCUCAAUCUUCAAAAAGUUGUCAUCUUUUCUGGGAAAGUCAAGCAAUGAAUCUUCCAAACACUGAGAAAGAUGUCAUCUUCACGAAAGUCCUCAAGAAUCGCAAGCAGGGGACCACAGAGAAUGAGUGAGGGGCUUACGCACUUCGAUCUUACAGAGGAGGAAGAGAAUCCUGAACAGCAAGCGAGCCCACAACUUUCUCAGCAGCGUCAUUCUUCACCAUCUAGUCCUCAAGGAGAUGAUCAUCAGCAACAGGAAGAAAUCAUCGAGGAUGCAGACCCCGUAAGAGUUCAAAAGCCCGCUUUUAUUUACAAGCUUUAUCGUGCCUUAAAAGGAAUUCGUACUCCUUUGAACUAUGUUGAUGAGUUUCUUAGAGACAAAGGAUAUAGGAACGAAUAUAUCUUUCUGCGAAAAAUGGAAAGUAUGGGAAUCGCUCGUAAAGGGGUGGCUGAGGAAACCCUUGCAAAUAUCCCAAGUGAUCCUCGUGAUUGGGGACCGAAUCCUGUAGAUGGGAAUGACGAUGACAAUCUGUUCAGUCUAUUUCAACCGAAAAUGGGUAUUGCGACUGAAAUUCAAGGAAAAAGGGGAGAUUUGUUCAGAUCAAAGGAACAAAAGGAUUUGUACUCGAAACUGCUGAAGCGUGGGGUAAUAAACCCUAGAAGUGUGGACUUUGAUUUUCUGGAUGCUAUGAAAGUGAACUUGAGGGAAAAGUUCAGUUAUCUUCAACUUGAAAAGUUUUGCUCUGACUCAACUGAGGCCUAUGCUGGAUUAACUGCUUAUUUCUAUUCAAAUCUUAGCUUUUUGGAUGCGAAUAGAUUCUCUUUCAGCGUUAAAGAUCAAGACUAUGUUGUGGAUAUGGACAUGCUGGCAGAUGUGUUAGAAGUUGAGAGAGGCAGAUAUCAACCAAUCAAAGUUUCCAUUGCUGGGGCCACACUUGAACUGGUGAAGGACAGGAGAACAGAUGAGAAGAUCACCUACUCACGGAUGAAUGCAUUCAACAUCUUGCUCCACAAGAUUGUGAUCAAUUGCCUUCGGCCGAAAUCAACUUCCAAAACUGAUGUUUCAAGCUCUGAGGCAAAGUUGAUGUAUGCCAUCCUCUGUGGUAAGAAGUUUUCUCUCCCUCAUACUGUUAUGUUUCACAUGUAUAGAGCAGUGAUGAAGGACAGAGGUCAACUCCCUUACCCAAGCCUUGUUACAAAGUUAUUCAGACAUCUGAAUAUUUAGCCUCCGCAAAUCUUUUGUGUUCGAUCAUGCGAUCAUAUGGUGGUAGGACUGAAAAUGGUGACCAAAAUGCGUCUGAAGGAACUGAGCAAGGAAUUGGAGAAAUUCAAGGAGAAGACUCCUUCCAAAUCUCAUCAACUCUCUUCUGCUGCUAAGAGAAAAGGGAAGGAGCCCAUGGUUGCUUCAUCAAAGAGAAGAAGAGCUCUCCUUGUUGAGGAUGAAGAUGAUGACGAAGACAUCACUAUCUCUGCAUUGGCCUUGAAGAAUUUAGGUCGUCCUGUUCCACAGAAAGAAUCGGAACAAAAGACGAAAGAAGCAGAGGAGAAGGAAGAAGAAGAAAGAGAAGCAGAGGAGAAGGAAGAAGAAGAAACAGAAGCAGAGCAAGAAGCAGAGAAAGAAAGACCUGAAGAAGAAACAAGAAAAGAAGGAGAACCUGAGGAAAUCUUUUCUCCACCUGAAGGCAUGGAAACAGGGGGAGAUAAGGAGAAAGGAAUGACGUCUUCAUAUCCUGAUGCAAGUGAAGGAGUCAGUCGCUCGCCUGCAGACCCAGAAGAUGUUUAUGCAUCUCAAUUUCCAGAGGAAUGUCAUGAAGUGUCAUCGCCAAAUCUGCAAGACUAUGCUGAUCUACCAUCUUCUGCAGAUCGAGCCGAAGCAAGUACUCAGACUGAUAAUAGAGCAGAUUUUCGCAGAAUCAUGGAUAUUCUCUUGGAGAUGAAAGGUCAGAUUUAUGCCUUGGGAUGCGAAGUUCAAAGUUUGAAGACUGAAAGUCAAGCUUCUUCCUGUUCAUUGAAUGAUAAGAUGCAAGCCCUCUCUAUUCAGAAUCAGGCCAAUGCCAAGAGUGAGGAGGUUGUUUAGCUGAAGGAAGACUUUAAAAGGCUGGAAGGCAUCGUUCAGUCUAUGGAAGAUUUCCAGCUUGUCCGCAUUCCCAAGACUUCAUCUCAUCCUUUUUAAUGAUGACAAAAAGGAGGAGAGAUGCAUGAUUUGAUCAAAAACUUUCAAUCAUUUUUUUUUGAACUGUUUGUUGGAUUGUGUUGUUGUUUAACUAUUUUUAACAGACUUUGACUUUGUUUUGUGUCUAGAUAAGAUCUGAACUAGACUUGGACUUGACUGCUUCUAUUAACAAGUAUUGAUAUCUUAUGGAUGGUUUUAUUAUAUACAAGACUAACCUAUUUUCUGUGGUUGCAUAUUCUAGUGUUAAUCUUUUAGCCAUUCAUCUCUAUAAGAUAUGCAUAUGUGUUUGAGAAAUGUUUUGCAGGUCAAUGUUAUCCAAAUCUGCAGGAAGGUUUUGUCACCAUCAAAAAGGGGGAGAUUGUUGGAGAAAUCCUCGUGAAGUGUUUUGAAGUUGACAAAACGUUUCCAUCAAUUUAGUCUGAAGGUCAGCAGACUCUGUUAGUUAAAGUCUGAAGACUUCCGGACAGCCAGACUCAAGACUCAAAGUCUAUCCUCAUUGACUGUCUCUAAUCCGUUGAAGAAAGGUUAUCCAGAACUGGAUGUUUUGUUCAGGAUUUAUCCUUAUCAUCUGGAGAAGAUCUCGUGGCUGGAGAAGACGUAUCAGAAUCCUUUGAUUGAUCAAGAUUGAUUCAAUGACUGAAGAUUCGAUGAUUGUCUAAAUAUUAUUGGAAGGUUCUACUUAUGGAAACCAAGAUCCUGAUUGUAUGGGCGAACAGGAUUGAUGGGCUAUCAACACGUUCCUUUAAUAGCUCGAACAAACUUCCUAGAUGAUUCCGUCCAACGGGUAGAUUGGAGGAAUUCCUUUAGUAAGUGCCAACGGGUAUGAUGGCAUAAAUGAGUAUAUAAGGAAGACGUUCUUAGCUGUUUGAGGUGUGCGCGAUAGAAGAAUUCCAAAGUCUGAAGCUCCAAAUUGUUUAGACAAAUCCUUUGAGCGAAUACUUGUAUACAAAAGAGAGUCUAUAUUUGUGAGAGACCUUGAGGAGGUGUGGUAAAACAUCUACACUAUGGAAUCAAGGCAAAGCUGUGCUGUAACUUCUCUUUUGAUCAUAGUGAAAUCCAGCCGGUGGGCUGUCAGUGCGGAAGAGUGGACAUAGGCUUGGAAUAAGCCGAACCACUAUAAAUCCUAUGUUCAAUUUUCUCUUCCUUACUCUCUCUACCUCAAUCGUAUUUCAUUUCGUUAAUUAAGAGAGAAUUUACCUUCCAUCAUAUGUUAAGAAUCGCUUCCGUAUAUCGAUAAAGUAUUUAGGCACCUAUUCACCCCCUCUAGGUACUCAUACUAGCAAUAUCACCCAUGUGCUGUUCAUUAAUUGUUCACUAUUCAGCCAAAUAAUCCUCCUCUUUGCAUUGGUAAAUUUUCCCUGACUCCAUUUUAACAACUUUUUUUUCCACUAUCUGCAGUUUCUCAACCACAUUGAGCUGUUGGAAAUCGGAAGCAGCCCAAGUGUCCCUGACGAGGCUCACACAUUCCUCCUCCUCCGCCCAAAAGGCUUCAUACUUAAAGCUCUUCCUCUUCCUUUGUUUCGAUGGGCAAGUAGAUAGAAUAAUUGGAGUGUGGUCAGAGCCAAUGGCUGGUAUGGCUAUACAUUCUGCUAUAGGAUAUUUAAUACGCCAAUCUGAGUAACAUAAUACUCUAUCAAGACACUCCUUGACCAGAUUUUCUCCUUCUCUUUUGUUUGUCUAGGUGUAAGCACACCCUUUACAUUCCAUAUCCAGCAAAUAACAGUGGUUGAGGAAGUCCUUGAAGGCUGCAAGCCUCUAAUUUGCAGCUCUUUUCUUUCCCACUUUUUCCCAGUGAUAUAGGAUUUCAUUGAAGUCACCCAUACACAACCAUGGCAAGUGAUAACAUUGAGACUUUCUAUUAAUAUUCUCCCAUAAUAGAAUUUGCUCCUUAAAUUCAUUCAAAGCAUGUAUAAAUGAAAUGUGCAUACGUUGGUUGCUGGCUGGUAGAUGGCAUCGGGUGAUGAUAACAUGUUUCGUGAAAGAGUCUAUAGUUAAGAUUACCUCAUCAUCCCAAAAUAUUGCUAAACCCCGCUGUACCUUCUGGAUUCACUAUGAAACAAUGCUGAAAGUGGAGUCUCCGCCUCAAUCUUAACACCUUAUGCUCCUGAUUUUUAAUUUCCAUAAUAAAUAUAAUAUUGGGCCUUUCUUGAGUCGUUAAAACCCUUAAAGCUUGAACUGUCAAGGGAGUGCCCAGCCCUUGACAAUUCCAGCUUAAUAUCUUCAUGGAUGAGUUGGUGGCUUAUUAGGGCUAGCCACCAGAGCCCACUGAGCAGACUUGUUCGCCACACGAAUAGGGGUCUCAACCAGCUGAGUAGUGUCAACCAUUACUGUUUUUUUAUGAUUGUGCACCAUAUGUGCAGAAUCUUUUUUCUUUUUUUGAGGAAGACAAUUUAGCGCUUCUUGUUUUCUCCCUUGUUAGGCCUUUUUCCCUAGCUAUAUUCUCCGCCAUUUCUUCUUCAGCUUCUUUUAACUGUUCUUGAUAUAUCACCAUGACAGAUUCAUCAUCAAGGCAAUUGCUACCUCGCUUCUGGGGGCCCUUCUCUUUGAAGAGUACUAAUUCUUGUGAAGAAAAUGUGGGGUUACCUUCCUUUGAGUUUAGGUUUUCGACAUUGCUCAGUUCACCAAGUUGUUGGGUUUGCUGCAUUACAUUUUGCUGUUGUUCUAGUUUAGGGACCUACUGAAUGGGAGUUUCUGGCACACUUUCCUCCUCCUCUGGCUGUAGUUCUUAUUUGCCAUAGAAAAUUUUUCCAUAUGGACUAAGCUCCCGCGCCUCUGCUCGAAGCCAAUGUCCAAAACGACCUGGUAAGUUCUUUGCUAGCCUUGACUCCUCAUAUGGUAUUUCUUGACAAUAAGUUGCAUAGUGCCUAAUCCUACCACAUGAAUAACAAUAAUGUGGGAGCCUUUCGUACUUAAACUCUACCCACAAUCUUUUUCUGUCAAGAUUCACAAGUACACCGGUUUUGAGGGGGUUUUCCAAAUUCAACUUUACUCUAGCCCUGCCAAUCUUGUAGUUGAUGUUCCCUUUCGCUUCUAACUUUACAUCUACUACAUCUCCGAUUUUGGAUGCUAUUUCCCUGACUACUGCAUCUGUUACUCUCCCGAUGGGUAAGCCAAAGAAAUUUACCCAUAAGUCAUAGUGGUUAAAUUCAUAGCAAAUAUCAGGGGUGUCAGGGUCACAUUGCUUUAAGACUAGUAAAUUACUCCCAAAGGACCACGGCCCUGAAUCGAACACUCGCUGUUUUUCAGCCUCCAACUAGAAAGAAAACGAGAAGUAUCCAAGCUCAACGACAGCACAAGUAAAAGUUUCAUUUUGCCAGGCUUUUUUCAUUAUGCCGAUAAAUGCAUUAAAGUUUGUGGUAGGCUUAUUAAAAAAAACUUCCCAAACAGAGUUUUUCGGCAUGUUUGCAGGUUUUCCUCAAGAAUGUCACCUGUAAUAUCUACAACAUCUUCCUCUGACAAGAGAUUGCCCAAACUCUUACAGAGGGCAUCUUCUUGUAUACAGGAACAUAAUCGAAAUAGAGUAUUAAAGCUGGCCUGAUAGAUUGUGGAACCACUAAAUGCGGGAUGAUGAAAUCCUAUGUGAUUGAAGGGAGCUCUGGGUUUGCAGGUGAAGACAGAUGGAAAUUAGCACCAGCUGGUUGAUUAUGGUGGUCUUGGAAAUUUCUCGCUGAAGAACCGGACCGUACGCUCGAAAUAAGAGCUGUGAUGUGAUUUAGGGCACCGCUUGUGAGCUAAUAGAGGGCUUUGUUGGUAGAGAAGGAGGAAUGGGGUUAGGGUUUUCUACCCAUCCUUUUAAAUCAAAUCUGUGGUAUUGGGAAGGAAGAGGGUGGAAUGCAGUAGUGAUGGGUGGUGAGGAUGCAAUUCAACAGUGGGAAAACCUACCCGAAAGGUAGGAGAAGACUACUCAGGCGGUAGAGCAACAGCUCUUUCUUCGCCAGCUGUACAAAAGGCCAAAAAAUAUAAUUGGGUUUCACCAGCAAUGAUGCACCUAACGUAGCUUUAUUCUCUCUCUCUCUCUCUCUCUCUCUCUCUCUCUCUCUCUCUCUCUCUCUCUCUCUCUCUCUCUCUCUCUCUCUACUGCGGCUACUCUUUCUUUGCUAACUAUACAGAAGGUCAAAAAAUAUAAUUGAGUUUUACCAGCAAUUAUGCACCUAAGUAGCUUUGUCCUUCGGUUUGAUGAUAAGGAGCAACCCAUCUUUGUUGACCUCACUCCAAUCAGUGUCGGCGAAAUAGGUAUACUCACUCCAAGUCCUUCAUCUGUUGGACUUUCCAUUCCAGAGCAUCAGCGUUAGCAUCGUCCUCCGCUCCCAACUGUUAAGACUACAAUAAAUAGCAGUAGCUCAGCCACUAAUAAUGCCACCAAGAACAGGAGGAGAAAGCAUAUGAGGAAGAAGUAGAAUGUAUAAAUGCUGCCGAGAAGUGUACAGGAAGAAGAACCACUGUUAAAAACAAAGAAAGAAAAGAAGAUAAAGAUAAGGGUGAUGCUACGGAUUGUAUUAUUGCAUAUGAAUAAUCUGCGAAGCUUGUGAAGCCAAGAGUUCUCUCUCUCUCUCUCUCUCUCUCUCUCUCUCUCUCUCUCUCUCUCUCUCUCUCUCUCUCUCUAAGCUAGAGCUCUCUGUUUAGCACUCUAUUCUUGUACUUUGUUUCUUCUUUGUUUUUCCGGUAAUCAGUUAGUUUUUCUCUUCAAUUAGGUAGUUGUAUUUUCUUCAACUGUUCAAUACAUGUAGAACAGAUUCUUGAGAGAGAGCUAACGUAGAUAUAAAAGGAAAACUCUCCUGAUGUAGUUUUCGUGAAGUUGAAAUAACAGAAAAAGCAUUUUCAUCUCUGUUUUCUCUCAUUUUCUCUCCAUCACUUCCUGCUCAUAAACUUCUUCAUGGUAUCAGAGCCAUGCAUCCUGAAGAAGUCAUCUCGAUGCUACAUAAAAAUGGCUGAAUCUACAGCAGAUUGAAGUCAAAUUCAAAGCUUCAUUGAUCUAUGAGACAUCUAUAUCUUCCAACAAAUCUGUGAGUUGGUAUUUCUCAUCUACAUCUAAAUCUUCAUCAUCAGAAAUAUACUCGUAGCAACAUACUGCAAAACUAGUAGAGUUUGUGUUUGCAACUAAAGUUGUUCGAAGAUCUGGAAGAGUAGAAUGGCAACAAGAAGUUUGAGAUAUCCAUUUCCUAUUCAUGUCAAUAUCUCAAAUUUUGUUACCAUCAAAUUAACUGAGGAUAAUUUCCUUCUGUGGCAAGCCCAAUUUCAUAGGUUCUUAAGAAGUCAAGACCUAUUUGGUUUUGUUAAUGGAGAAGUUCCACCACCUGCUAAAACAUUGCAGGUCCGAGAAGGAGGUCACACUACUGAGGUUUCUAAUCCCGAUUAUAAUGAUUGGAUCAAGACAGAUUAGCUUGUAUCCUCUUGAAUUAUUGGUGCUGUUUCAGAAAACAUACUCAGUUUGAUAAUUGGCUUAAACACUACAUAUGAAGUUUGGCAGACUUUGCUCAAUCGGUUUACACAAAAAUCUAUGGCAAAGGAGUCUGAGUUAAGGGGAAAACUGCAAGCUUGUUAGAAGCGUGAUAGAACAUUAUCAACAUAUCUCAAAGAGUAUAAAUCAAUAUGUGAUCAAUUGAAUGCAAUAGGGAAACCAGUGGAUGAAAUAACAAGAUUGUUUGGUGUUUUGGAAGGUCUGGGGUAUGAGUAUGAGAGCUUUAAAACAACAAUUUACUGUUUAAAGCCUCAAUAGAAUAUGACAAAGUAAUCUCACAUUUAGAAAGAUUUGAAACAAGGCUACAAAACUAUUCUUCGAAUCAGUUCAGUCCAAAUCUAGCCUACUAUGGCCAGAGGAAGACUGAAGUUAUACACAAAGAAGAGUUUAACAGAGAUUUUGUACAACAGAAUAAUAGCCUUGGAAGUUCAAGAGAGAAUAGUCGUGGAGGAAGAAAUUAUGGAAGAGGAAGGUCAUUCAAUAACAGAUAUAGAAACUUUAGAUAUCCUAGAAGAAGUAUGAAUUACAGAAAUAAUAGUUUGAACUAUGAACAGGGAAGUCAGCAGCUUAAGUAGUUUAAUACCUCCUCUACUUUGGGUUUUGGUCAGGGAUUCAGACCAUAUAAUGGCUUAGCACAAAGGUAUUCAGAUACCAAGACCUAUCCAUCUUCAAAUUUAACUCUUCAUAAAAAUAUGCAGGUGGAGAAAACAACAGAAAACACUCGACUGGAGUGUCAAAUCUACAGAAGACCUGGUCAUGAUGCAUUACACUGUUGGUAUCGAUUUGAUAAUUCCUACCAAGCUGAGGAGAUACCAACAGCUUUAUCAACACUACAUAUUAAGAAGCAAAUGGUAAUGAAUGGUAUCUAGACACUGGAGCAACAACUCACAGUACUGCUAAUGCUGGUAUUCUUCAUAACUUUUCUAAGAAUGCUGGUACUGAUACAGUCAUGAUUGGCAAUGGUUCAUGCUUACUUGUUAAAUACAUUGGUAAUGCAUUGCUGAAUACUGCUACUGAUGUCUUACCUCUAAAUGAUGUGUUGAUUGUUCCAGAAAUUAAGAAAAACCUUCUUUCAGUUUCUAAACUAACAGAUGAUUAUCCAUGUUCAUUUGUCUUUGAAAAAACUGGGGUGUACAUAAAGGACAGCAUCACCAACACAACCAAGAUGCUAGGAAGGAAGGUUAAAGGACUUUACAGAGUAGAUCCUUAUGCUGCAGAGGUCUUCUUCACUCAAAGACAAAGGAUUGCUGGAGAGAAUGUCUAGCAUCAACGUCUAGCUCAUACAAAUCAAAAUAUCCUGAAGCAUAUGAAGAAUCAAAAGCUAAUUCAGUGCCAUAUAGAACCACAAUUUGUAUGUAGAAGUUGUCAACUAGCUAAGAGUACUGCUCUACCUUUCCCAUUGUCGAAUUCUACAACUACUAAACCCCUAGAACGAAUUCAUUGUGAUAUCUGGGGACCUUCUCCAAUUAACUCUUUUCAGAAUUUCAAGUACUAUGUCAUUUUUGUUGACAACUUCUCUCGGUUCAGUUGGAUCUAUCCAUUGAAGCUAAAAUCAGACUUUUAUGAUAUUUUUCUCAUGUUUCAGGGACUAGUAGAAAACCAACUCAACUGUAAGAUCAAGAUUUUCCAAUGUGAUGGUGGAGGAGAGUUUAUCAGUCACAAGUUCAGAACUCACUUACAAAACUGUGGCAUUCAACAGCAUGUCUCCUGUCCAUAUACACCUUAACAGAAUGGAAUAUCUAAAAGAAAACAUUGUCAUAUAGUUGAACUUGGUCUGGCUAUACUGUAUCAUGCAAAACUCCCAUUAAAAUUCCGGGUUGAUGCAUUUGUGACAUCUAAUUAUAUUGUCAAUAUUCUUCCCACUCCAAAGUUAAAGAUGCAGUCUUCCUUUAGCAAGUUAUAUCAGCAUAAGCCAAGAUAUGAUCAUCUCAGAGUUUUUGGGUGUGCUUGCUAUCCCUGCCUUCGACCCUAUGCACAACACAAGCUUGAUCCACGAUCCCUUACCUGUGUUUUUCUAGGAUACAAUACUCACCAUAAGGGAUAUCGAUGCCUUGUUCCUACCACUGGUCAUGUGUACAUCAGUCGACAUGUGGUAUUUGAUGAGACCUUCUUUCCUUUCUCUCAGAAAUUAGCAACAACUUAUUCAACUUACACACAUUUGUAUAAGCUAUGGACAGAAGAAGAGAAAUUUUUACAACCUUCCAGUACAAAUUACAUAAACACUUCAUUAUCUCAUCAUACAGGUUAUGUACAAGACCCUACAGUUGAGCAAACAGUUGAACAAAUAAUCUCUACUAGUUCUACAGAACCAGCAGUUCCUGUUUCUACAAAUAAAUUACCUAUGGAUCAAGCUUCUUCUACUUCUCAAAAUAUUUCACAACAAGUAGAAAUACAUGGUUCCACAACAGAGACAACAGCUGAACCAGAUAUGGAACAAGCUGUUCAAACAGCCUUACAAGGUACACUAUCUACUCAACCUAUGUAAACUAGAUCUAAAUCUAGCAUCAUCAAGAUCAAUCCUCGAUAUGCAUGCCUUACUGAAUAUCGAGUUCCCCCAGACCAAAGUCAAUAAAAUUUGCUCUAGCAAAUCCAAGAUGGCAUCAGGCAAUGCAAGAGGAAAUGGAUGCUUUACAUCAAAAUCAAACUUGGUUAUUAGUUCCCCGUACCAAUGACAUGAAUGUUGUAGGCUGUAAAUGGGUGUUCAAGACUAAAUUUACAUCAGAUGGCAGCCUCAAUCGAUUGAAGGCUCGACUAGUAGCUAAGGGGUUUCAUCAGGAAGAAGGAAUAGAUUUCACAGAAACCUUUAAUCCUGUUAUUAAGCAUGCCACUGUUCGAAUUAUACUCUCGGUGGCAAUAAUAAAACACUGGUCUAUACAUCAACUUGAUGUCAAGAAUGCCUUUUUGCAUGGCACCUUAAAUGAAACAGUUUACAUGGAGCAACCCCCUGGCUUUGUACAUCCACAGUACUCUCAGUAUGUUUGUCUUCUUCAAAAAUCACUUUAUGGACUACAGCAAGCACCGCGUGCUUGGUAUGACAAGUUCAGUAAUUUUUUACUUGAAGCUGGUUUUUUCUGCAGCUCAAUUGAUCCUUCUUUGUUCAUACUUCAUAAAGGUCAAGAGACAUUACUUCUAUUGCUAUAUGUUGACGAUAUAAUCCUGACUGGUAGCUCAGAUAAGUUGCUGCAGACAGACACUUAUUCACUCCCUCAGUAUUCAAUUCCAUAUGAAAGACCUUGGCCACCUCCAUUAUUUUCUUGGAAUUGAAGCUACACGAACAUCCACUAAGUUAUUUUUGUGUCAAACCAAAUAUGCUCUUGACUUACUCUCUCGUGCACAUAUGUCUGACUGCAAACCUAUUGCCACACCUCUUUCUCUUAAACCAGUCACACUAAAAACAAAUGCUGAUCUUCUUCCAAAUCCCAUAGACUACAGAAGCUUAGUAGGUGGUGUGACAUCCUGAAAUUCGACCCCGUUUCGAUAAAAUGAAAUGUGCAUAUCGUCGGCGCGCCUAUGGUCCUUUUUCUCUGAGCUGAUCACUCACGAGUUAGCCAACCUAUUGGGUGAAGCCGUUAAGGGAUAUAACCGUGGUAAAAUCCCUAAAAGCUACCUAAUUGGUUGGAUUGGACUAAAAUCGCGUCCGGUCGAUUUUAAUCAUGAAAUUUAAUUCGGUCUCGGGAAAUCGAAUAUUCGAGCGUGUCACAAUUCAUUUUUAGGACCGUCUCAUCGUCUGUCAAUUUAUUGACGAGUCCGAAAUUUCAAUAAAGAAAUUAUCGGGGGAUCAAUCGAAGAUCAAAAGAAAAUAGAAAGGAAAAGGAAAAGAGAAAAGGAAAAUUGAAAUAAAGAAUUAUGCAUUUCCUUUUUUCUUUUUCCUCUCUCUCCCUCUCUUUUCUUUUCUUUCUUUUUCUCUCUUUUCUUUCUCUCUCCUCUCCCCUCUCCCCUCCCCCUCGUGCAAAUUGCCCCCCACCGCUCACUUUCUCUCCCUCUUUUAUUGACCGGUCAACCCUUAUCUCUAUCUUCUCUCUCUCUUCUCUCUCCUCUCUCUCUUUCGCACUCUCUUCUCCCCCUUCUGUUCGAGCGAACCAUGAGCCGAAGGAAGACGAGAAACCAGAAGCUGCAGCCCCGUCGCCGCCCGUCCCGCCGCCGCACCGCCGCCCGCGCCGCACCCGUGCGCCCGCCGCUCACCGCCGUCCCGCCGUCCGCGCACGCCCAGGCCGCGCGAUCCAGCCGCGACCCAACUCUGUUCGCUCCUGUUCCAACCAUCUCCGGCCACCUCCGGCCACCGCCUAGCCCCGCCGGAGCUCCCCUGCGACCCCCUCACCCUCCGCCGGCUUCCCCUCGCCGCCCUAGCCGCCGAAGCAGCCUCGAUCGGCUCCGUUCAGCAGACCCACGAAGUGGGUUUCCAGCACUUCGGGCCCGCUUUUGGGCCGUUUCCUGGCCCCGAACCCGAGCCGUGCUUUGGAGUUUGUUGUUCCUCGUGCCGCCGCCGUCGGAUUGAUCCGAUUUGCGCGCGAUUUGGUGAGUAAUCUCACUAAUCCCUGAUUAGUUGGCUAAUUAUGCUUAGGGUUGGUUUAAAUUUAAUUAAUUAUGUUUAGGUUGUUAGAUUAGAAUUAAUUAGUAAUUAUUAGUCAAUUGUGAUGCGAUUUAGAUAAAUUGAUUGUGUAAUUAACAAGUAGACAUGGUCUACUAAUUAUUGGAAGUGCCUCGGGAUUUUUCCCGACCCUUAGUGGGCUCCAAUUAGGCUUUUCGGGCCUAAGUGGAAUUUUUAGUAUUUAAAUAUUAAUUUUCGGAAUUAAAUUAAAUAAUUAUUUAUUUUCCGAAAAUUCAACGGAGAUGGUCUGGAACCGGAAAAUUAUGCUAAUGACCGUGGUGAAGUCCGUUUAUUUGAUCGGGCUUUAUUUUGAGCUAAAUUGAAUUUUUAAUAUUAAUUAUUUAAUUUUCGAAAUUAAUAAAUUAAUUAAUUAUUUUUCGGAAAUUAAGAUUUUGAUGGCCGACGACCGAAAUCUCGUGCUGAUGGUCGUGGCGUAGUCCGUUUAUUUAUUUGAGCUCUACGUUGUAUGGAAUUGAAUAAAUUGUGAUAUUUUAGGGAUUUACCCUAAAUUGAUUGGAAUUGAUUGAGAUUGAAUUGUUGAUUGGUAAAUGGCCAAGUAUGUUAUUCAGCAUUUAUAUUGCUUUGUUGAGUUGAUUUAAUUAUUUGAUUGAGAAAUCGUUGGGCAUUGGUUGUCAGUAUUGAAAGUAGAUUGGUAAUCGCUUAAAAGAGGACACGUGGGCUCGGUGAAUUGGAAUGUCACCUGGAGAAUGCACGUGAGUUCAGUGGUUGAAUAUUUCACCUUGGCGAAAAGGUCGCCUGAGAGAAUGCACGUGGCUUGGAGACUUGAUAUGUCCUCCUUGAGAAUGCACGUGGCUUGGUGACAGAGUUUGGCAUCUAAAAGGGCACGUGGCUCGGUGAUCUGAUGCGUCACUUUGGUAAGCGAGUACCUUAGAGAAUGCACGUGGGCCCAACAUUCCGGAAUGGCAUCUAAAAGGGCACGUGGCUCGGUGACUUGAUGCAUCACUUUGGUGAGAUGCACCUAAGAGAAUGCACGUGGACCCAGGCAUCUAAAACGGCACGUGGGCUCGGUGACUUGAUGCAUCACUUUGGUGAAAUGCACCUAAGAGAAUGCACGUGAGCCCAGGCAUCUAAAAGGACACGUGGCUCGGUGGCUUGAUGUACCACCUUGGCGAAGAGGUCGCCUUAGAGAAUGCACGUGGGUCCGAGGUUCGAGGCACGUGAACUCGGAGACCUGGAAUGUCUUCCUAGAGAAUGCACGUGGCCUAGCUUGUAAAUAUCCCACAGUGGGGAUUGAUUAGUAUGACAUGUAAUCGACUAGUUCGAUUUAUUUGAAGUGAAUGGGUGUUUAUUGUGAAUUGUACUGACUUGCAGGUGGAAUCUGAGGCCAAGGUAAGUCAUCUGCCCUGUGCGUGUUUAGGCAGCCUUUAGUAUAAUGGUUUACUAAUCGGGCUUAGUGGGGUAGAACUCGCUGAGACAUAGUCUCAUCCCAGUUUGGGGAAAAACAUUUCAGGACCCCAUUGAGGAGCUGAGGAGGAAUCUAAGAAGGAGAACUCGGAGGUGAAACCUGAGUAGAAGGAUUUUUGGAAGAAGAAGAUAAUACCGAGAGAGAUUUUGAGUAUGACCUGAAGGGAUUGAGAUUUUAUCUUCUUUGAUAUCUCCAUUUUGAUGUGAAUAGAGUUUGGAAUAAAAAUUUGUGAAGUGUUUGGGUUUGUGUUUUGUAUAAAAGUUUGGUUAUAAGUUUCAAUAUGAAAAAUAUGGCCCUGCUUUUCUAUCCCAUUGUUUUAUUGUCUGGGGAUUUUAACUGCUUCCGCAUGUGCUUAAUAAAUGAAAGGGUCGGUGAUACAUUGUCCUGGGAUAUCACAUUAUAAAAUCGACCAAGAGUUGAAGGAUGUGCGCGUGCCCGAGGAUCGGGACGUGACAGGUGGCUUACAAUAUCUCACUAUCACUCGUCCUGAUCUUGCAUUUGCAACAAAUAUCUUGUGUCAGAAAAUGCAACAACCCACUGUUGGUGACUUCCUUAAACUGAAGAGAGUACUUCGUUAUGUAAAAGUAACAAUUCACCUUGGCAUCUAUCUUCACUCUCGAAGUUCUCUCAAUUUAUAUGGUUUUUCUGAUGUAGAUUGGGCUGGUUGUGUUCAAACUAGAUGAUCUACCACAGGUUUCUGUACUUAUCUCGGCUCUAAUCUCAUCUCAUGGGCAGCCAAGGAACAAACAACUAUUUUCGUUCUUCCACUGAAGUAGAAUAUAGAGCACUUGCUUCGGCAACAACUGAUCUUACUUCGAUCACUUUUGUUCUAAGAGAUAUUAGCCUUCCUCUACACUCUCCAACCUUACUAUUUUGUGAUAAUCAAUCUGCAAUAUCCCUCACAGCUAAUCCUAUACUUCAUGCUCGAACAAAACAUAUUGAGGUUGAUUUUCACUUUGUUCGAGAAAAAGUUGCCUCUAGAUCCUUGUGUGUUAGAUAUAUUCCCAGCAACAAUCAAAUUGUUGAUAUUUUACAAAGUCUUUAUCCAGACUAACACAUUCUUCUCUUUGUCUCAAAUUAGGAAUUGGCUGUUCACCCUUGCCCAAUUUGCGGGGGGAUGUUAAGACUACAGUAAAUAGCAGCAGCUCAGCCACUAAUAAUGCCAUCAAGAACAGGAGGAGGAAAGCAUAUGAGGAAGAAGCAUAAUUUAUAAAUGCUGCCGAGAAGUGUAUAGGAAGAAGAACCACUAUUAAAAACAGAGAAAGAUAAGAAGAUAAAGAUAAGGGUGAUGCUACGGAUUGUAUUGUUGCAUAUGAAUACUCUGCGAAGCUUGUAAAGCCAAGAGCUCUCUCUUUCUCUCUCUCUCUCUCUCUCUCUCUCUCUGAGCUGGAGCUCUCUGUUUAGCACUCUGUUCUUGUACUCUAUUUCUUCUUUGUUUUUUCGGUAAUCAGUUAGUUUUUCUCUUCAGUUAGGUAGUUGUAUCUUCUUCAACUGUUCAAUACCUGUAGAACAGAUUCUUGAGAGAGAGCUAAUGUAGAUAUAAAAGGAAAACUCUCAUGAUGUAGAUUUCGUGAAGUUGAAAUAACAGAAGAAGCAUUUUCAUCUCUAUUUUCUCUCAUUUUCUCUCCAUCACUUCCUGCUCAUAAACUUCUUCACCAACACCAUAUUUUUCUUCUCAAGUCCAACCUUUCUUUACUCUUCCGGUUUUCUUGCUUUGAUCUCUUGACUCAUGGCUUCUGUCCUAUGAUAUGCUUCAUGUGCUUCCAUGUUCUGUUAGAUCUGGGUUUUGGGUUUGGCGACGGUUUUCCUGUCUUAUGGGAUCGGACUCUUUUAAGGAUACUCGAACAUCAUAGUUUUGUUGCUUUCUGAACUAUGCAUGUACAUUCAAACAUCACAUGGCUUUUUGCAAUUGCAUUUAGCUUGAUAUAAGAAUGUUUAAUUCUUUGGAUUAGCUAACUUUGAUCUGCAUUUGGUUUCUGCUAAUUCUGCCUCACCCCCAGCUUCUAGAUUGCCCUGAGAAAUCUGGUCAUCUUUAGUUUGUUGUGAGCAUAAUUUGAAUUUGCAGCCCACCCAAAAGAGAAAACCUUACGUGUUCAGAGUGAAAAUUCUAAGUCAAUUAAAGUGAGAAUUUGCAGACUAUCAAGAAAAGUGCUAUUAAGUUAUAAAUAAGUCAUAUGGAAAUCAGGUAAUACUUUUUUUUUUUUUAUCAAUAACUUUUUAACACUUACCAAUUCUUUCAGGAAUUUAUCCGCAUGAAAAAUAUCCGUUUGUUUUAAAAUGGAGUAAGUAAAGUCGUCCCUGUGACGUAUGAGAGUUAAUGCAUUUUUAACAAUUUGCGUCUGGAUGGCCUCUUCACUAAACAAGAGGUCUUCUUGUAAAUGGCGUAAUUAUGACUUUUUGGGUGUUGAAUUGUCGUGAUCAUAAUUAUUAUUACUUUUUUGACCAAGAUCAUGUGUUCUCCGUUAGUCCAAUUCUAAGGAAAUUUGUUACCCUCGUAACAGUGGGGUGAAUUUUAUUUUAUUUUUUUGGAUAUCCAGGAUCUGCCAGAGCCUGUGGGGUGAAUUGAUUUUUCAAGAUAUUAAAAAUCAAUUUUGUAAAACCUACCCCUAUAAAAAUUGUGCUUCUACUACCAAGUAUACUAGCAAUUUAAACAGGACAAAACUAAAAAGUUUAGAAAAAGAAAAAUUGCAAAAUGAGAAUUAUGAAAGUUCAAUUCGGGUAUACAUACUCCUCUUUCUAGCUCUAAUAGCCCAAAUAGACUGAACUCUACUAGCUAUGCCAAGAGUACAAAUACCAUCUUGUUUAGAAAAGUACUCAAUCGGUCUUAAACUUUUCAAUUUUGCCAAUUUAAUCUUAAAUAUUUGUAUAAAAUUCCAAUAUAUUCCUUUCAGUUAUUUUUCGCUGGAAAUUUCUAACGUGACAUCAUCGUUGGCCGUCCUCUGUAGCAUACCACUAUGCCCACGAUUUUCAGCUAAAAUUGGCGAAAAUAUUAGAUUGAAAUUUCACACGAAAGUCUAGUUGAUAACCAAAUUAGUAUCCAUGCAAUAAGUCUAGGAUUGAUUAGACAAUUACUUGUUACAAGUGUAGAAUUUGCUGCCACGGAGAACUUGACUUCCUUCUACAGCAAUCCCGCUAUACACUGAGUAACUUUUGGACCCUCCAAUAGCCAUUCUCACAUCUUGUUCACACGAUAUAAAGGUCCUUUUCUAAAUUAUAAACCACACCUCCGACUGUUUACAAAGAGUCCAUUAUACAUUUUAUCUCUUGCCUAGAUACAUAGUGUUCACUCUAAGUAUGUAAAACCACCCUUUUCAUAUGUUUACGAAUGGGUUUGUCCCUCUUGCUAAUAAUUAGACACAACACUAAAAUGGGUAUUACAAGUUUACGAAAGACACGAACUCAAAAGUCCCCCAAUAAUACUUAAAUUCUCUUGUAGUAGUUAUAUCUAUCUAAUCUUCAAUUAAAAAAGAAAAAUCUCAGCAAAAUUCCUUAAAAACACAUGUAUAAAACCUUGUUACAAUCUAGGCCAUCAAUCUGAUCUUCUAUUAAUGCAGGUUUUAAUCAUAUUGUUUCGCCAACCUUCUGAGCGAAUUAGUUCCUUUUUUUUUUUUUGCAUAACUACUCUUGGGAUGUCACAUUUUAUUGCUAUGACUUGGGGCUUUGAUUUAGGAACUCCAAUAGUCAUUAAAUUUAUCCAUGGAGAGCGCCUGCUAAAAAAAUCUGACUGCUUUGCAUAACCUAGUUUGGUUCUACACCUUUCCUCCAGCAGCUUUCCUAACAUAGUAAAACCUUACUUAUGUACUUGUAAAAUCCGAACCAAGCUUCUGUAUGGUUUAAACAUGAACAUUUGCACACUUAAAUGAAUUCUUUAAAUCCUUGGGUUAAAUUUUGAUAUUAUCAUAAUCUUUUUAGUAUAUUUUCCAAGCAGUUUCACCAUUUUCAACAAUGACAAACCUAUACCAUUCCUUCAAUAAGAGUGAGUUAUGCACAUAAGCAUGCAUAUUCUGCAAAACUAUCUGACUGUAAAACCAGAGAUGAUUCAUGCAUGCUUCCACAUGCGACAUUUUAAUAGACCAUAUAAAUAUGUCUGCAAAACAUAAUAAACUCCCCUUAAUAUGUACACAUAGUGCGAUUCUCCCCCUGAGUAUGUGCUUCUCCCCCUUCUUGUUUCUUAAAAAAGCAUUAACAUCAGAUGCCCAGGGAUGAAAACCAUAUAAGCAAAAGCAUUCAUUUAUUUAUAUAUAAGAGUGUUCUACAAAGCAUAUUCCGGAAAAAUUAAUAUAAAGGAAAGUGAACACUAACCAAAAGGAUCACAAACACCGAUUUCAUCCAUCAAGCUAGAAACGUAUUGUUAUCAAGAGGUCUAUUCAGAAUAUGAGAGAAUUGCAAAUCGAUGCUAACAAAUCCUUUUCAUUGAUUCAUGUUGUGCUGUGGCUGCCAUAAUUAAAUAAAUAAAUAAAUAAAAGAAUCAUAUGAAAGAGUCUCUCUUCUUGAAGUUUGACCUAGUUCAGAGUUCCUCGAAAUGGAAGCCACCCCCGUUAAUUAGCACAAUUAAAUAUUUUAUUAGAAAUCCAAAAUUUAGGCAGUUGAAUACUUGGCCAAUUUUUAAGACAGUGUGACUCUAAAAAUUGUGCUCGUAUUCAACUGAAACACAAUUACUAAAGAAAGACUUACCGAUUGCUUAACAAUGUUGCAAUUACACUUUUUUUCAAAUCCUUACAUUAAGGAUGACACGUCCUUAUAUCUCAAUAAGGGCCAUUGACUUAACUAAGACAUUUUAUCUGUUCCCUUUUUGCUGAUCAAUAUGUCAUGAGGUUUGGUACACAACUAACUAUACUAUUAUAAAUAAUUUGAUUCUGUUGAAUACUCAAAACACAUAAAUCUGACUAAUUGGAGUUUGAAUUACUGAAACUGCGACAACAAUUGAGUAGAAAUGUAAAAGAGACUUAGGGUUGAUGCCUGAUUAUAUAUCGAAAUACCAUGGGUUUGACAUAUAGACCUCCUUUUCAAAGCCCCGUAUGCUAUUGGAAAUAUGUAUACGUAUUAGGAGCAUUUUGUGGGCUACUACAUGGUGCACUUGUUUUAUAUUUAAAGUUUCAAUGGGUCAGUUUUGUCUACUAGUAACAUUCUCCUCCAAUCAUACUUUCAGUUAACAGGUCAAAGAUUAUGGACAUUAUCAAUAUGAAAAUUUAAUCAAAAUCAAAUACGAGUGAUGUUAAUAUUUGUGUGAUCCAUCAAUGAAAGUUAUGGCUAAAAAGAGUUCAUCCAGCUAGAGCGUUACAUGUGCAAAUAGAGAUAAAAUAAAUUUAGAAUUCUAUCUGUGAGCUUUUACAUCAUUGACUAUGGUUGCUAACAAGCAUUUUCAUUGCAAAAUUUGACAACAUUUUUGGAUGGCUUUUGGAUUAUUGAUGUUGAUUACAUAAUUCUGUCGUAAUUCAGUUUUAUCACGUUCAGAUUUAGUUUUCUUACAUUUAUUUGAAUCUAAGUUACUAUUAUUGCACAUGAUUGUUGACAUCUGAAUUUCGCUAUUUUACUUAAGACUUAAUAGCAUUAAAAUUUAGGAAUAAGUCGCUAAAAAAAAUUGAUUUUUUUUAAAAAAAAAAAAAAAGAAGAGAGAAGAAGAAAAAACCUUAGGGGUCGGGCCGGAUCCGACCUUUGCCCAGCCCGCCGCCUUCCUCUUCUUUUCCCCCCGCGCGGCCCAAUCUCUUUUCCUUUCGGCACGCCCGCACCCCAGCUGUCUUCCUUGUCCUGUCUUCGCGCGCAAACCUGCAGAGGAGGACAGACAGCACGCGACCAGGCGGGACCGGCAGAAAGAAAAGACAGGGUAAAGCAGAGAGUAGGAGGAGGGGCAGAAAGAAAGUGGAGCAACCAGAGAAAGAAAAACAGAGGGAGAGAGCUCGAGAGGGAGGAAGAGAACCGGAGAGGAGGAGGGGAGUCUCCGGCACUGUCGCCACCGCUGCCGAUGCGUCUCCUAGCCGCCGACAUUUAUGAACAUUGAUCAAAUCCAACAAUUUUCUAAAAUUUAUUUGAAAGGCAAUUGCAUAAAAAUCGACAAGAAGUAAAAUGUCAAAAGGGUACUGACCUUCUUAUGACUCGUGCUCCUUUCUCAAGUUAUAAUUUUAUGCUCUUUUGCCUGGUGAUCUCGUCCUAUCCAUUCUAAAAAGGAAAAGAAACAACAAAUUUAUUGAGAUGUGUGAAAAUAUAAUAACAAAAAUGAAACAAAUUAUGCAGAUUCAUAAUAUUCAUGCCGAGAUAGCAAAAAAUUCACAAUCACAUCUAGAAAAAAGCAAGUUCGUUCAAUAAUUCAUAUGCUUCAUAAUUGUGAUCGAGGAAAGCGAACAUUAAAAUUAAGCCAAAUUUAUUCAAGACCACAUCCCGGAGGAAACAACCAACAACUACAUGCCACAUUUGACAUUUUCCUUUAAAAAUAAUGACAGCAAACUCCCAAAAAAUGAUGAGAAAUGAAUAGAAUAUCUAUGAACUAUUUUAGCAACCAAUAUGCCCUCAAACAAUGUCAUGACCCAACUAAAUCACAUCUAACCCAGAAUAUCCAGCAACUACCAUUGCAAAUGACCUAUGGUAAGGUGUUAGUCUUUAUUUACUUUUAUCUGUUUCUAUUUGCUAAAAAACGUUUGGUUUUGCUAAACGUUGGAGCACCACUACUGUUGACAUCUCCUUCUAUAAUUGCAGUUGGUACCUUUGGAUAUUUGUGGUCAUCUUCUUAUUGCUCAAUGUCCAAGGUGAGAAACCACAUUAAUCACAUAUUGCAAUUUCCAAAUUUACGCGUCAUGAAUACAACAAGGUUUACUUUUCAUUAUUGUAGUUUUUACCCCAGCAAAACAUGGCUGAACACAAUUUAGGCAUGGUUUGGCAUGGCGAUUCUAGUCCUCAUAUUGAGAAGGAAUUUGCACGGAGUUCAAUGGUCCUUUCCGGAGAAACACCUAGGCUGUUGAUGCUUCUGAGCAUACGAGAGUCAAGAGCAGUUAAUAUCAAGUUACCCACAACAUAAUUCCCAUCAAAACCCCUAAAGUAACGCUUAAAGGCCAAUCCUAUAAACGGGGGAUUUAACUAUAACUGAUGAGGGGCUGCAAUCAAUUAUGCAGGCUGGCAUGCAUACUUUUGGAUAUCUUUCAUGCAUACUUUUGGAUAUCUUUUGUUCUCUUUUUGGUGAGUAGAACCGUGUCCCGGCAUUGGGCUGCUUAAGCCACAUUGUACAUCUCUUGAGAAAUGAGUCAUAGUGGGAUUCAGUUUAUUAGUUAUUCUAUUUCCUUUUCUAGCUCUUGCUGUCGGAACAAAGCUGGAGCACGUGAUAAAUCAAUUAGCGCAAGAUGUGAGAGUGCUAGUAUGAACAAAAUAAAGGAGUUAAGGAAGAGAAUAAGAACACAGAAAUUAUAGUGGUUCGGCUUAAUCCAAGCCUACGUCCACUCUCCCACGAUAACAGCCUUCUUGGCUGGAUUCCACUAUGCAAUCAACAAGAGAUUACAACUCCGAGUGCAAACACUUAGUAGUAGAUCACACUAUCUCACUAAGUCACUCUCUUGGUAUUUCUCUCACGAUUACAAACGUUUAAGCUCUCAAGAGACAAGUAUAUGAUCUAAAGUCGCUUAGACUUUGGAAUUAUAAAUUCUACGCUCCGUCUCUUACUUGCUCAUCGGUCCAUGAUCUUCUUAAAUACUCCUCCACUUCCAAACUACCGUUGGACAGCAUCCCGGAGAAUCGUCUUCCAAUAUACCCAUUGGACAGCUCUGUAUCUUAGAAGAUUUGGUAGCCGUUGAGUGACAAAGGUAAAAUCCCAAAUUGAUUCCGAUCGCCCAUACAAACGAAAUCUUGGUUUCCAUAAGUAAAGCUUCUUCGUAUAGAAAGAUCUUGUCUUCAAUCAAAUCAAUCUUGAUGUGGAAUCCAAACCAGAUCACUAGCCGUUGUAUGAUUGGGCUUGAGUUACGAUUCAUCGAAUCUGGAUGUAAAGUCUGAGUCUUGAGACUUUACGAUAUGAGUCUUGAGACUUUACAACCUGGGUCUUUAGACUUUACAAUCUGAGUCUGUACCCAGUUCAGCUUCAGCAUAGAGUCUGUCUUCAGACUUUGAGUCUUGAGUCUGACAGUCUUCAGACUUUGAGUCUCGAGUCUGGCAGUCUUCAGACUUUGAUAAUAUCCUCUACAUGUUCUAUUAUCUGCAUGGUCUAUUACUCAACCAUCAAACAUGUUAGUAGCCUUUGAUUUAUUUUGUCAUCUUCAAAACAUCAUAAGGGAUUUCCCUAACAAGAUGUCGCGGAGAAGCAUGCAGCCGUGGAAGGGGACUUGGUGGUUCAACCUUCUGUUGAUCAUUUCUGGUUCCAUAGACCUCGCAUUGUCCUGCUGCUCAUUCAUAUCCUCCUCUUCCAAAAAGCUUUUGAGCUCGCUUUCUUCUUCUUCAUUUGUGCAAGGGAUAAAAAUAGCUGAAUUGCCAAAAGAAAAUAAGUGCUUACGAUUACUUACUGGAGCUUCCAUGGGGAAAAAACCUGGCAGGUUCAAUAUAGUUUUGACUCGUGCAUAAUGGGACAAGUCGGUUUCAUAAUCCCAAGACUCGUGAUAGGGUAAAAGCCUUCUUCCUUCUCCUCAUAUGUGGAUUUAUCCUUACCAAUAUCACAUGUAUCUGAAUGGCUAGCUACAGGCAAUGUUGUCAGGGUGUUGGUUCACUUCAUGUGCAGCUACAGCACCUUGCCACUCUAUGCGAUAGUUACCCAGGUGACCAAUCUAGGCACAUCGUUUUCACGGUUCAUGACUAUUUACUGCAACAUGAUAUUGAAACUGAUGGCAUACGUACUUGCGUGUUUGCGCUUGGUUGUUAAAGAUGGGAAGCUCAUUCAAGAAGGCUAUAUUUGAGGAACACAUACAUGAGGGGCUCAGCGUCUGGACCCAGCAUGCAAAAAUGAAGAAGAAUGCAAGAAUGACGGCGACUGGCACACGAUUGACCACCCUCCCCGUGGACCCCAAAGUGACUUAACAAUCCCUUGGCGAGCCAACGAAAGAAGCUGAGAUCCAAUAUGAUCCUUCCUUCCAGGGACCAAAAGAGAUGUAGCAACCAUUCGAAACAUUCCCUUCCAAUUUCCAUGUUUCAUCAUCUUUAGACCUCUUAAAUGGGAAAGUCGGCCUGCUUUCUCUACCCCGAUGUUGAUUAUAUUUCAUAACCAGACACCAAACAACAGUCAACAAAAAUGAACCUUCCAUCAAGCUCUAUUUUCUCCGAGACGGUCAUUUCUCAUUCUACAAGGUUACAUGUGAUCAUUUAGAUUUCUAGUUAGGAGAAGAUUAGAGGAUAUAAAAAUUUUGCUAAAUUCUAUCAAUUGUUCGUCGCAGAGAUAAAAUCGAAUAUAUCCACAUCAUAUUAUAUAUAUUGUAUGGUAUAAACAACAUGUCAAUACAAAAUGAAUCUAAAAUUUGCGCAAUAGAUAUGAUAAAAAUCUCUCAUAACUCUCUAACUUCAUUUUUUAUUUGCUAAUUUUUUUUAUAAAAAAAAAAUUCCUAUAUUUUUUUUAAAUUUUUUUCCCCCUUCCAUCAUUCUCUAAUAAAAUUUUAUUAUAUAGUAAACUAUAGUAAUAUAUCUAAAAUACUAAAGUCCUAAAAUAUGUAAUAUUCAUAAUGAAUAUAUGUUUAUAUAUUGAUUAAUAUUAUAAGAUAGAAAUAAAUAAAAAGAGGAUUAAAUAAAAAUGAAAUUUUUGCUUUUUUGUUAUUUUGAAUUUUUUUAUCAGAAUUAAACUAUUAUUUAUCUUCCAAUAUUAUUUUAAUUUUAUAAUAAGAAUUUUUUUUUUUGAGAAAAAAUCUUUUAUAUUAUAGAUAUUAGAAAUCUUAUUUACCUUUAUCUCACCUCUCCAUAAAAUAAUUAUAUCCAUGCUAUAGCCCUCUUAAAUAUUGAACGAACACCAAACAUAAAAUAAAUAUUAUAUCCUAAAUUUUAUUCCGAUUGUCAAAUUAUUCCACACAUUUGGACUUUUAAUACUUAAAAUCUGAUUCUAGGAAAUGAGUCAAUAGUAAAAAGUGAAAUUUUCUUGGUGCGCAAUGUUGCAAUCUUGCAGAUCAUGGAGUAGGAUAUUUUAUGUACCAAGACAGUAAACUCAAGAGAGCAAUUGCCUUAUAUGUAUCUUCUUCGGCAUAAUUUAUUACAAAUACAAAAGGAGAUACAAGAUCAAUAAAUCGUGAUUCAAUGCUUCAAAUUAUUCCCGCCCAAGCUAUUUUUGCUGUCAUAGUGGAGCUGCAAAACCAAGUUAUUUUGCAGACAUUAACUAUAAAAAUGGUUUCAAUAACAAAAAGUAGUGCAUAAUUCAACAAUCAUUACCCAUUAAUUUAAACCUUUCAUGAUUAAUCAAGAAAGUGGUUUGAGACAACAGCUCAAACAUAAACAUCAUGACGGUAACUGACUAUUACACAUAUUCUGCAGCAAAAUAGCCGCCUAUCUAUACUUCCAAUACGCAAAAUUCUCCUUUAUCAAACCGGACCCGGCCGUACCGACCGGUCUAAACCCGGGUCGGGUCAGACCGGACCCGACUCAUUUCGCCCUUUUUUAAAAUUAAAAUUAUUUUUAAAAAAUUUUAAUUAAAAAAUUAAAAAUUAAAAAUUUCGAAAAUUAAAAAAUAUAGAGUUUGGUUAGGAAUUGUCAUAUCUUGCAUUUUUACAGUAAUAUUAGGCUUUUAUUUUCUUACACCUUGAUUAUAUUGCAUGUUUGAUUCGCAUAUUUGAUUAUGUUUGUAGAUGUUCAAUUGCACGUACUCAAUUUUACUAUAAUUAAGAUCUUCAUAACUACGAUUGUUAUUUUAAUGAUUGUGUAUUCAUAUGAUCAACUCAUAUGUUAGUGGAUAUGUAUAAAAUUAAUCUAAACUGUCGAACAAAAAUCAUUAAAUUUUUAAAUGAAUAAAGAUUAUGUACAAAAAUGGCACUAAUUGGUUGCGUAGUAAGUGUGGCAUACUUCCAUGCCUCACUUGAUUUUUUUUUUUCUUUUUGCAAAAUUCUUAAGAAUAUCUAAUGUCAUGCGAGAUAUAGACUUGGAAGAGCUUGUGCUUAAUCAUGGGCCUUUUGUCCGUCAUUUAAUCUAUCCCCUCCCCUUGAGGGAAGUUUGCGACAAUGAUCUAAGCUCCAACAAUAUUCUUACAUGACAUUUUUUGCUUGUUAAUCAUGUGACUUUAACGAUGUUGUAAGUUAAAUCGAUUACACGUAAAAAGUUCCUAUCAAUAAUUGACACAAAUAGUAGUAGUGGACCGACCACAUAACAUUAGAUUGGCAGUAAAAAAUCUAAUUUCAAGAGAUCAAUAGCCUAACUGUAGCAAAUAUCGAACUUUGGCACCGUGAAUGAAAUUUCUCAGUGUUAAAAAAUAAUUUUCCUUCUCUUGUCGCGGCCACAGAGAAAAUCUUUUGACACCGCCACUACAAAAAAGGAUCGUGUUUUCUUCCAUCACAAAUUUGAUUGGCAAGUUAUCAAAAUCUGAAGAAUCAUCCUAGAGACCGAUUCAAGGACAGCAAUUGAUCUACUAGUUGGCAAGAUUACAGAGUUGUCGAGGCCAGAUUGGGUGGUGAAAACCAACACAGCCCGUGAAGGCAAAACGUGCGACGAUUGAUAAGCCAAUGCAGCGUUCUUUUAGAGACCAUAUUUAGUUAUUCACUUAGGUUUAUCUACGGGGCUUCAAUUUGUACUUUUUAGGAGAUAAAAGUGGGUGUUAGGAGGCCGGGACUUGCAUAUGAGAUGUGUUAGAAAUUAAACCAAAUUAAUAAAUGUCCUCAAUUGACUACGAGUUGCUGAUGUUAUGGAGAAGUUACCGAUAUUAAUGGUUGUCAAUGCCGAUAUUCCAGAAUUUGGUACCGAUGAUUUUGUUUGGUAAAUUUUUUUUUUUUUUGUCAGUCUUACUCUAUGCCUACUUUACACUCACUCUCAGACUUCUGCCCUGCCUCUUGUAGGGCUUGGGAGUCGAAACCCACUCCUGAAACUUACGCGUCCCCACCCCAUCCCCCUAAGAAGGUGGGGAUUUGAACCCCACAUCUCCCCCUUCCAUGUUGGAAGGAUGGCUACUGGGAUGAAUCCCACUGGGGUGAAUUGAUACGGAUGACUAUCCGAUGCUCGAGUUAAUUAGAUUCUUUAUUGUAGCGUUGUUUUUUAGAAGUCUAUUCGUAUUUUUAUUUCAUGAUUGUUCAUGUUUCUAAGUGUAAUCAAUGUUUUGCAAGUUCUUAAGAUUUUAUCACCUCAGAACAUUAGCUAUAUUUAUGAGUCAUUUAGUUUAAGAGUUAUGUGUGAAGCGUAUAAAAUUCGAGUCUUGUAAUUGUUUUCGAUAAGGUGAAAAAAAGGUGAAAUAAACAAAAAGGAUAGCUGUCUCCUUCUCUUUUUUGUGUUGUGUUAGUGAGUGUUUCAGCUUUAAAUUAUCUCAUCAAGAUCUAGCUUGUAUUUGUCUUUUACAAAAACUCAAAAUUUUCUAGUUUUGAUGCCAUAUGAAAUUAUGAAGGAGCAUUAUUAGCUAUUAUAGAAGUUUAGAUAAUUAGAUGGAUGCAUUAUUCAAUACUUAAUUGAUAUGACGCCUCUUUCACGACCUGUGUUACCUUUCAACAACUAGAUUACUUGCACAGCUUGGGCUCAAUGGACGGAGAGCUGUCUAUAAAAGUGGAGGAUGGUGGGAUGAACAACUCGAUCGCGGAGGAGGUAAAGAAGGAUGAAAGAGGACAUUUAACGGAAGUGUCAAAGGAUGAAAGGGAUUCUGAAGAAGAAAUCUGGGGAGGUCGACGGGAGAUAAUGAAUAAUGCAUUGGCGGCUUCCGCGGGGGGACAAGAUCCGGCAAAAGCUUACGAAUAUGCUCGAAAACUGGCGGGUGUCAUCAAAGGCGGCAAGGUUGACGAGUUCCUUUCCACGAUCAAUGUAAAUGAUCCAUCGUUGCGGGACAUCGAUUGGUCUGCCGUUUUAAAUUCCCGAUUGGAUUGGAACGAAUCACUGCUCCACGUGGCAGCAGAAACCGAGAAGGACGACAUCCUAAGGCUUCUGGUUGAUUAUGUUGGUGACCACCUCAUAACCGCCCAAGAUGAUUGGGGAAAUACCCCACUCCACCGGGUCACCCAGUUUGGGGGAUCUACUGGAGCUGCAGAGAUGUUGAUUCACCGGGCAAGAGACCUCCCCAACGUCGAGGACAAGAACCUCCUCUUGAGGAUGAAGAACAAACGUGAAAACACCGCUGUGCACUUCGCCGUGCGCUCUCAACAUGCCAACUUGGUGCGCUAUUUGGUGUACUGGAAGAACGCGAGUGAGAAAUCUCCCCUGUACCGAGUCCUCUACAUUAACGACUCCACAAUACAUGAGGUUUUAUUUUCACUCUCGUUGGAACCAUCAAGGAUAGAAGGCUUGCCGCCCAUUCAUGGUGCCAUUGUACUUCUACGACACGGUACGUACCUAAAUCUGCUUAUGUGGAAAUAUAUUUAUCUUUUACUGGACCGACUCGUCCCAAAUCUGUGCAAUAACUUUUUGCUGUUACAAGAACCCCUUACCAGUUUUUACUUAAAAUUCCCUACCCUGCUUGUUAAAGUAGUUGGAUACCCAUCGGUUUAGUCGCAUAAUAAACAAAAUAUUCACAUUAGAGCAUAAUAGAUGGCUUAAAUAUUACAAAUACAACCAUUUCACUAGAAACUCAUGUGUUGUCGAUCUUUGAUUAGAAAAGCUAUAAAGUGCAAAUAUUUAAGAUUGAUGACCAUGACAAUCUGGAAUCUAACAAUGACGCCAUUUUGUUGGUUGCGCAGGCGUGAUUUUUUCAUUGGAAAAAGAGGAGGUGAAGGUUCCGUCACUCUCAGCAAAUUGAUGGAAUAUCGUAAACCGUUAAUUUUUUUGUGACCAACAUUCAAUAGGUUUUUAAGAAAUUAACAAAAGUGGAUCUAAAUAAAGAAAGAAAUUUUUGACUUUUUUUUUUAAAUGAAUACAAGUUAUCAUAAUCUUUGCAGAAAAAGCCGAUACCGUAGUCUAGCCUAAAUUACCUUGACCAUUAAAAAUAUUGAGAUAAAAUUCAUCAGACACGCAAUAAUCAAUUAUGUUGAAUUUUUUGGCUGCUAAUGCCAUGUAUCCCAAGUUUACUACUUGAAAAGCGCAACUAAUGUUCAUUGAUCAUCAGAUUGGUAGAUGGCAUUCAUCUGUUACAGUCAUAUCAAAUAGAGAGAAUUGUCCAAAAAGUUCUAAAUUUAUUGUACGAUUAUCAAUUCAGUUAUAAACAUGUCAAUUGUGUCAAUUUAACCUCCAUUUUAGUCCUAAACUUUUUAAAGAUUUAAUAAUUUAGUCCUUCUAAUUAAUUUCUACUGGAAAUCAAUUUCUUCUGGAAAUCGCUGACAUGGCGGUCUAGUCAAAGCUAGCCAUCCUACGCGAUGUUGAUUGCCUUUGUGGUUUUUUUACAAUAUAUUUUUUAAUUUUUUGCAUUUUUUUCCUUUUCUUUUUUUAUCCUUUUUUCCCUCUACCAGCCUUAGACGAGGGCCGCCCUUCGACCCUUGCGUAGAGCAACCCUUGCCCUUGCUUGACUUCCACUAGGCGUCAACCGUUGAUGGUUAGAGAAGGGAAAAAGGAAAAAAAAAUUAUAAAACUAAAAAAAUUGCAAAAAUUAUCCGCAUUAGCGUUGGCUGUGCCAUGUAGAACAAUCAGUACUACUAGACCACCAUGCUUAUGAUUUCCAACAAAAUUGGCUAGAAUGAUUAAAAUGACAAAUUGUUAAAAGAUUUAUCACUAAAUUGGCAAGUUAUUAAAAUUGUUAUGACUAAAUUGGCACAAUUGAAAGAUUUAGACUGAAUUAAUCAUCAUACAAUAAAUUCAAAACUUUUUGGACAAUUUUCCCUAUCAAGUAUAAUUCCAACCCUAGAUGCAGUAACUUUAUUUUUAUCAUGUCCCAAUUUAUUAAUCCAACCACAUGUUAUUAUUUACAUUGCACGACAUAACAUGUUUGAGGCUUUCUAUUUGAAUUGAACAUGCAAAACAAUUUCAAAUGGACAUAAAGUGAAAAUGCGUAACAAUGUAUUGUGUGAUGCAAAUAAUAAAUUAGCAUACCCAAUAAAUGUAUGUGUCUAAACUUAGGUUGCACUCGUUGAAUAGAUUAUAGAAGUCGACCUGCACACAUAACGUUCAUAAUCCAUUAUAAAUGGCUUAACUUAUUUGCGAUAAUACAAUUAAACCUAAUUCUACCAUAUUUAACCACGUUUCAUGUAGUGAACAUGUAUGUAGAAGGGCUGUUUUAUAGUUUGUCAGCUCAUAAUUCUAACAAGCACUUUAGAAACUAUACAAAAGAUCCCAUUGAAAUUGGAUUUACUGUAUAUUUCUUAUUCUUACUGUCCAAUAUAUAAAAAUCCUUUUAUGAAGUACUACUGAUUGAAAUCUCGUAAUAAUAGUUCAAUUUAUUCUUCAUUGAAUGCAAAAGUAGAUGACAUUGUGGAAUGAAUCGAGCGUUGCCAUGGGCUUUUGUAGAUAGGCACUUUAAUUAGGUUAUCAUGAUAGGCACUUUUUUUAAGGUUCAUAUCAAUUAAAUAAGGUAAGGUUAUUUCUUUAAAUCUAGUAAUGUUCUUUCACUUGGGAAAAUUAUCAAAAAAGUCCUAAGUAUAUUGCACUUUUGCCAAUUCAAUUUUAAAUUAUUCAAUUUUGUCAAUUCAGUGCUAAACCUUUUUCACUUCUUACCAAUUGAGUGUAUUCGACUAAUUUUGAUCAGAAUUCAUUGAUGUUGAUAAUUUUUAUUAAUAUUUUAAUCCUUUUUAAAAAAAAUUAUAUUUUUUUCGAUUUUCUUUCUUUCUUCCCCCCAUUCUUCUUCCUUUUAUCAGUGGCCGGCUACCAAUCACCAGUGAUGGCCAGCUACUAGCCAUGGCUGGGUGAGUUGACCUUGCCGUAAGUGAUGCCUAGCCAGGCAAGGCCAAGCCUCAACAAGGGUCGACCUCACCUAGGUUAGGCAAGACCAACCCUUGCCCAAACUAGGCGAGAUCGCCUGGACGAGGGUGAGCCCCCUUGUUCGGCCACAUCUUACUGAGGCAUGCGAGGCUAGCUAGCUUGGCCAUAGUCGGUGGCUAGCACAAAGGAAGAAGAAAGGGAAAAAAAAUUAGAAAAAAAAUCAAAAAAUAUUUUUAAAAAUUGUUUACAUUAGUGCCGACUAUCCUACAUGACACCGCUAAUGUCCACGUCAGCAAAUUCCUAUCAAAAUUGGCCAGAUAGACUCAAUUAGCAAGAAGUAAAAAGGUUUAUAACUGAAUUGACAAAAUUAAAAAGUUUAUGACAGAAUUGGUAUAAGUGCAAUAGAUUUAGAACUUUUUGGACAAUUUUCACUAUUUCACUAAUGUAUCUAGAAUGUAACCGGUUACCCAUAUUGAAAUUUGUGGCCUGAAUUGCUCCGUCAAUUUCAAGGAUGAUGGCAUCCGUCAUGCGAGCACCUUUUUUUGUAUUUGUGUAAAAUUGAAGUAUGUUUUUUAUUAUAAAUUAUUGGUGAAAUAUUAUUCUAUUUCAUAAAAAAAUUCUUCUUUUGAAUAGACUAAAUGCAAAAUUCUUAAUUCGUGUUAUAUAUUAAUGUAAAUAUAGGGGGGUCAACGACAAUUAGAAAAUUCCUAAUUAUCGCUGUUAUAUGACUGAUGAAAUUUGUAUAUGUACGUAACAAUAUUAUUAGAGUAUAUUUUAUAGGAAGUAUUAUAGAAAUGUAAGAAUUUUCAAUAAUUGCUCAUUUGCGGUUUUUGAAACUCAUUAGAACUAAUUUCAAUAAAACUAAUGCCUCUUUUGUUGAACAAAAUUCAUGGUAUAAGAGGCAAACAUAGAUCCUAAUUUGAAGCAAAAUAAAUGGAAAGUGGAAGAAAAACACUCUUUGUGAGGAAAAUAAUUAAUCCCUUACAAAUUAGAGCCCUAUAAAUCACUUUUAGAGACAAUUCUUAAAGAAAAAAAUCAUUAUAUAUCUAUGUAGAUGUUACAACAGUCUAGAUUAAUUUGCAAAGUUCAUUGAACUUUUAGUAUUAUGGAUGUAAUUUUUUUGGCGAUGAAAUGAGGCUUGUUUUAUUUUGUGUUGUGUCAUCACAGCUUAAAUAUGUGGUCGUUAUAGCUAGGAUAUAUAUGACUCCAUGCAAUGCACAUACCAUAUAAUGUGAUUUAUUGAGUAAAAAUAUCUUUCCCAGAAUCACUAAAAUUUCACAAAAUAUAUUUGGUCCAUUCACAAGAUAUAAUGGGAUUGAGUAGCACAAUCCCCAAGGAUGAGGUUAUCUCUAAAUCACUCUCGCCUGUCUUUGAAGUCCAAUGGCCACCCACAAUCCUCAAACACCGUUGGAAUAUUCUCAAACAAUCGAAACACCUCUUUCACAUUAUUGAACCUCUUUACUAGCACCUCCAAAUUUUCAUAGUUGGGGCCAAAAAAAAAUUUCUUUUGGUGGAGCCUUUUCCCUUCUGUAAUUUGUGAUUUAUAAGCUCUACUAUCUUCGAAAUAGAUUCUAGUCACAAAUUUUACUUAGAUUUUACUCAAAAUUUUUGGUAAAUAUAUAAUCUCUUAAUUGAGCUGAAUAAGUGCCGUAUACCUUUACGAAGAAGAUGACGUUUAAUCUAGAGAGGGUGGAACAAUUUUAAGGGGGAUUUCGGUAUGGUGCUGUGGAGGCUAUUGCAAUGUUCUCAACAAUUAAAUAAGGCCCCGUUUGGUUGGACUUUCCCAAGGGGCUUUUGGGCCCGAAAGCCCCUUGGGGAAAAAUUUUUGUGUUUGGCAAUCAUUUUCAAAUGCUACUUGGCCAAAUGUCAGCAUCCCCAAUCCUGAAAGCCCAAUGCUGGGAGGACCAGCUUUGAGCAUUGGGCAUUUCAGAAAUGCCAGUCCACUGUUCAUCUUCUUCCCCCUUUCUUCUUCGUUCGUCUUCUUCGUCUUCGUCUUCCUCGCUGACUGAGAGUGCGGCUUCUCCGGCAGCCGCCACCGCCGCGUGGGGGUCCCGCGUCCCUGGUGACCACCGCCUGGGGUGGCGAGACCCGCGACCCAGGCGGCGUCGCCUGGCGGGCGCGAGCUAGGCGACGCCACCUGAGGUCGCGCGGACCUCAAGUCGCUAGAUCUAGCCGUCCGGCGGCCAGAUCUAGCGGUCUUGAGGCCAAAUCUUACUGCCGGACGGCCAGAUCUGGCCUCCGCGACCUCAGGCCGCCAGAUCUGGUGGUCCGGCGGCCAGAUCUGGUUGGCCGGCGGUUGGCCGGCCGCCGGAAUUCGAUUUUCUGACUUAAAUAAAAAAUAAAAAAUACCAAAAGUCAAUUACAAAGCUGAAUUUUACCAAACGGUGUUUAUACUAAGUUGCCUUUCAAUGCUACAAUUUACCAAACGGUAUAACAUUCCCAUAAACCCCUUUACCUCAAAGAUAUUUGUAUUCUCCAAAUGGCAUUUCCCCAAAGUUGAACCAAACGGGCCCUAAGUCUGCUUGAUACUUGCUAAAAUUCGAUGGACAUAAUAUGAAAAGAUCAUUUUCCUUUUCUUGAUCUUGCCCUAGCUUGCAUUACGUCUGCCGACUCUAUAGAUACUUCAUGUCGUGGACAUGCCAUAUAAAUUGCUAUGUCAUUUAGUAAGAUUUUUAUAGUGAAAUCUUAAGUACCUGUCGAUGUCAUUAACUAGUUUUGGUAUUGCAAUCUAAUCUGUUAUUGUCGACUAUCAAUACUAGUAGUGAUUAAGGCACGUCAAAGAUGUCCUUACUCCAAAAAGGGUUUAGAUAUAUAGAGACCAAUCAAGCUCUAACCAUCCUAAUUUGGAGCUCUUGAUCCCAGGUUUAUUCGACCUGAUGCUCAAGAAAAACAUGAAGCUAUUUGCAAUGACCGACUCAACGGGGGCAAUGUGUUCCAUUUAGCAGCUCACUUGAAUAUCGCCUGGGUAUUCGAAUUCUUACGACCAGAAACUGAAUAUUUGACCCGAGUAAGGGACAAGAAUGGAGAUCUCCCCAUUCAUAUUGCGAGCAAGAUGGGUUAUGUUGAACAUAUCGAGAAGCUGAGGGAAGUAUCACUUUUGCCAAAUGGGCAAGGGCAAACCGUUCUUCAUAUUGCCGCAAAAUAUGGGAGAGUCUCUGUAGUGAGAUAUAUACUCAGCAAUCCAGAUCUAAGGAGGAUGCUGUUGAAUAAACAAGAUAAUGAUGGAAAUGCUUGUUGGCUGUUGACAUUGCUCGACGACACAAGCCAGAGGGGUAUAAGAUUCGGCAUGUAGGUAACAUGAACAGUCACUAUUUUAUUUAUUAACUUACUGGAGAUUUCAUAGACUAAUGCAUUGGUUAAGGCAGAUCUGGUAUUCAAAUCAUUAUGUCUCCCAGCCAACUAGAUAGUAGAAGUAUUGAUCAAAUUUCUAGAACAGCCGAGACUCCUCUCGGAUAAAUGUUUCGCAAGUCCCUAAUUUAGUCUUGAUAGGAGGUAAUUAAAAUUUGUGAUCAUGAAUUUCUCUGCAGUUAGAAACAAGUAACGUGUCUUUCAUAACACGGAGAUUAAAAUUUAUAUAUUUCGUUUAAUUGAGCCUCUGAAUACGGUCAUGAAUAAAAAGGCAGGGUUUGUCAAGGUUGCAUUCUGUUUUUCAUAAAAAGCCAGGGGUCAAUGUGGCAAAUUUGACCUCUCCAAAUGUAGCACAAUCUCAUGACAUUAUCAUUUUGUCGACCUAUGAAAUGAUUGCCCACAUAGAUUCCAUUCAUGCCUCUUUUUUCGUCUAAAACGAACUUGGUAAUUUUGUGCUAAUUCUUCAAAAAGAUCAGAAACUGCGUCUUUAGAAGCGAACGUUUCCAGAGUUCAUUCCCGUUAUAAAUAUGGUAUAAGUUUGUUCUUAUUUUCCUUUUUACAUGCUUCCGAUCUCAGCACUUGGCAUUCCUGGUGUUGCUUUGCUCGCUCGCGGGAAAAGGUCCACUUAAAAACCCGGAGUUAUUCCUAGUUAGAGCGGAAGCUCGAGAUGAAGAGUUAUCAGUAGUCCGCUCGCGCAAAAGCGUGCCGAGCAGGAAAAUCGUCAAGGAUUACAUCAAUUCCCGUAUGGUGGUGGCAACGCUUGUGGCCACAGUGACUUUCGCAGCUGGUUUUGCAGUUCCUGGAGGAUUUAACGGCUCGGACACAGCCUCCAAAGAUGACCGGGGCAUGGCUACGAUGUUGGACAAUAGAAUGUUCCAGGCUUUCGCGAUUUGCAACACCAUCGCGAUGUUCUGCUCAAUGACUGUGGUCGUCAACCUCAUCUGGGCGCAGAUAGUUGAUGUCGACGUUGCAGUCGCUGCAUUCCAGCGCACAACGCUACCACUACAAAUUGCACUCCCGGCGAUGUCCACCGCUUUCUUAACUGGUGUCACCUUGACCAUUGGCAAACUCCCGUGGCUUGCUAACACCAUAUUUUAUAUGGGACUCGUUUUCCUCCUCAUUAUCUCAUUUGCUAAAUUGUUAGAGAAGCCUCUCCUCUUUAAAAUCCUCGGUCGUCCUCUCCUUCGACUAACAUUCUGGCUUAUUCUCGCUUACGUUUAUGUGUGGAGAGUUGAGACGUACAUUUAUGUUGACAAUGACGCGAAAGAUAACAGAAGGAAGAGCAAGACCUUCGCUAGUCCGCCUGUGGAUGGUGCUGGUGAAUCGGGGACCGAUGACUCGGCGAAAGCAAAAUGUGAGACAUCCUCCAAGUCACUGAUUUGAAUUUGAUCAUUCCAUAUUAUCUGUAAUAUGUAGUAAUAAUAUAUGUUUUCCUUGGUGAGUGCGACUCACGAUACGGUUGAUUUCCUUUAUGUCAGACCAAAGGUGAUUGUUAAUAUAUGUAAGCUAAACCAUGUGUUUCUCUAAUAACUUAACUUAUUAGAAUUGUUGGAUAUAAUUCCAUCAAAUUUCAUAUGUUAUUAAAGCAGAGGUUCUAAGUUCAAACAUUUUCAGGUCAUAUUUGCUUCAUCUAUUAUAUGUUCUCAUGUUUCAAUCUUAGAUCAAUUCAAGUUUAUGAGUAAAGAUGAGUAUAAAAGUAUUUGUAUUAAAGUAUUUGAAUUAAACAUUGCAUCCAUCUAAUAAUUUAAAUUUUUAGAAUAAUUAAUUGUAGUUCCCGAAAUUUCAAAGUGAUACACACUUCAUGUAAAUUAAAUGGAUGAAUGGCUCAUUUCAUCCGUUUCAUUGCCCUGGAAUCUAAUUGUUAACUUUGAACAUGUGGAAGCUCGUGGGUUUAUGAAAUCGCUCGUCUGGAGUGGCCACGUUCGAUUCACUUUGAACCAGUCCAAUUUGCGGCACUCUCGAGUCAUGAAAUCCUAAGCACUCACUUAGUCACUUACCUGUCUAGUGUGCAAAGAAAAUAAUUCUCAUCGCCUACUCUCUGAGUCAAGACUUGGGUGAAGAAAACCGGAACAAAAUAAUUCUCUUCAUUGCUCACAAAAAAAUAGAACCAAACACCGAACUCAUUUCCAUUUACACCCGUUUCAUUUCCCCACUUCUCCCUCCUAGGCGCCCAAUUUCUGUGCACGCAAAUGAGUUUUGGUGUUUGAUUCAUGGCGGGGUAUAAUCUAGUGAGCAGCGGGCGCAGAAGUCUAGUCAAGGGACGAGAUAAAAAGGAAUUGCAACACGCAACUCAAGGAGAAUUGUGGAAAAGUCUGGAUAUGCGAUUUUCCUCCUCCGAUCUCGGAUUUUUAUUUCAAAGCUGGUUGGUAUUGACACGUAGAAUAUAACUCUAAAGUGAUUCUGGACCUAUUUAUUCGACAGUGAACGUAGAUAAUUACAAAAAAUAAAAAGGAUCUCAUUGUACAAAUGUCUAUUGAGUUAUAAACUUUCUAAAUUAGUCGAUUUAAUUUUAAACAUCUUGACGAUUUGCCAAUAUAAUUAUGCUAACCAAUUUUGACCAAAAAUCGUUGACGUUGACGCUAGCCAUCCUAUGGCACAUGACCAGUAUUGAGGUGAAUAACUUUUGUAAUUUAAAAAAAAUUCUCAAUUUUUUUCUUUUUUUCAUGUUUUCAUUUUCUUCAUUUUCCUUUCUUAUAUUUUCCUUUUUUUCUUUUACUUAUUCCCCUUCGCCAUCCAUUGGCCAGUCCAUGGCUUCGGUGAUUGAUAGUAAGGCCCCAAUGCCCUCGCCAGCGAUUGCAAGGGCUGAUGGAUUUGCUGGGGCCACAGACUAAUGGAGGGACAAAGGAAGAAAAAAAAUGAAUGAAAACUUAAAAAAGGACAAAAAAAAAAAGAGUUUUGAAAUAAUUGUAAAAAUUAUCCACAUUAACAUCCGCACCCAGAUCUGGGCGAGUCCAAUCUUGUCAUGGCCUGGCCUAAAUCUGGGUGAAGCCGCCUUGUGCACAGCCCCGAGGCCUCAUUUGUGCCCAACAAGGCUCGUCAAAGAAGCAAAAGAAUGAAGAAGAGAAAAAAAUAAAAGGAAAAGUAAAAAAAAAAUUAUUAAAAAUUGCCACGUCAGCGUUGAGCGAAUGGCCAGCGUCGACAUCAGCGCUAGCCGACCAAAAUUAGUCGAAUAGAUUGAAUUGACACAAUCACAAAAAAAUUAGAACUGAAUUGGCACAUUUAUAAUGGAUUUAGGACUUUUUUGAUAAUUCUCCCGAUCUAUCUAUUAUCUCCAUUUUUAGAUUGCGACAUGUGUCCAUCCAAUUUUAGUCCUCACUGCAUCUUAUCUAAAUACCAUCAAACCUUGGAUGGUACUUGGAGAUCUAUGCAAAUAUUUAUAUAUAAAAAUUAUAUUGAGAUAGUAAAGUGUGCUCACCAUCAUCAUAUAAAAAUUAUCCUGGGGGAUUAAAUGUUUCAAUUAAUUACGGUAGGAUGAGAAGUAUUUUUCAUAAAGAACGGACAUUCAAGAAGUCUUGCUAGAUUGAUAGAUUGAUGUUGCAAAUGGUUCUCUUCUCAAGUAGCAUGAAAAAUUACGCUACUCAAAUGUAGAGCCUCCUUUUUUUCUAUUUUUUCGGCAGAUCUUUCAAAUCAAAUUACAGGGUUACGACUAUGAAACCUCACAGUACAAGUACAAAAAAUACCAAAUCAAUCAUCUAUUAACUUCUCGAUGCUCAUUAAAUCUGAUUCACAAAAUAGGUUGGGACCCAUUUUGCUAGCCCUACUAAAAUCUAAACAUUUUAAUAAAUUAAGGAUUUAUAUGGCGUCCUAGUUCACAAAGAUGUGCCGUUGUUGUUGACAAAUCAACAGUGAUUGAUUUUCAUGAACUCGUCGUCAUAUUGUCGACAUUCCCAUUAUAUAUGAGCAUAAUAGCGAACUUUGAUUUUCGAGCAUCAAGAUAUAAGAUUGGCUUAAAUAGAAUGCCAAAUAGCCCAAGUGUCACAAUUAGAUAAGUCCAAACCCCAAACACGUUCAACUACGGUUUUUUUUUUCUUUUAACUUUAUUCACAUAUUAUUAGACCAUACUUUAUGGUUAAUGAUCAUAUAUAUCGCGGUUUAUGAAAGACUGUGCCACAUCGAUAGUUUUAGAUGUUAGUCCAAAUUCGAAAUACUGGGCCAACGUUUGAGAUUUUAUUGGCCAUUCGACAUUUCAUUUAUUACUCAUGAAGUCUAUCAGUGCAUGAAAUUUACUGAAAAUUAGAGAAUCUCACAAUACCAACAAAAUAUCAAGUUUUUUUUCAACUUUUUUACCCUUGAUACACUCCACAUACAGCCCAAUUUACAAAAUUCUACAAAAACCACUGCUCAGCAAAGACGAACAACAGCACCCAUCGGCCCAACAUGCUUAACUCCAAGCAUAGAGUGACUCGAACUCUUCUUGUCUCCUUUUCAGUUUACCACAACCAGACAUAUUUAAUACAGUACCGUGAACAAGACAAGAUAGCGAUGAGAUCGGCUCAAUAGGCAUCAGGGUUUGCCAAGCGAUAAGCCUCGAUGGCCUUGAACAUCCCGGACGCCUUCUCUUUCCCAGCCUUGAUCUUCUCCUCAGUUAUGUCCGCCUCGCCAAUGGUGAAGUACUUGCUCGUGCUCUUGCACACCGAGCCUCCCUCGGGCGAAGUGGUGAUCUUCAUCUCGUAGCUGAUCUUCUCAAGGGUGGUGCCCAGCGAGUCGCCCUCAAUGAUGGAGUAGCUGUAGGUGAAGUUCUCCUUGUCCAGGGCCUCGACCUUAUGCUUCAUUGUCUUGUACUGACUGCCU